This 100266-nucleotide long non-coding RNA is filed under the name Phaseolus vulgaris (common bean). RNAcentral describes it as "long non-coding RNA (PVUL_LNC003656)". Lineage: Eukaryota; Viridiplantae; Streptophyta; Magnoliopsida; Fabales; Fabaceae. The record is from RNAcentral.
UUUUUUUUUUUUUAAGUGUAAUUUGUGUAAACGAUUCCAUAAAGAAAUAUGUGGAAGAGAUUAGUUAUGCAAAUAUGAUUUCUUAUAAAUUAAUUAUUCAUAUAAUUAUUUGUUUUUUUUUUCUUAACAUCUUAUAGUUACAGUACAGUAUUAUGUUUUAUUAAUCAUACAAAGUUAAUAAUUCAUAUAAUCUCUAAUUUUCUCAUUAAAAUAGAUACAAAGUUAAUGUAUAUUAAUAUUUUACACGUAUAACAAUAGUUUUAGUUAAUUAUAUGACCAAAUAAAUAGAGUUAUUUUAAUUGUGUGUGUUUCACGGGGUAUAGUAUAGCUAGUGUCCUACAUUUUUAGAUGCAUUUUUGUAAUCCCAAGUUACAUUAUUUUAAUAAUAAUUUACUUAUAUAAAUAGUUGUAAAGCUGACUUCAAUUCUCUUUCCUAUUGUCGGAUAAUCAUUUUCUUUUCAUAAAAAAAAGCUUAUAAAAAGAAACAAAUGCAGGGUGCUUAUUAUCAAAGUUUUUGAAAUUAAUUGGUCUGAUCCAAAUUUUAUAUGAAUUUUAUGUUAUGUGAUUCAAUCUUAUCAUGAAAAUGUAUUAGUCUAAUUGGUUUGGAUUUUUAUGGUGUAAUUUUAUUUUUUAAUUAGCAAAAUAAAUAUAUUUUUUUAAAUUAUUAAAAUUGUGUUACAUUUACACAAUUUUAAUUAAAAUUUUAUUAUAUUUAUGUUAGUUCAAAUACAUUAAAAUUAUAUCAUUUUUACACGCACAAUAAAAUUAUACCAUCAUAAUUUAUUUAUUUUGAUAAUUUUUAAAAAAUUUACCUAUUUUAAUAAUUGAGAGGUAAAAUAUCAAUGAAUUAGUAAAAAAUCCAAUUCGGUCUAAUAUUAUAUAAAAUAUAUAUUUUAUGAUUCGAUUUGAAUAGUUAAUUUUCAUUGAUUUAUAUAUGAAUUUUAAAAUAGCUAAAUAAAUAAUAAAAAUAUCACAUCAAUGUGUUUGAUAGUUGUUAGAAUGAUUAUAUAUAAUACAUCAUAGCAAACUAAAUUGGUCCAAUUAUUUUAAUUCAUAAUAUUUUUAGUCUAAUCAUGUUUGUGUUGAUAGUAAAAAGUGAUUAUAUAUAGUAAACCAUGUUUAUAUUUUUGUUACACAUUUUUUUCAUAGUAUUAUUAUUAUUAUUAUUAUAUUAUCUUGUGAAACAAAAUUGAUUAUAUUAUAGUAAAACAGUGAUUUUUUUUAUGGAAACAAAAUUUUGUUAUCCUUUAUGCAAAAGUUAAAAUUAGUGAUUGAUAGUGGAGCGUAAUUAGAGAGAGAAUUGAGGAAGAAAUCAAAUAAGAAGACGACAAAAGUAAAAGAAGUAGCUUAAUAAUUGAAGUUAACCCUAAAAUUUUAAGUGCUUUUCUUUUUGUUAGGGUGAAAGUGAUUUGAGAAAAGCUAUGAACCAUAAAAAUCUCCUUCAUGGAUCCUGUUCAAAUGGAAACUAAGGUCUUCUCCAUUAAUCAAAAUCACCAUAUCAAUGCCAUCAACCUCUUCUUCUUUCUUCCAUUUUUCUUCAUUCUUCAUUUAUCAUCAAAUUCUUUUAACCCUUUCUUUCUUCUUUCUUCAAUUAAUCUUCAUUUUUCAAUAAACAUAACAAUUAAGCACUUUUUGGAGACUAAAACAAUCAAUUUUGUAAAAAAAAUAAAAUUUAAAAAUUUUUCUCAAUCUUUUUUUAUAUUUUAUUUCAAAAGAUGUUGGAGAUCCCACAUCGACUAGAGAUUAGGACAUUUCAUUGUAUAUAAAUGGGUGCAAACCUCAUGAACCGAUUUUAUGGGGUUGAGUUAGGCUUAAAGUCCACUUCGUAAUAUGGUAUCAUAUAUACAAAGAGAAUCAUCUCUCAAAGAUAAUUAGUAAAUUUAAAUAUAUUUAUUAUUGAUAAAAUAAUAACACUUUCAUGUUGAUUAAUUUUGUAAAUUGAUGCAAAUGCAGUAUUUUAUGGAUAGAGUUACAAUUAUGAGUUUAUGAGUGACUAGUUACACUUCUUUCAUACAUUUUUUUUAAACCUUCCCUUAAAUAAAAACUAAGUAACAUAAAAAUAUUCGUCAUAGAUAUAGUCCAAGAGUUAAAGUAAAUCUUUAAAGCAUUUUUUUUAUAAACUCCACUAUUUUAUUUAAAAAAAAGAAAAAAAUUAAGUAAAGAUACAACUUUUAUGAAUUGCAUUAGACUUUAUUGGUACAAUUAUUUCUGUCUUUCUUUUAUCGUUUUCAUUUUAUAUAUACAUUUCAAAAUUACACCUUUAAAAUCUAAAGGGGCAGCAAAAUCAUUUCAAUUUAAUUAAAAAAAAUUAUUUAGAAAAAUAGGCGCAUAUCUUUAUUCAAUAUUAUUUCGAAAAGUCCAUAAAAUCGUAAAUUAUUUGUAAUUUCAGUGAAUUGUAUUUUUCUCCCGUUAUACAUUAAAAUAAGCAUAAUUUACUGAAAAUAAGUUUUAAUAAUUUUGUUUUUUUGCAUAAUGAUAGUUAAUUUUAACAUGUGUCAUGAAUUUAGUUACCUUGGAAAGUAAAGUGAAGAUUUUAUGAUAAUGAAUAUAGUAAACAACACUCUACCUACUAAAAUACUAAUAGGAUGGUGGUUAUGUUAAUUGUCGGUAACAUUAAAAAUAUAAAAUAUGAUUAAAAUAAUGUUGGAUAAAACUGUUUUAUUUGUAUUUAAAAGAAAAUAAUAAUGUAAUUUGUGUUUAAAAAUAAAAAUAAAAUAUUAAUUAAAAAAUGAGAAGUAACUAGUUAUGUAACAUUUGAUGAGAAAAAAAAAGUGAGGGAGAGUAUUAAGGAAGAAGUGGUUUUGAUGAGAGGAAAAAAAGAAGAAAUGGAUAAAGAAAAAAGAGGUUUAGUUUGGUGAGUUGGGAAAUACAAAAUCGGUUGACUCACCAUUCUUUCUCUCUCUUUCUCUGUUCCUCCAUUCUCUGGUUCCUGUUGAGUAGCUCCACUCUAUAUGCACCUUCCACUCCUUUUUCGCUCCUUCUUCACACCCUUCUCUUCACUCUUCCACCCUAUAUGGCUAAAUGCCCCAAAACGACAUCCACGCCCACCAAAACGGUGAAACCACCGUCACCACCCCGCUCCACCCUCCACUUCUGACCCUCCACCUCCAAGCCAUGACCUCCACCACUUCGACCUCCACCGACCCCCUCCCAUCGGACGACGGCGCUGCGGUGAGGGCAGUCAACAAACGCUUCGAGGGCCUCCUCACUGUCCGGACCAAGGCCAUCAAGGGAAAGGGAGCCUGGUACUGGGCCCACCUCGAGCCCAUACUCGUCCCUCACCCAGAUACCGGUCUCCCCAAAACCGUCAAACUCAAAUGCUCCCUCUGCGACUCUCUCUUCUCCGCUUCGAACCCUUCCAGAACAGCUUCCGAACACUUAAAGCGUGGAACUUGCUCCAACUUCAGCUCUGGGUUGAGACCCGGCUCGGUGCCUUCUCCCCUGCCCAUUUCCUCCAUCACUCCCGGUUCCAACCGCAAAAGGGGUUCGCCUCAAAUGGGUGCCACGUCGCCCUCUUCUUAUCAAAAUCACUCCUUGGCCUUGGUCGAGUCUUCCCGGUUCGACAUCGGGUACCCCCAGAUGCAGAACAGUAACAACAACAGCAAUAGUAAUAAUAAUAAUAAUAAUAACAACAACAACAUUAUGCACUUGCAGCAUCACGGGCAGAGCCAGCAGCAUUUAAUGUUGUCGGGUGGGAAGGAUGAUUUGUGUGCUUUGGCCAUGUUUGAGGACAGUGUGAAGAAGUUGAAGAGUCCCAAGACUUCUCCUGGUCCUGCUUUGAGCAAGGACCAGGUGAAUUCUGCUUUGGACUUGCUCUUCGAUUGGUUCUACGAGACUUGCGGCUCUGUGUCCUUGUCGAGUCUGGAACAUAGAAAGUUUCAGGCUUUUUUGAGCCAGGUUGGGUUGCCCGGAAAUUUGAGGAGGGAGGUUUCUGGGGGGAGGCUUGAUGCUAGGUUCGGGGAGGCCAAGGCUGAGUCCGAGGCGAGGAUUAGGGACGCCAUGUUUUUUCAGUUGGCGAGUGAUGGGUGGAAGAGUGGGGGUUUGUUUAGCUUCAACCCGUGUUGUGGUGGGGGAGAGAGUUUGGUGAAGUUUGUGGUGAAUCUCCCCAAUGGGAGCAGUGUGUUUCAGAAGGCUGUGUUCACAGGUGGAGUGGAGAAUUCCAAGUAUGCCGAGGAGGUUUUGUGGGAGACGGUUACGGCGGUUACUGGGAGUGUUGUCCAUAGGUGUGUGGGGAUUGUCGCAGAUAAGUUCAAGGCCAAGGCGUUGAGGAACUUGGAGGCGCAGCACCAUUGGAUGGUGAACACUUCCUGCCAGCUUCAGGGGUUGGUUAGCUUGAUCAAGGAUUUUAACCGCGAGUUGCCGCUUUUCAGGGAUGUGAUUGAGAAUUGCUUGAAGGUUGCCAAUUUUAUGAACAGUGAGUCGCAGGUGAGGAGUCUUUUCCUCAAGUGCAGGGUGCAGGAGAUGGAUUGUGGCGGGCUAAUUCGCGUGCCUUCACCCAAAUGUGAUCCGCUGAAGAAUUUUCAAUUGGUGUUUCCUAUGUUGGAGGACAUUUUGAGCUGUGCCAGAGUGAUGCAGAUGGUUGUGAUGGAAGAUGGGUUUAAGGUGAUGUGUAUGGAAGAUACGUUGGCGAGGGAGGUUGCAGGAAUGGUGCAGAAUGAGGGGUUUUGGAACGAGUUGGAGGCGGUUUAUUCAGUUGUGAAGCUUGUUAGAGGGAUGGUGCAUGAUGUUGAGGCUGAGAGGCCAUUGAUUGGUAGGUGCUUGCCUCUCUGGGAGGAGCUGAGGAGCAAGGUGAAAGAGUGGUGUGGGAAGUUCAACAUUGUGGAAGGACCUGUGGAGAAGAUAGUUGAGAAGAGGUUUAGGAAGAAUUAUCACCCUGCGUGGGCAGCAGCGUUUAUACUUGAUCCACUUUACUUGAUUAAGGAUGCAAGUGGAAAGUAUCUUCCUCCGUAUAAGUGUUUGACGCGAGAACAGGAGAAGGAUGUGGACAAGUUACUCACGAGGCUGGCUUCGCGAGAAGAGGCUCAUGUUGUGUUGAUGGAGCUAAUGAAAUGGAGGUCAGAUGGUCUUGAUCCGCUUUAUGCGCAGGCUGUUCAGAUGAAGCAGAGGGAUCCGAUUACAGGGAAGAUGAAAGUUGCAAAUCCACUGAGUAGUAGACUUGUGUGGGAAACAUGUUUGAGUGAGUUUAAAUCCCUGGGGAAGAUUGCAGUGAGGCUUAUUUUUCUGCAUGCAACUUCAUGUGGGUUUAAGAGUAAUUGGUCUUUUAUGAGGAAAUUUUCAGCUAAUAAACAGUCAAGAGUUGCCUUGGAGAGGACUCAGAAAAUGAUAUAUAUUGCAGCUCAUGCCAAGCUUGAAAGGAGAGACUUUUCCAGUGAGGAAGAGAAGGAUGCAGAGCUGUUUGCCAUGUCUGGUAGUGAGGAUGGCAUGCUGGCUGAGGUUUAUGCUGAUGCUCCCUUAGUGUAAUGUGCUUUUUUUCAACUCUUAUAGAAUUGUGUAAUUUUAGGAUUUAUCAGAUUCUUUACACAACUCUUCUAUUAUUCCCUUACAUCUAGUUGAAAAAAUUUCAUGACUUGGGGGUUGAAACAGAAGGAAUAUUAGAAGGGACCAAAAAAAGCAUGUUGUUAGUGACUGUGUUAUGAUCAGCUUUGAUUCUAAUGAAUCAUCAAUCUUUUUUCCAGUAAUUAUUUUGUACUUUUAGGGUUGUAAAGGAGGAACUCUUGCUCUUUUAUCAGCAUAACAACAAUUCAGGGAAGGAGCAAGAAGAAUGUCAUGUCACAAAAAUUUUGCUAGUGAUUUUGUAAUGAGAAUGAUUAUUGAAUCCUAAUUCUAAUAUCAAUCUACAACUUAAAAAGAUGCGCUUAAUUAAUGUAUGUGUAAAGUUUGCCUUGAUGAGAAACACCUUGUUUACAAACUUCCUCUCAUGUGAAAAACUCAAUUCCUGAUUCCUCUUCUACUUGUUCUUCCGCUUCACUUUCUGUAGGUCAAAUACUGGACUAGAAGCAUUUUUCAUGCUUAUGGAGCUAGCUUUCAGGAUUUUAUUAUUAAUUUCUUUAUGAAGCUUCAGCUGUUCACUUUUUUAGCUAUUGACAUUGAUAUGAUAAAAAGCACUCAUGCAGAAUAUUUAAAAAUUCAAAAGCAAACUGAAUUUUAUGGUCUGUAUGAAAAAUCAUUAAAAAACAAGAGGAAAGCCUAUAUCUGGAGCAAAGUUUUUGUUUUCUCAACGAAAACAACGUUUAUAUGACAUCAUGGGGUGUCAUUAACGUGAUUUCUUCACCUGAAGGGGGAAAAGGACGCUACAAAUAGUCCAUGGAAUUUUGAUUAUAGAUCUCAAUUGAUAGUUCAUGUCUUGAUAUGCCAUAACAUAAUGCAGAGUCUAUAGAUUCUGCUUGCCACACUAAUUUGUGUGAUUGAAUAGAAUAGGAUGAAUUAUCAUACUGUUUGACCACCUGAUUUCCAUCACAUCCAAAGACUUUAAUGCUUCAGUUUAGUUCUAAACUGAGUUGACCAAAGAACAAAAGGUGUCUCACUGCUUUCUGCAAACUGCCUGAUGUAGAAGUUUCAGUUUCUCGUAGGGUAUAUCAAGAUAAAGAGUUUCCCUUCAUGUUUCCUGAUUUUUAAAACCACUUGGGCGUGGACCAUAUAGUUAUUGGACUUAUCCCAACUACUCUUUUUUGUGUUUUAGUAACAAAGAAAUAAGAGAAUUCUCAAUUACAUGUGAUCAAUUGGUAUUAACUAUUAAGGUCCAUCAUGCUGUUACAAACCAGUGAGCCAGUAACUGAGCACAAUUAGUCCACUUUCAAGUAAAUUUCAACUUCCAAGCUGUAAGGACAGCACUUCUAUUCUAACGGUAUAUGUUGUUCCUUGGUCUCUCUUUUUCAUAGGGCUAUUGAUGCAUGUGAGAACCUUUAGAGGAAAAUGGAAACAUAUAUUGGGCCGUUAUUUGGCCUCACCUUUGAAAACUGAUUCAAGUUUUGGCGUCUUCUGUUCUCAUCACUGCACAAAAUUGUCACAAGUCAUUUAAUUUAGAUUAUUUUCAUGAGUGGAAAGAGAAAAACAGCUGAGGCUAUCUCUACAUCUGUUCCUAGUCAUGUUUCACCACAACUAGAGACUGCAUGGUUAGUCAUCACAAAAAUGGGAGCACUAUAACACCAUAUCAAAUUAAUAACAAAAAUAUGUGAUGAAAUUUAUGAUAUUUCUUCAUGAUGGAGGCAAUCUCAAAUGAUAUGGUGUGUACUCCUGCCACUACUAGAUACUCUAAUGAAUAGGGAGUUAAGUUACUACAAAUGUUAAACUAAAAUAGGAGGCUCCCAAAAUUUGAAUGUUACUUUUUGGUGCAGAGUUGCAAUGGCUUGAAGCAGUAGUAGGGUGGUAAAGGCAACAUGGUUUUGACGUGUGUCAACCUCGGAAGAAGAUAAGAAUCUUUGUAUCCGUAGAAGCAAUUCUCAUAGAUAAUCUGGCAUAUCUCCUGGUGUGUUUGUUUACUACAAAAUGAUUAGGCCCACAAGGGAGAGUGGAUAUCCAUGUCAAAGGGUGUCAUGGUCAAAGGAGAGUGAGGUAUGAGUGGCCUUCCUUCACAUCAAUCCACACACUGUUUCUCUCUCUAUAUAUAUUAUGUUUGUGAAUAUUAUUAUUGUUUUUGUUUAGCUAAUGUCCCACAGGCUUUGGUAACUUUCUUUGAAACAUUUAGUUUUGUGAUAAUUUAUUUGUUAAUGGGGCCUUGGUUGCCAUGUUUAUCUCAAUGUUGCAAAUUGGAAUUUUGCAGAAUUAACCGUUUAGGUUGCCAUGAUUGCUAAAAAGGCUUGGAAAAAAAAGUUGAAACAAGGAGUGUGUCCUAAAAAAAAUGGAAAAAGAAGAGACCUGUCGGUAUGAGAAGGUACAUGAUAUGGUUGAGAGGGUUAUUGCAAUAUGCAGCAGAGACUCAAUGUUUCAGCAGAUUAUUGGAGCCAUGAACAGAAGGUUGGUGAUUCAAGGGUUCUGGUGGUGAUGAAAUUGCAUAUCAUUUUGAAUCCUUCUUGUCAGUCACAUGCACAUGACACCCUUUUUAUAGUUGUCAUCAUACUUCUAUAAAUUUCAUAAAAUUAUGAAACUGAAGUCUGAGAUACUAUCAACCUGAUGCAAGCACAACAGUUUCCUAGUCAAUAAUUAAUACAACUUCUGCCUCACUAUUCCGUGCAAAUAGAACUUCUGCAAAUCAUGCUGACAUCUAAGUAGGGUAAAAUUUAUUUUAACCGAAUUCAUUUUGAACCAAUUAUGAUUAGAAUGUAUAUCCACAUUAAUCUUCACUGUAGAUUUUAUAAUAGUGUAUGUAAAUCAAAGAUGCUCAAAUCCACAUAAGAAAUAAAUAAUUUGGCAUGUUAAGCAAUUUUCCUACAGUAGGCCUUUUAGUACUAAACCAAUCUCUUGCUAACAUAUAUAUCAAAUGACUAUUUUGAAAACACUUGACUAUAAAUCACUAAAUCUUAUGUAAAUAAUCAAAUUUAAAAACAUUUAAGUUGUAACGUGUACUAUGUAAUAAUAUCAAUGAUAAUAGUAAUAAUAAUUUGAAGAUAAAUUAUUGUAUGAGUACAGAAUUUAUAUGCAUACUGAAGUAAAAGCUGAAGAUGCAUCAAAACGAUAAUAACCAAAGACAGCAAUAUUUGUACUGAAGUUAUUUUAAACUUCUGAUUGGUUAUGUUCAUAGAUACUGCUGCUACAUGAACGAUGACUCUAGUACUAUAUUCCAUAAUAAAUCAUGCCAUAAUAUGUCCUUUCACUGCACGUACAGCAGCUUGAAACUAGCAUCAAGAUAGCCACCCCUUUUAUCUACUAACUUUUCUCCACCCUUUUUCAUCAUGAACCUAUUCUCUUACAUAUUAUGAAGUACUCUCAAAAAGCCUCAACAAUUUAACUCAUUUUAGACUCUAUAUUUUAACUGCACUCCAUUAUAUAUUGAGUUCACUGUUUUUGCAUUGUAGCAUAUUGGUAAUUUUCAUGGAUAUAUCAUAUAUGUGCUUAAUUUAAGUGUCUUCACCCACCUCAAGGGAAGAAAUAAUGAAAGUUUCUGUAGCUCCUUAAUGACUGGCUAAAAGUCAAACACGGUUGUAAAUGAAAAAGUUAUGUGGCUGACUGAACUCAUUAGUAGUGCAGGGUGCUGUAUUGCUGAUUUCUUCAGAACUGAUUUAUCUUUCUACUCAAUUUGGUGUAGUGACAGUGGAUCAUGUCGGCAAUGGCAAGCAAUUCUGACUGCUGACCAACUAAAAGGAAAAGACCCUUUUUUUUCUCUCUCUUUUUCUUUUUAAUUCAUAUAUUUUUUUUCCCUUUUGCUUGAUGUAUGGUAUAAUUUCAUUUUUCAUUCCAGUCUGGUUGUUCUUGUAUAGGAGAGGAGGAUGUUAUGAUUGGCAUAGGACAAAGCCAUCUUUUUACAAGAAUCUUCACACUUUCAAUGUUCCCCCAUCAUUAAUCUUUCUUUUUAAUGUCUCUCCUUUUACAUCCCACUAAACAAACCUCCCUUUGUUUUAGAUUUCAAGAUACAUUCUUUUUACCUCAUAAAUUUGUGUUAUGGGCUUGUAUAUUUUGAUUCUUUGCCCCCAUGAUUUCAUUCAUCAAUCUUUUCUUGGCUUAUUCAUUCAUCAAUGUAGGAAUUAAGAAAGAGUUCUUCCCUUACCAUCUAUCUCCUGCUUCUGAGAAUAAUAAAACACUAUUUAAAAGAAAAAACAGUCUAUGUUAAUUUAAUAUUAUAAUAAAUUUGUAAAUUUUUAUAAUAAUUGUCUAAAUGGCCAUUGUUAGUAUAACUUCUUUACAUCAACAACAAAAAGGAGAAACAAUAUUUUUCAAUUCAAUUUUACUAUGAUUUUCUGUUGGUGUGAACUAUUAUUUUUUACUGGUGAGAACCAGAUGAGUCCUAUAAGAAUCGAAAUCGGUAGGAGUUCUCUCAGUUCCUAGAGUAAAGAGUAAUUUUUAUAAAAAAAACACAUUAAUGAUGAGAAAAAUAAGUAGGUAAAACUUUAUCUGAAUUUGUGCAUAUAUAAAGUUUCCAUAUGGUAAAGAUGAUGAAAAAUUUUAACAAAAAGAUUCAUCUUCAUCUCUACAUCAUACAUUGAAAUAGCUAAUGGUUUAACUUUUACUAUCUUGGAUUAGGUGAUUUCUUGUUUAUUCUGAUUUCCAAAUACACUUUUAUUCUCACAAAAAAGUGUAAACCCUAAUGUGAGAAGGAAUAUUUGAGAAACAGUUGAUAUUCCCUCCUUUGGCCUAUUGAUUGUGUUUUUGAUGCCAAUCAGCUAACUAACCAUGAAAACUUUAACCUUUGGUAGUAUUUUGGUAGAUUUGAAAAUUUGGAGAUUGUGAUGAUGACAAUGAUUACAUGUUAAUCAAUUCUUCUCCUAUGAAAGGUGUGGACUGUGGAACAAUGAUUACACAUUAAUCAAUUCAUCUCCCCUAUCUCAACAUCUUGACCCUUGAUUUUAAGAUCAAUGGCUUUGCUUGCUACAUACCAACUUGCCCUACCUACCCCAUACACAAGGGGUCCUCUAAUGUGUGUUAGAUGUAGUAGAAACAAUUUGUGUAAUAAUGUAAAGCACAUAUUAUUCCUUGUUUUUUAGGGCAAUGCAAUCAUAACAAUGUUUAUACACAUGUUGGUAGAAUAGAAAGUGGACAACAAAAACCACACAUUAUUAUUACCAAUGUAUUUAAAACCAUAUUCUAUACUACUACACAUUCAUAUAAAAUAAUAAUAAUAAUAAUAAUAAUAAGUUCAUAUGUUGAAGAAAAUAAAAAUAACAAACAUUUUAGGUUAUUUAAUUUUAUGGUUUAUUUAUUUAACCAGUUAGUUCAUUAAUCCAAUUGACUGAUUUUUAAAAUAGAGUAAACCACCACAAAAUAGAUAUUUUUAAAAUUUAUGAGUAAUGAAUGCAUUAACUAAAGUGUUUUUUAUGUUAUUUAUUAAUUUUUAUUAUAACUGCGUUGAAAGUGAGAUUAAGAUAAUGGAAUUUGUUACUGCUAUGUGUAGAAAAUAAACUCUUAUUUUAUAUUUAUUUUAUCUGAAAGUUAAUUUGCAUUUAAAACGAAAUUAAAGUUGUGGAUCACGUGAGUACACACCUAUUCUUCUAGGUAUUUAUCUUUAGAUUAGGUUUUUCUUUUUAUUUGGAUUUAUCUGUUUUGCCAUAUUUCUGACAAAAGAUUAUUUCGAUGAUGUGAAAAUUCCAUAUUUCGUUAUUUCAAUAAAAUAAAAAAAAGUUUAAACAACUUAAUUAGACUGAAUUUAGUGGGGGAAAAUGUGCUAGCUAAUUAAAACAUUUUUUUGGCCGUGCUACAUUUAUUUUUUUGAGAUUUCUUUUAAAUAUUAAUAAGGACAACAUAUAUUCAAGAAAAUAAUAAAAUAUAAUCAAUAAUUUUUGGAACCUAAAUAAUAUAUUCAAACUAAACAUAUUUAACUUUCAUACAAAAUUAUUCUCUAUACGUUGUAAUAUAAUUUUUUCUUCCUUCUAGUACUACUCCCACCUUACAUAUUAAUAUGAAACAACUAUACACUUCUUAUAUCAAUAAUAUUAAUCACUACUAAAAACUAAUUUUAGAAACAAAAAAAUAAUUACUUACUAUAUUGAUUAAAUUAAAAACUAUCUUAAAAACUAAAAAAAUUAUUAGUAUCUACAUUAGUUUCUAAAUUGAUAACUAAUUAGCUACUAAGGUUUUAACUACUAACUACUUUAGAUUCUAAAACUGAUAGCUAAUUAGAUACCAAUUAAUUAAUUAAAUAUUAAUUUAACCAACUACUUUAAAUUCUAAAAUUGGUAAUUAAAACCUUGAUAGUUAAUUAAAUACCAAUUAACUAAUUAAAUGUUAAUUUAUAAAAGUUGGUUUAUAAAUCUAGAAACUAUUUGAUAUAACAAUAAUUUUUUAAUCUCUAAAAUUUUUUAUUUUGUUAUUUAAUGAUUUUUUUUUAUAAUGAGUUCCUUUAUGCUCUCAAAUAUAUAAGUGUCCGUAGUUAUGAAUUUAAUGACGAAUUUAGUGACGGAUUAGGAGACGAAAGCUUCUCCACUAUUAAGCUCACUUAUUAAUACAAUACAAGUAGAUAAUGAAGUUUGAUAUUUUAUCAAUUCAAAUUGGAAUAAUGAAUUGACCAAAGUCGAUUUUUUUCAUAAAUCGUGUUGGGUUUAAUUUGGUUGGUAGUCAAUUCAAACUCACUUGCACUCUCAAAUCAACCUUUGAAUUUUAUUCAAAUUUCAAUUUUGAAAUCAUAUAUAAUUUACAUGUCUCUCAGCUACAAAAGCUACUAUUCAUUCAAAGUAAAGUUACUUACUCACUCUCUACAAUUAUACCACAAAUUCAACUUACCACUUUUUAAUUUAAAUUUUUUUCUACCACAUAUUCAUUGCAAAAUUAAAGCAUAAUUGUUUAUAUCAUAAGACUUGAAGUUUAUAUAAUAUAAUAUAAAAUUAUAAAGUUUACCUGAAUUAAGAAGUAGAAGAGACGAAUCAAAGCGAUAAAGAUCUGAAUCUCAGUAGAUCAUGAAAUAGGUUAGAUCGAUAAAUAUCCGAAUGUCAGUGGAUCAUAAAAUAGAUUAAAUUCUUAAUAAAGAACUGGAUUAUCAAAUUUUGUAGGACUUUCUUAUUUUAAUAAGAACUCUCUAAAAGCCAUUUCUCUUUCCCUUAUGCAAUUGCAAGGCUUUAUUAAAACUUGAAACUAGUAUUCAUCUCACGUGACUAAGUAUUAUAUUUGCUUAGAUAAAAAUUUCUCUUCUUCUUCACCUUUCUUUAUUAGAGUUGUUGGUGCUUGAUUUGCCUAAUAAGUUCAAGAACAGUGAUGAACAUGAAUCCUUAUUAUUAGCUCAUUUUCAUGAAAGCAAAUCAAAGGUGAGAAAAUAUCAGAAAAAUCUGAGGCUGAGAUUGAAAGUGGAUUGGAGAUAUUUGUUUAUUCUAUUUGGUUUUUGUUUUGAUUAUAUGGUUUCAAAGAGUUGAAGUAUCAAUUUCAACCAACACUUUGUAACAAAGACCAGUGACAUCAUAUUCAUGCAAAUUGCAAAUGUUUAGUGGAGAAGUGUUUGUCCAUAUUGGAACACACAGUAACUCAUUCCCAUCACAAGUAAAUUACCUAUGAUGUUUUUGCUAAUUGUAAUUAAAUCUUCUAAUCAGUUCCUCUUAUCAUAAUCAUCUCUUUCUCUACAACAACUUACUAAGCUAAGGUUGAAGGAUAAUAUGCAGAAGUUACACAGAGCAUGUUAAAUUAGACAUUACUGCAGUUGUGACAUUUUUUCAUACACUUGUUAGGCAUGGAACUUUAAGUACAAGCCAUUAUGUGCUAUUUUCUAUCACAUGGUGUGUUACUUUUGCAGUUCCCACUUAAAGCUUGACCCUACAAACUUUGCCCAAACAAAUCUUCUCUGCAUCAGAUUUCUUUCUUUUCUCAUUCUGUCUUCACUGUUUUUCCCACCAAUCUAUGGCAUAAUUGGCUCUUGUAUAAGUGGCCCCAGUUUCAACAGAAUCACAAGAACAAUUGAAAAUAAUAUUAUGGUAUUAUUAGCCUAUUACCCACAAAGCCUCAUAUAAUUUUCAUUGAUUAAAGAUGGGUCCUAUCAUUAUUAGACAAUACACAUUAGACAAAGACUAAUACAUAAAUAUCACUUAUAGUUAGUAUUAAGAGAAGGGAGAGGUAACAGUUCAAGCACAGUAAUAUAUAUAUGUAUAAUAGCACCAAUCAGCAAGAUUUUUAUUACUCAAUUAGAUUACACUACUUUGGGAAAGUGAGCAACCAAUAAUCAUUUACACUUGAAAGCUAACCAUAUACCAUACCCUCAUUCUUAAAGUAAUUGAUGAAGGUGUCUUCAAACAUGAAUUCAAAGAUAAUGGUAUUAAGAAAAAACUUUAAACUAAUUCAACUUUAUAAAACCGACUGACUUAUAAGAUGAGGUUUGUACCUAUUUAUAUACUAUGAAAUAUCUUAAGUUCUAGUCGAUGUAGAAUCUCGAACACACCCUCUCACACCAAUACUGUUUGCGUGAGAUUAUAUAUUUAUGGAUGGUCUGAUAGCAGUCCGAUAGGGGUGACCUGAUAAAAUUAACAAAUUCUCCUUAUAAGGUAAGAUUUAUACAUACUUAUAUACUAUGAAAUAUCCUAAGUUCUAUUCGAUGUAGAAUCUCCAACACACUCCCUCACACCAAGACUGUUUGCGUGAGACUAUAUAUUUAUGGAUGGUCUGAUAGUGACCCGAUAGGGAUGACCUGAUAAAAUUAACAAUUUCUCUUUAGAAUAGACUUAAGAUUACUCUGAUAAGAAGUGAAUUUUAAGCCUAACUCAAUCUUAUAAAACCAACUUAUAAAGUGAGGUUUGCACCCACUUAUAUUAUGAUAUGACUUAAUCUCUAUUCGAUGUCGGAUCUCCAAAAAGGUUUCACAGGAUUUUGUUUUCUUGGCUUGAAAACCGUAGGAGGUGAGAAAUUGUUUGAAAUAAAAGAAAAAAAUAAAAAGUAGAAGGAAAAAUGUGAUGUUAAUAAUGAAGUUUUGUCGUGUUAGUUAGAAGUGUAGUGUGAUAGAGAAGAAAUUAGUGGAGGCAUGAAAUAUGGAAUUUACCUUACCUUACCUAAUAAUGGUUAUGGUGUAUGAUGAUUACAAAGCUUUUUAUUAUACUUUUUGUUUUCUUGUAUUCCUCUAUUUCCAUAAUUACUAUUGUACUCCCAAACAAUCCCUACAACUGGCCACCAAAACCUAUUAUUGUUGUACUCAACAUCAUAACAAAAACACAUGUAAAUCUAAUCUCAUUGGACCACUCCAAACCUAAUAGCUUGCUAACAUGUUCUUAAUUAGGUAUGUUUCCUUCUUAAUCAUUUUCGUUUCUAAUAUCAUAUUAUAUAUGCUAUGCUCUUCUUUCAUUAUAUGUAUUAUUAUUAUUAUUUUUCACAAACACACUUUCUUUUUUUGUUUUACGAAAUUCGUUUUAAUUAUAACUUUGUGUACAAUGUAUUAUUACAAAUUUAAUCAACCCCAAGUUUGCAACCAAGUGAUUUUAAUGGAAAGUGCUUUUGCAUUUUAUACAAACAAAAAAUCAUAUUCUCAUGCAAAGCUGCGUUUUGAGGCAAAAGUUUGACGGUUGAAGAAUCUAAUAGUUAUUAAAAAAGUGAUUUUGUAUUUUACGGUCGAUUUUAUUACUAGUAAUAGUGUUAAAUUUAAUUGAAAUUAAUUUUAAGAACUAAAUUUAUUAUUGUAAAAAAAUUAUCAAAUAUAAACUAAUUUAAUGAUAAAAAUAAUUAAUUUAUAUUAAUUAAUUUAGUUAUUAUUUUAUAAAUUAAAAUAUUAUUGAUAUUUAAAAUAAUUUCUAUUAUAAAAAAAAUUAUAAAAUAGUUUCUAAAUUGAUAUGUAACAUUAAUUAUUAAUUUAAUAUUUUAAAGAUUAAUAAAUUAGUUUUUAAAACCAAUUUUUCUUCUAGUGAUUUAAGAGAUAUAAUAUUCAUUUAUCAUAUUGACUUUAAAAUGUUGUUGAUAAUUGGUUAAAUAAUGAUUGAUUAAUUAUAAUUGGUAAUAAUAAAUAGUAAAAGGGUGAAGAAUAAGAGGACUUACCAAUAAUGUGCAUCAUCAUUUAGUAACAAUUGUGAAAUUGGGGUAAAGACUCAAACUUAACCAAUUAUAUGCUAUAUUGUCAUUUGAGACUAUAAUUUUUUUUUCACACAAUAAAUUAUUAAGUUUUGUUGAUCUUUUUAAAUUAAAUUUUAAUUAUAUGCCAUGUAAAAGUUAGUGAGACUAUAGACACAUAAUAAUUUCAAAAUAUCUAAUAAUGUCUCCUAUUGAUGACUAGAUUGUGUUCUUUUUUAAAAGGAAAAUUGAAUUUUAAAUGGGCUUUAACUCUUUUUUACUCCAUUAAUGUCUUUGUUCACCUUUUAUUUAUUCAUUUUGCACUUUCCAAAAUAUAAAUUUGACAUUAAUGAGAAAGAGGUGAGCAAUAAAUUAAUGGAUACAAGAACAAAUACCUUUGAGAUGAGAUGAGUUUAGUAGAAUUGAUCCAUUUAAUAUGUGAGUCCAGUGACCAAAGAUAUGUGUCAACAAUUAUUUGGGCCAAUGUUUUAGAAGACACAUUUCACAAAUGAUAAAUUCUCCCUCCACCUCCAUCCAUUUUUUUUUUGCAUCUUCAUAAUAAUUAUAAAAAAGUCAAAAUUUUUUAAAAAAUUUAAAUAAUAUUAAAUAAAGUAUAACUUCAAUUACAUCCAUGUACUCUUAUACUUUCUUUCAAUCACAACACUUUCAUUCUUUUUCGGCCGCAAAGUUUGAAAUAACAGUUCCUUCAUUUGAGUUUGUGUGAGACGAUUGACGAGAAUAUUUAUUGUAUUCCGAGUUUCCAAUGCAAAGAUAAUUUUCUUUUGAGUUUUAUACUUCAUUUUUACACAUCGCUGGUUUUUGUUUUGUUUUGUAGCUUAAAAAAAAUCGAACAAAAAUACUACCACUAGUAAAAAUAUCACAAAAUUUACCUCAAUCACUAACAUUCACCACCAACUACAACUACUUGUAAAUGAAAAAGAAAACACCACAUUGUCCAUCAUGUUCAAAAAGGUAUUGUUGAAAUUAAAAAAAAAGAAAGUAUAGAAGUGCAAAGAAAAUAUGAAGGUGUAGAAAGAAUUUACUUCGACAAAUACAUAUGAUUUAGGAUUAAAGAAAAAGAUAAUUUAACCCAUUAUUAUAGAAAAUAAUAAAUGAAGUAAUUAGAUGAAUAAAAAUGUUAUACAAAUGUACAAUAUUAUAAAGGAAGAAAAAAAGUAGCAAUCCAUUUUACUAAAGAAUAUACAUUCUUAGGAAAAUCGUUUUAAAAAUAACAAAAAAUUGCACCUUUUUUUGUAAACCUACAUAUACAAAUUUAUAAUUGUUUUAAAUACUAUAGUAACAUUCUUUAUACAUUAAAAAAUCUACUUUAAUUGUUUGAAAAAUGUUAUAUGUUGUAUACUCCUACAAGAAUAGCUAUUUAGAUGUUAAGAAAAACAAAAAAAUUAUCGUUUCAAUCUAUAAAAAAAAUAACAUCAAGAUCAAACAUUGAAAGCAUAUAAAUAAUCUUGAAAAUUUUGUCCAAACAAAAAAAAGUUUAGAUACUAUAGUCUUUAGCAUAAAGUUAACCUAUCAAGUUUAGAAAUGGAAAAUUGUAGCUAAAAAUAUAAGUGUUUCACAAUAUCAAUUCUCCUCUAGGAUGAUAAUGGGUUAGAAAAUUGUUUUAUUAUUUGUUAUAUAUAUAUAUAUAUAUAUAUAUUUCAAAAUAUCUAAAAAAAUUAUAUAUCAAUUACGAUUCUGUAAAAAUCUUUUUUACUAUUAGCACACAAAUUAUUUACUCAAAAACAAAUAUUAGAAUUUUUAUUAUUAUUUCUCAUCAUUUUUUACUACCUCCUUAACAAGGGUUUCUUUAUACAUCUCCAUAGUUUCUUCAACACUCCAAUCUUCUUAAAAUACUAAAAUUACCAUGUAUUUUAUUGAUAUUUUUUCCAUUUCAAAAAUAUCUUACAAAUUUUAUAAUUCAGAAUAUGUUUCUUAAGAAAAAUACAUUCUUGAUUCGUAAGAUCUUCAAAAUAUUUCCAAAUUCAUAAAUACUUUUCUAGAUUCUAUAAUCUAAAAUAUAUUUAUUAAAAGAAAUACAUUAUGAAUUUUGGAAUUAAUAAUGUAUUUAUGGAUCCAUAAAUACAUUUUGGAUUGUAUAAUACAUAAUGUAUGUUUUCUUAAGAAAAUUAUAUUCUAGAUUAUAGGAUACGAAAGGUAUUAGAAAUAUCUUUUGAAUUCUAUAACAUGUUUCUAAAAAAUACAUUCUUAUGAAAGUAUCUUAUAAUGUUUUUUUUAAGAGUUAAAUAGUCUUUUCUCAUUUAUGAAGGUGUCAAAAGAAACUAUGGAGGUGUAGGAAAAAAAUACCCUCAACAAGUAUUUGAAGAUUAAACGGGCCAUAUGUGGGCUAUAAUUAAAAUAGGCCCAGCCUGUGACAAGAGGCUUGGGCUAUCUAUCCAUUUUUCUAAGUGGAAGUGCUCUUUACUAGAAUCAGCAUGAUUUUAUGCCAAAAAAAAUGAUGCGAUUCUACUCAACCUCUGCAAAACCUUCUCAUUCUGAUCACUAUUCUAGACUUGUCUCUUUGAUUGAAUCAUGCAAGUCAAUGCAACAAAUUAAGCAGACCCAUUCACAGUUAGUAACCACUGCUCUAAUCUCACACCCUGUUUCAGCCAACAAGCUCCUCAAGCUUGCUGCUUGUGCUUCUCUUUCUUAUGCCCACAAACUGUUUGAUCAAAUUCCUCAACCAGACUUGUUCAUUUACAACACCAUGAUCAAAGCACAUUCUUUGUUACCGCAUUCCUGCCACAAUUCCUUUGGGGUUUUCCGCUCAUUGACCCGGGAUUCGGACCUUUUUCCGAAUCGAUAUAGCUUUGUGUUUGCUUUCAGUGCCUGUGGCAAUGGGCUGAGCAUGCAGGAGGGACAGCAGGUUCGCGUCCAUGCUGUGAAGGUUGGUUUGGAGAACAAUGUGUUUGUUUUGAAUGCCUUGAUUAGUAUGUAUGGGAAGUGGGGACUUGUGGAGGAGGGCUGGAAGGUAUUUCAAUGGGCUGUGGAUAGAGACUUGUAUUCUUGGAACACCAUGAUUGCUGCCUUCGUUGGAUCUGGUGACAUGAGUCGAGCUAAGGAAUUGUUUGAUGGAAUGCAAGAAAAAGAUGUUGUGUCAUGGAGUACUAUAAUAGCUGGUUAUGUUCAGGUAUUGCUGGAUUUGAAAGUAAACAAAAUAAUGAUAUUAGCAUUUUACACGAUUGCCUUGUUCGUUUGAAGUGGACAUUUCACUAGGACGCGGUUGAAAGUAUGUCAUAUUGGUUGUGUUUGACUUAAUUGUUAAUGUGCCGUGUCUAAAGUUGCUUCAUGCUUACUAUAGGUUGGGUGUUUCGUGGAGGCUUUGGAUUUUUUCAACGAGAUGUUGCAAAUAGGUCCCAGGCCAAAUGAAUAUACCCUUGUAAGCGCUUUUGCCGCUUGUUCGAAUCUAGUAGCACUGGAUCAAGGAAAGUGGAUACACGCUUACAUUGGGAGAGGCGAGAUUAAGAUGAAUGAAAGGCUUUUAGCUAGCAUCAUUGACAUGUAUGCAAAGUGUGGGGAAAUAGAAUCAGCAUCCAGGAUUUUCUUUAAUUACAAGGUAAAGCAAAAAGUUUGGCCAUGGAAUGCCAUGAUUGGUGGGUUUGCAAUGCAUGGGAAACCCAACGAGGCCAUAAAUGUCUUUGAACAAAUGAAGGUUAAAAAAGUUUCCCCUAAUAAAGUCACAUUCAUUGCCUUAUUGAAUGCUUGUAGCCAUGGCUAUAUGGUCGAGGAGGGGAAAUUAUAUUUCAGAUUGAUGGUUAGUGAUUAUGCUAUUACACCAGAAAUAGAGCAUUAUGGAUGCAUGGUGGAUCUACUUAGUCGAUCGGGUUUCUUGAAAAAGGCUGAAGACAUGAUUUCAAGUAUGCCAAUGGCUCCUGAUGUUGCCAUCUGGGGAGCACUGUUGAAUGCUUGUAGAAUCUACAAAGACAUAGAGCGGGGAUAUAGAAUAGGAAGGAUCAUUAAAGACAUGGAUCCUAACCAUAUAGGGUGUCAUGUUCUAUUGAGUAAUAUAUAUUCAACAUCUGGGAGAUGGAAUGAAGCAAGAAUGCUGAGAGAAAAGAAAGAACUCAGUAAUGAGAGAAAAAAGAUUCCUGGUUGCAGCUCAAUUGAAUUGAAGGGGACAUUCCAUCAGUUCCUUGUUGGAGACAGAUCCCAUCCUGAAAGUAGGGAGAUUUAUUCAUUUUUGGAUGAGAUGACAAUCAAGUUGAAGAGUGCUGGGUAUGUUCCAGAGUUUGGAGAACUUUUGCGAGAUAUUGACGAUGAGGAAGAUAAAGAGACUGCUCUGUCUGUUCACAGUGAGAAGUUGGCUAUUGCUUUUGGAUUGAUGAACACAGCAUAUGGAACUCCAAUUCGCAUUGUAAAGAAUUUAAGGGUUUGUGGGGAUUGCCACCAAGCAACAAAGUUCAUCUCCAAAGUUUAUGAUCGAGUAAUUAUAGUAAGAGACAGGACAAGGUAUCACCACUUCAAAGAUGGAAUCUGUUCUUGUAAAGACUACUGGUAGAUAAGGAAGCAGCUACAUAUGUCAAUUAAGCUUCAGCCAACAUUUUCCCCCUUUUGCCCACCUUUGACACAACAGAACAUUUUUGUUUAUAUGGCAAACUCAUAUAUUGAGUCGACCAGACAAAGAUAUGCAUUUGAUGAGAGAUUUUAGCUAACAAAAACAAUAAUGUUGCCCAUGCGAUCAGCUCCUGUAUAACAUACUAAUAAGAAAAGUUCAAAGAAGGAAGAAUGACCUUCUAUGAGCAUUAUUUGCAUUGUUGAACAGUUCGCCAAUUGGUUUAUUAAAGGAGACUAUUGCUUUUGGGGCUUUUGGCUAAUUCUUGAAGAAUGCCCUUUACGGUGCUGUCAAUUCUUUACAGCUUCUGAUAAUGGAAGUUGCCUGAAGUUUGUACGCUUCUGUUUCUAUUGUAUACACUAUAUAUGUACUGAACAAAGAAUAGCUUGUCCUUGUUGGAACAGAUAAAGCACAAUCGUUGAGGAGUAAAUUGUUGUAUAGUUAUUCUUGACCAUUUUGUAUAGGUCUCAUUUUUCCGAAAACUUUUAUUUUAUAUUUGGAUAUUUACCAAAACCUUUUCUUUGAGGUUGUUUCCUCAGACCGUCAUUAUUUCAGUUUUAUCAUGGCUUCGUGAUUGUAUUGCGCAACUUUUAUGAGAUUAGUAAAGUUUUGUACAUUUGGUACUCUGUAUAAAACUUUAAGCUGAGGAUGUUACAGGCUUAAGAGCGAGAGCAACUCUGAAUUUUGGACAAAAUAGAUGUAGAUGUUGGAAGCUACAUAUAUAUGGGAUUAGAUUUAAGAUUGUUGUUAUAAACCUGUACUGUUUCAUUAAGGGAUAAUAUCCUUGCAUCUCCUCUUUAUUCUUGUCUGAAUAUGGAAAAUAGAAGCUGAAAAUGUAUCGAACUUACAUAUUGAAAGCAGAGACAACGCGUUCCAUUCUCAACACUGUUGGGCAACACAUUACUCGAGUUUGGCUACAUAUUUACAUAUAUUUUCAAGGUAAAAGGUCAUUUUGAAAUUAUACAAAGUUAUCACAUUAAUCCUUAAAAUUAAAAAAUAAUAAUACCUGAAAAUACAAUUCAUUAACAUUAGUUCAAUUCUUGAUCCAAACUUGAGAGAUAAUAUUAAUAUGUUCAUAGAUAAAAAUGACAACAAGUAAUAUUUCAAAAAGGUAAUAUACUGCAAAAAGAGGAAGGCCAUAAACUAUUUCUUUUAACUCGUAUGAAUUUACCUUUUGAAUUUCUAAAAUAUAGCAUGACAGCAAAGUUUACAUAAUGCGACAGAAAAACAUCUGAUUUUACAUCCAACUGACCAAAAACUUUUAUUGCACAAAAGUAAGCAGAAACUUAUUACUUACACGCCAGUAUAAUUCAUGUGUGACUGUAAAGGGCUAUACUUUCGAAGGCAAUCAUACAAAAUCACUCCUCCACAUUUACGUGAGCACUGGCUGCUUCCAUCAUUCCAUUGCGUAUCUGCUCUCCAAUAUCCCUAACAUGGCCAGGUCCAUGGGGUAUAAAAACAGUGGUAUUCUUUGAUGAGUUCCCAAGAUCUUUGAUUGUGUCAAAGUACUGAGUUAUCAUGAUAAGAUCCAUCACCUCCUUAGCAUUAGUGCCUUCUACUUUGUGAGAGAAAUUCAGGAUGUUCUCUCUCAAGCCAUCGGUAAUAGCUUGCCGCUGCCUAGCCACACCAACCCCACCCAAAUACUUGGCCUCGGCUUCAGCUUCUGCUUUUUUAACUAGCAAUAUCUUUUCGGCUUCUCCUUUGUACUCACUUGCAAGUUGCAUCCUUUGAGCUGUCAAAUAAAAUCAAUCCUCACUGAAUACCGUGGCAUACAAUUGAACGUACCAUAAUCUUAAUUAAUCCACUAAUAUUUGGAUUGGCGGAAAAAGAUGGAAUAGAAUAUUAAUGGUGUUAUGCUCCAUUGCUUUAAUUGAUAAAACAAAGAUGAAAAAUAAUGAAAACCAUGAAAAUUAUUUCAUUGUUUACCUUUAUUUUUAACAUCCACACCCUCAAUUUGGGUGGAAUGUGACGGAAUGGAAUUUUGUUUUAUUUCAUCAUAACAUCUCCAAACAAUGAAAUGGAAGUAUAUUGCAUUAAUAUUAAAUUUCAUAUUUUCAUUUCAAUCCAUCCCAUCCUUUUGCUUCAAUCCACACUGCCCUAUUAAAGGGUAAAUACACUUCUAUAAUAUUUGCUCAUUUUAGAGACAAACCCAUCUAAGAGGAGUAUGUUUAGAGAGGGAAAUUAUAAUAUGCAUACAUACAUGUUAUGUUACUACUUCGUAAUAUUGCCAUGAAAAUAAAAAUAAGAACUAUAAAACAUGAAGUGUUAUUACCUGCAUUGAUCUCAUUCAUUGCCUUACGUACAGAAGGAUCAGGUAUAAUAUCAACCAUGAGUAUGUGCUCUAUAUUAUACCCAUAUUCUCCCAUUACCUGAUAAUUCAGGAGAUAAAGACCAUUGGUAUUCAGAAAAAUAAUCAAUCGAGGAUGAGAGAACAAGCCAACCAAAAUCUUACUAAGUCAUCAUAUUUCAAAACAAAUCCUUAUUCAUAAAAACUUUCUUAGUUUCAUUUACGCCACCAACAAACUAUAGUUUUAAAAGAAAUAGACGUCUUGUAAACAACUACAGAUUCUCUCUUGACUUGUCACCUCUCAUAUACUUCGGUGUAGAUGGCCAGAACUUUAUUUUACUUCUAUUCUAUUUAUUUCUUUCCUACAUACUAAAACAAUGUCCAGGCCAGACAUGUGUCUGUCGACUGUUGGAACAAAUUAUUCCCACCUACUUCCUUCUCUCAACAUGGCCACCUAUGCUUUCUAUCUAAAUUACUGAUCAAUGAUUAACAUAUGUUUAAUUUCUCCUUUCCAAUGGAAACAACAAAAAACACACUCACUCACUCUUUGUCAAUAGAAUAGCCUUGAACAUAUAGAUGAAUUUAAUAUGUACUAACUUAUUAUUUGUAUAUUUACAAGUCAUAUGCAUAAAGACCCAAGAGACUCUUCCAUCAAUGUAUCAAGACCUGAUAAACUUUCACCAUAAGAAAAUAAAAAUAAGAAAAAUGAAUUAAGCUUUUCACAUAAGCUAAAAUCAACUUAUUCACUUCUAUAAAAGCUCUUUUCAUUUAACUUAAGCAGAAGUUAGGCUGCAUUAGUUGAAUUUAGCUUAUAGAGAAGUCCAAAGCAUUUUACCUACUUGUUUUCAUCUUGUUAAAAUUGUGAUUAAUAUUUCAUUGUAAAAUUUUCAUAAAGCUGUUUUUGUGUGUGUGUGUGUGUACUUACCUAGUCUAAGGAUUGAGCGUUAUAGACUUUAGUUAUUCCUUCUGUUGUAAAAUAAAUCACUUGAGGGCAAUAACUCACUGAUUUUUAUCACUUCUAAAAUCAAGUUGGAAACGAUGCGAGUACAAUCCUGCUCUGUCUUCACCUGUCACCGAACAACCACUGUUAGUUAUCUCCGGCCGACAUUGCCAUUGUCCGCCAUCUUUUUCAUUUAGCAAAGUCAGAGUUAUGUGCACCUCAAGGACCACAACCCAACCUCGACACUCAUGUGACCACAAACCUCCAAACAUGCCACCAUGCACUGAUCUCCAUCAACACUACACCAAACACAUGUUUCCCAUAAGCUUCCUUCCCAUCAAUGUUUGUCUAUUCAAAGUCUUCUGGGCACAUUUUUACCCUUGGUUCCCAAUUUCAACAUCCUUGGGCAGUUGGUCAUGUCUCUUUCCUCACAUAUUAGGGUUUUCCUUCCAUCUCUCCUGGGAUUGUUGCUCAAGGGGAGUCUAGUGUGUAAAUUACAUUGCUCUCUCUAUGGGCCGAAGUAGUCAUCCUGAAGGUAAAUUUAGUAAUAUUAUACAGAUUUUUAGAUUGAAACAAAGUGAAAUAGAUAGAUCACUUAGUUUUCUAUUGUUAUACUUCUGCCGGGAAGUGUGUUAAUCUAAUGAUCUGUGUUGAUGAUAUAGUUAUUAUAAAGAAAUGAUACCAUUAGGAUUUCUCAACUAAAGGAGUGCUUAUUUAUCCAUUUUCUAACCAAAGAUCUUGGUUAUAUGAAAUACUUGUUGGGUAUUGAAGUGACUCUAUCAGAGGAAAUUGUUAUUGUUCACAAAGAAAAUAUGCUUAUGAUAUUCUAGAGGUGACAGCGUUUGUUGAUAGUCCUAUGAACCCAAAUCAAAAGCUAAUGAUGAAUCAAGGUGAAACUUUUUCAAGAUCCAAAGAAAUAUAGGAGGCUAGGAGGAAAACUUAGUUAUCUCACUAUUACAAGACUUGAUAUUUCUUAUGUAGUUAGAGUUGUUAAUCACUUUAUGCAAAAAAAUUACCUUGAUCACUGAAAUAUUGUAAUUUGCAUUCUCAAAUAUAUCAAAAAUGAGUUCAGGACAAAGAUUGUUAUAUGAGGACAAGGGAGGUACUCAAAUUAUAGGGUAUUGUGAUGCAGAUUGGGCUAGUUGUGCCAUUGACACGAGAUCCACCACAAAAUAUUUUGUCUUCUUUAGAGAGAAUAUUGUCCCUUGGAAGAGCCAAAAACAAUAUGUUGUUUCUCAGAACAGUGCAGAAAUUGAAUAUAGAUAUAUAGCUUUGACCACUUGUGUGGAUUAAGCAACUCCUCCAAGGGUUGAAAUUUUGUGAAGUUGAGUAGAUGAAGAUGUAUUGGGAUAAUCAAGUAUCCCUUCAGUUGUCUCCAAUCUAGUGUUUCAUGAGAGAACCAAACACAUAGAGGUUGAUUGUCAUUUUGUCAAGGAGAAGUUGUUGUCCAAGGAAAUUACUGGAUUUAUCAGCUUUAAUGACCAACUUAGAGAUAUUCUAACUAAGUCUUUGAGAGGACCAAGAAUUCAGUUUAUAUACUUCAUGUUUGGUGCAUACAAUUUAUAUGCGCUUGAGGGGAGUGUUAAAGUUGUGAUUAUUAUUUUAUUGUAUCAUAAUGCUGUUUUUUUUAUUUUGUGUAUGUACCUAGCCUAAGGAUUGAGUGUUAUAGGUUGUAGCUAUUCUUUUUAUUGUACUCUUCUCAUCUUUCCUACACACACAUGUAUAUAAUACAUCAACCGAGAACAAUAACUCACUGAUUUUUACCCCCUCUAAAUUCAAGUCUUCUUUCUUAUACCAGUGCUUGUGGAAAAGUUUAUCCAAAUAAUACGAACUACUUACAAAAAGGAAGUUACCUUUUCAAGUUCCUCCAAGACAGAUCUGGCAACCUCGCCCUUCUGCUCAAAGAGCUCAUCCAAGUUCAUUCUCGGAACAAUAGCACGUGUCACUGAACCACCAACCAAACCACAAAACACACAGUUAAAACAACAAAUCAAAAUUCACACAAUUGUCCACAAAAAAAAAAAAACCGUUAACAAACACAACCAUCGAAAACAUAAGCCUGGAUCUGCUCCUGAGGAUUCUGCAAUUCAUAGAAAGCAUCAUCCGCGUUUUCCUUAAUCACUCGGUACUGAAUUGAACACAGCAACUGCACAAACACGUUGUCCUGCUCCACAAUUCAAAAUUACAAAUCACUCACUAUUCCUCAUUUAUAUCAUUCAUAGGUCAUAAUCUGCACUCACUAACUAAAAAUCACACACUGUGCUAACAAAUUAACAAAAAAAUUACUCGAUUGUGUCAUAAAAUCUGAUAAAAUUUAAGAAAUAAAAAUAAUCGGGAAUUGAAACGGAAUUGAUUGGGGACCUUGGUUUUGGUCUCGAUUCGGACGUCGAGGGAGGAGAUUCUGGUGGAGAGGAUUCCGGCGAGGCAUUCGCCGGCGAGAGGGUUGAAAACGUGGAAACCGGGUUGCGCUAGGCGGUGGAAACGCCCCCACUGUUCAACGACGCCGACGCUCGAUUGAGCGACGCAUCCACAGAACAAACAGAACGAGUUUCCCAUCUUUGCUAUUCUAAAAUCAAAAGCAGGAACAACCACAAACAAACACUGCCUUAAAUGAAAAUAUCUUCUUCUUCUUCUCUUUUCAAAGUUAACGUGUUAUAUACUUUCAUUGCUCAUAAGAAGAAAUGUUAAUUGGGAUAAAUGUUUAAGAUUUUCUCCAUGCUUUUAAAUUUCUGUUAAUAAAGAAAGAAAAAGAAAAUUGAAUUUACUUUAUACAUUUCUUUUUUUAUAAAUCACAAUAUGUAUGUAUUGGAAAAAAACUAUAUAUUAAUUUUUUUAACAUAUGAAUAUUAAUUUUUAUAAUAGUUAGUUAAAAGUGAUAGAUAAUUGGCUAUUAAAAUUAGUUUGGAUAGUUUUUUUUUUCUAUAAACAAGUUAAAUACUAUAAAAUAGAUUUUAGAUAAAUUACUAAAAAAUAAUUUCUAUAAAAUAGUUCUCUGAUAAAUUAAUUUUAAGUUUUUAAAUUAUGGUAAUGACUUCUUUUUGAAUUUUAUAUUUGGUUAUGGAAAAAAUUAGUUAAAUAAAUCCUCCUCCGCCAUUAAAUAAAAAAUAAUAUGUUUUUCAACUUUUUUAGUAAAUAUUUUAAAAUUUAUAUGAAUGAUGAUUUUUAAAUUGUUAAAAAGGUAAAAGUUUUAUUAGUACAUUAUCAUUAAACUUAAAUGUUGUAUUUUUCAUGUUUUAAAUUUGUUAAGUACAUAAAAAGUACACUAAAAAUUAAAAUAUUUCAAUUUUUAAAAGGGAAUUUGCAUCACAAUUCACGAGUACUAUUUCACGUGAUAGCUUAUGAAAAAAACUACUUCACGUCACAAUUUAUAAUUUAUAGAAAAACUGCUUUCACAAAUAAUAUUUUUUGGGCAGGUUGAAAAAAUCAUUUAAAUAUUUGAAAAUAUCUUUAUAUUUAUUUGUUUAUUUGUUUUAUAUAAUAAAUAUUGAAUAUUUUAUUUUUAAAAUAGUAAAAAUAUUUAUGAAAAGUAUUAAAUAUUUACGAAAAUUAUGAGAAAACAUAACAAAUCUCGUGUUUAUAUUUUAAGGCUAACUGCGUGUAGAAAAAUUGAUAAAAUGUGACGUGUAGCACAUUUUUUUAUUUGUUAACAAUAUUAUUAUGAUUAAAAAUUAGAGGUAUUCAAUGAAAAAUAGAGAUAUUUAUUAAAACAUACAAGUUGAAACAAAAUUAAAUUAAAAUAAAACAUAAAUUUUCUUUUCUUUAAUGUUUAUCAUUUUAUUUUGAUUUGGGGAAAAAUGAUAGAAUUUUAUAUUUUUUCUAUUUGAUUAUAAAUUAUUUUAAACAUAAUUUAUUUGAGAUAUAGUUUCAGCUAUUCUAUUAGCUAUUAAUUAUGACAAGAUUAAGUAUGUAAUGUUGUAUACUUUUACAAUAAUUACUAAAUAAUGUUUUAUGUAAAUAUACAAAUAAAACAAAAAUUUCAACAUAUUUAAACAUAAAAUACUUUAGUAAUUUAAUAAGUUAAAGUGAAAAAAAUAUUAUAUAACUUAAAAUUAUAUUACAUACCCAACCCAAUAGGUAAAACCAAACGUUCAACUUCCCACUCCAAUUCGACGCCGAAGCUGAACCUUCUCAUUAUAAAUAUAAAAUAAUUAAUAUCUUUGACAAUAUUAAAAUAUGUUAUAUUUCUAAAAUUUAGUAUUAUUUUUUAGUAUUAAUAAGAAUUAAAGUUAAGUAUCAUGUAUUUGUAAUUUGAAACUAUUUAUAAUAAUAAACCCAUAGCUUGUGCGAUUAAAAAAAUAAAUAUGAAUUAAUUUAGUCAAUACAGUUUUCUUUUUGACAACUAUGAAAUAAGUAUUAUUUAGAGAUAUUGUAUUUUAAUGAAAAUAAAACAGUAACAUGGAAAUAUUUUUGGAUUUUUUUUACAGUAAUAGUAUAAAACGAAGGUUCUUAUGAGCCAAUAAGAUAAGGUUUGUAUAAAUAAAGUUCAUAUUAGUCAAUCAAAAUAAAAAAUAAAAAUACAAAAUGAUAAAUUUAAAUUACAUUAUUUGAUAUGAGUUGUACAAUAGAAAAGUUCUUGAGAUAUAACUAAUUAACCAAUAAUGAUAUAAGCUUCUUUUUUUUUUCAAAUUGAAUAGUUAUAAUAGUUGCAUUUCAUUGAUUAAAUAAUCAAUUACAAUUUUCACAUAAUUAUAAAGAUCAAUUGUCUUCAUGUAUAAAUAAAUCAAUUGUCUUUACUCAUUUUUUUUCGAGAAAGUGAAGGAUAAUGUUAAAUUUAUGUAAAUUCAAACUUUAUACAAAUAAUUAGAAGAUUAAAUUAUUUAAAUAUAUUUGAAUGAAUAAGUAUGUAGGAUUAAACAUUUCUAAGAAAAUCUUAAUUAUUAUUUUUCGUCAUUAAUAUACUUUACUAGGGAUGACUUCAACAGUCAGAAUCCUAACAUUUAAAAACAACUAAAAUAAUUUAAGUAAUAGUUAGAAUUAUUUAAAAACUAGAAUCAAAGUUUUAAAAAUUAUAGCAUUAGGUUUACCAUGAUAAUUUAUAAUUUAAUGUAUAAAUUAAAUAUAAUAGUUUUAAUAAUUUGUUUUUAGGAAUGAUAUUUCUGCUAAAAAAAACUUUAGUGAAAUUUUACCGUGACCAAAAAUUAAUUUUUUAAUUUAUACUCUUUUACGGUACUAAUAAUAAUUUAACAGAAUAUUUAAUAAUUAUUAACCGUUAAGCAUAGUUAAACUACUAAUAUAGGAGUAAAAUUGAAAUUUUAAUUUAUAGGGGUCUAGUUUAAAUUUAUGGGGUGCAGAAUGCAAAGCUCUGAAAGCAUAUUUGAGAACCAUGCUUGGCCCAUUUGGUUUUCUAACCUCAUCAUCUCACCAUUUCUAUUUUGUUUUCCCUUUCUACACUUCCAUAAUUUUUUUAUACACCUCCUAACAUUUUGAGAAAGACUAUAUUAUACCUUUGUCUCCUUUGUAUGUGGAAGAGUUUUUUUUUUUUUUCUAGAUUUCUAGACUUUUUGAGAAAUAUAUUUUGGAUACUUUUUAUUAUACAAGGAAGUAUGUUAUAAGAUCUAACAAUUAAUGUUUAUUUGUUUUACUAUAAUUUGAUAUCUAUUUUCCCGGGAAGAAGAAAUGAGAGGUGCGGUGAAGACGAAAAGAAGAAAGGAGGGAUGCGGUGAAGAUGAGAAGAAAAAAGGAGAGGUGUGGUGAAGAGGGGAAGAAGAAAAGAGAGGAAGGCAAGACAAAGAAGAAUAAAAGAGUGAAUAAGACUGAAGGCGCAAGCGAAGAAGUGGGAGUGCAGGAUUUUAAAAAUCAAACAAUCAACAAUGGUUAGGUUGAAUCUGUCAUUAAAAACCCACAAACACUCUUAUAACGACGGUUCAUGAUAGAAUGGUCGUUAUAAAAACUAAAUAAUUACAAGUUUACCACCGAUUUUUUUAACGAUGGUUUUGUAAAAAUAGUGAGUCGUCGUAUUGAAGUAUUGGUAUCUAAAGUAGUUUUUAUUAUUAAUAAAAAUUUAUAAAAUAAUUUUUAAAUUGAUAUCUAACUAUUAACUACCAAGAUUUUAGCUACUCCCUACUUUAUAUUCUAAAUUAAUCUUUUAGAGACUAAUUUAAAAUCUAAAAUAUUAGUAAUUAAAACCUUUAUAGCUAAAACCUUGGUAGCUAAUUUAGAUAUCAAUUUAGAAACUACUUUAUAAUUUUUUCUUAAUAAUAAAAAUUAUUUUAGAUAAAAAAAUUUUAUUCUCUAAAAUAGUAUCUAAUUUAGUAAAUAUAACGAUUAAUUAUUUUUAGUUUUAAAAUUUAGUUAUUAUUUAAUUUUUUUUGUUAUAAUUGGAUCCAUAUUUUUGUGUUAAUUUUAAAUACUUUUGAGCUAAAAACACUCUACGUUGGUUUUAAUAUCUAUACUUUUGCUUAUAAAAAAAUAUUGAUUUAUAAGACUAGAUAAUUACAAGGCAUGAUUCCAUAAAGCAAUAAACAUCAACUGCAUAUAAAUCUAGCCCCAUGCAAACGCACUUUUUUCUGCUUUUUGUGCCACAAUCAAAAGAGAUGCAUGCAUACUUUUCACGUGUGCUACAUUCAUAUACACAAUAUGCAUUAUAUAAACAUCAUCAUUAAUUCUAUUUCAUACACUCUAUCAUUCAUUGCCCAUUAUUUUCAAACACUAUAAUUAUUUGUUCCCUUCAUUUAUAUAUAUUAUAUUCAUAAAAGGCUUACAUUAAUACCCAAAAAAGACAGUGUGGUAGAGUAUAAAGUAGCACCUAUACAAAGCUUAUAAAUGAGGUAUGUAGAUCCAUACAAACUUGUGUCCUCCAUCUCCAUGGAUGCACCCAAAGCCAUCUACCAGAAUCUAUAGACCCAUAACUUGUUUAUUUCUGCAUCAUAUAACAUAAUUUGUUGUAUGUAUAUCUAUUCAUUAGAUUUUCAUAACCAAUUGGAGUUUGGUAGAAGAUGGGACAAGACUAUUGGAGUUAAAUUUAGAAAAAAAACUAAUGCAAAAGAAAAAAAUUAGCUAAACAUUUAACCAAAGUGUAUAUAUAUAUAGUUUUUGUUGAUUUAGGUUGGGGUGUGAAGUCCUACCUUAUUUUUAUUUUUGUAUAAGAGUUGAAUCACCUCUUAAGUGACUCAUAUUUAUUUAUUGUUUCUUCUCGAUAAAAAAAAAAUAAAUGAUACGACAAUAGUCUGAGUUACAGAAUAUGUUUAAUAAAUUUUAUUAUGAUAGAGUAUAAUACCAUAUUAAAAAAUAAGUUAAAGUCUAACUCAUUUUUCCAAAACUAAUUUUAAGAUACAUUUAUAUUAUAAUUAAUUUUAUAUAUAGUUGAUCUGAAAUGGUUAUGAUACAACAUUACGAAGUGAACUUUAAGUUUAACUCAACCCCAUAAAAUCGGCUCAAUGAGGUGAGAUUUGCAUCCAGUUAUAUACUAUGAAAGACUCUAAUAUCUAGUAAAUGUAGGAUCUCCAACAGUAAUCUAUAAAGUUUGUUAAUAAAUAUUUAUUAUAACUAUUAUUUUGUGGAAGAAAGUAGAAAAAGCUAAAUGGAUUGAACAGUUGGAGUAGAGCAAUUAAUGAAUUGCAAUAUAUUAUCUUCCCGAGGAAAAAAGAGAAAUGGGGUUGAUAGAAAGAAAUUAGAGACCAUUAGACAGAAAUAGAUGUGUUGGGGUUAACAAUGUUUUUGGUAGGGGAAGCAAGUUGAUGUGAUAUAGAUCUGUGUUGAAGGUUAUUGGAGCAGAAAGAAUCAAAGGGAGUUGUUAAUGUACCAUAGCCAGCUAAGUUCACCCUCCAACAAUUAUCUUAUGCAACCCUCUCACUUUCUUUCUUUCCUCUUCGUGUCUAGGGUUUUACCAAUUAUAUAAUCAUUUUCUUUCUCUUCUCCUUUUCUUUAAUAUACAUAAUAGAUACAAAUAACAUAUUAUUAUUAUUGAUAAAAAAUUAUGAUUUUUCAAAUAUUUGAAUUAUUUUUCAGCUUAAAUGGUUUAACUUUUUAAAUUUUGUAUUUGGAAAAAAUAAUUUUGUAUUUGAAUAAAAUAUUUUAAUUAUUGUUAAAUAUAAAAACUACCACUUAUAUAUAUAUAUAUGAAAAAAUAGACGAUACAAAUUUCACUAAAAAAAAUCUUCUCACUACAAGAAAAACAUGAAAUAGAAACCAAUUUUUAGAGACUAAAAUAAUUAGUUGCAAUAAUAACUAAAUUAGAGACCAUUUUAGAAAUUAAAAAAAAAUUGGUUUCUAAAUUAGUUUCUAUUAUUGUUAAAUAGUUUCUAAAUUGGUAUCUAAUUAGCAACUAAAUUUUUGCUACCAAAUUUAGAAACUAAAUAAUUGGUGGUUAAAACCUUGGUAGCUAAUUAGAUACCUAAAAACUAUUUAAUAAUAAUAGAAACUAAUUUAGAAACCAACAAUUUUUUUAGUUUCUAAUUUAGUUAUUAUUGCAACUAAUUAUUUUGGUUUUUAAAAAAUGGUUUCUAUUUUAUGAUUUUUUUUUUAGUGUCUUAAAAUUAUUGAAAAAUAAUCUUGUGAAUAUUGGUUGGGAGAAUAUACACUAACAAGCAUCAACUAAAAAAUAGUUUUAGCUUACAUCGGUUAAUCAUUUUAAUAAUAUUAGUUAGAAAGUUAAUUAAGAAACCCCAAUUUGCAUCAGUAAAAAGGUAAUCUUAUUGGUAUCGAUGAAAAUUUUCAACUUAGUAUUGUCUUAAAAAUAAUUUUAACGUUGGUCAAACAACGACCUUAUUCUUUAUUCAUAACGUUAGUAAAAAAUAACUCUGAAUCACAUUAACUAAAAAUAAUAUUUGUUGAUAUUAAAAUAAUCUUAUUAAAUUACCAAAAAAAUUAUUUAUUUGAUAAAAGAAUCUUCACUAAGCAAUUAACAAUAAAUCAAUGCAACAAACAAAACCUUAAAGAUGAUUGGAAAAAAAAAUUAUCAUCAACUGGAUAAAAAAACAAUAUUGAGUAUGACAUUUUUACUUAAGUCACCAACAAAGGAACAUUGAUUUGAGAUAGAAGAAAAUAUUAAAAAAAAAAUUAAGUUGUUGAACUGUAGUUCUCUAAUUUAAAUAAUAAAAUUAGUUUCAUAAAUUUCAAAAAAUUAUUAUUUUUUAAAUAUCUCCAUUCAAAUGACAUAUUUUUCAUCCUAAAAUAUUUCAGAUUCUUCGUAAAAAAAAUAAUUAUCUUCUAAACUUUCUGUAUCGAAAUUUAAGAUUAAUGAUUUCAAAUGUCUUUAGAAAUAAAAGGAAAAAAAGUUUUACAGAGUCACUCUAAGGAUGUCCAAUACAUUCACCAAAUAAAAAUAGAUUUGAUGCGGAUAACACAAUAUAUAACAUAAAAGAUUGGAAUAAUAAUAGUAGGCUUUGGAAAUUUGGACUGAAGAAUCUUGUUUUGAAUGGGAAGUUGAUGAGAAAAGAUUUUUAAUGUAAUAUUUAGAAGCUAAGAAUCUAUAGAAAGAUAGAAAUAAUUCUUGGGUUUGGAAGGAUUGAAAGAAUUUUUGAGUUUGGAAGGAUGAUAAAAAGUUAGUAUAUAUAUGGUUAGUUCCGUCUAUAGAACUAUAAGAAAUGAGGUAAAUGGGGAUAUGAGAUCUAUGAUUUUUGUUGAAGUAUUAAAGCUUUUCCAUCUACACAUACAUUAAGUAGCGUGGAGGAUGUUAAUAGAUAGGUUACUAACACGUGUUAAUUUGGAGGGCAGAGGGUGACUUUGGUAAGUAAGUUAUUUGUAAUGUGUGGGAACACUAGAGGAAACAACGAAUAUGUUCUUUGAAUGUGAAAUUGCAUUAUUGGUAUGAAUAAUAAAUGAUUAGGACCGACAUAGUCAACCACGGGAAAGCUAUAGCACAUUUCAUGCAUUUUAAUCUAGGGUGGACUUCAAAAGAGGUUAAUAGAGUAUGAGUGUAUGUGUAUAACAGUGAUAUAAGAGAAAUUUGGAAGCAAAUGAAUCAAGUAUUUCCACACACAACUUCAAAUCUAAGAACACUUUAUUUACAUCACUCAUCUUAAAUUUUAAUUUUUAUUUAUUUUUACUUCCAAUGAUCUGUCGAUGUCAACCUCAUCAACUUGUAUCACUUAUUUAAAUGUUCUUAGUCAUAUUAUUUUUCUUGUUAUGGUUGAUUGCUAACUCAAUAAGAUACCUUAUAAUUCACCAUUAUCAAACCCAAUUGAAGGUACUUUAUUUUUAAAAUUGAGUAAAAUUAUUUCCACAAUUAAAAUUCAUUUUUCAUUAAUUACUGAACAUAAUUAAUAUGUGAGUCAAACUUACUCUCAAUUAUAAAUUAUUCAUUAAAACAUGUGCACAUGUAACUUUUGGAAAUCUUAGAUUCCACAGAGUAAAAAAAAAAAACAAUGGUUCAUCUCUUACUUUCAUGGAGGACCCUUGUGUUAUCAUUUCCUAGACUUAAAAUAAUUAUAAACAUGUACGAAAUAAAUAAAAAAAAAAUCUUGGAGUAAUUAAACUAGGUAUUUAGUUUCAAAUUGAAUAUAUAUAGUCUUAUUUUCAUGCAUAUCCAAAUGAUAAGGACAACUUAACAACAUCAAUUAUAUAUAUUCUAAGAUAUUUGAACUUGUUUUGAUUUUGACGUGAGAGGUGUGAAUAAUUAAAAAGUAAUAUUCACGAAAGUUUAUAACAAAAAUCUAUUUAAAAAAUCUUUAAAAUAUUUUCACACAUUCACUUUGUUGUAUUGUGCAUGUGCAUAAUGUAUAACAUAAUUCGUACAAUAAAACCACUUGCAUGCUACGGCUCACCAUGAUUUGGUGUGCGUGCACACUAAAUAUCAUUAUUCAUUCUCACAUGUUUAUUCAUUAAUUUGUCUUAUGAUUAAUUGAUUAGAUUUCACGUGAUUUCCAAAAAAUAUUUAAUAAUAUUUAUUAAAUGUAUUUAUAUUUUUAAAUAAACGUUUUUUUGUAAUAAAUUUAUUUUAUUUUAGUUUCGUAUCAAAUGUUUAUACAGACAAACUAUAAAUAGAGAAAAAAGUUGUCCUUCCACAGUUAGGACAUUACAGCUACAAUGGGAGAAUAUCGAAUACAGACUUUGGAAAUCAUAGUUUGAUUUUCAUAAUGUCUGUUGGAAUAUGAAGAACAAAAUUAUUGAUUACUUUAGAAAUUUGAAUUAAAUUUCAUAUAAUUGAUUUGUUUAUUAUACUUUUUUGUGUGUUUAUUUUUAAGUGUUGUUUUUUAUACAAUAGCAAAUAAUAUAAUUAUUGGAGAUCUCACAGUUGACUAGUUCAUAAUAUAAUUAGAUGUAAAUAUCACAUUUCAAAUCGAUUUUGUUGAAAAUUUCACAUCAACUAUAGGUAAAAAUCUUUCAUAGUAUAUAAGUAAGUGUAAAUCUUAUCUUAUGAGUCGAUUUUGUAAGAUUGAGUUUGGUUUAAAUUUUACUUCUUAAUAUGGUAUCAUAUAUGGAGUUUAUUCUAGCGAAAGUUUGUUGAACUAAUCAGGUUACCUGCUAUCAGGUCAUCCAUUAUAUAGUUACACGCAAGUGAGUCUAUCCUAACGAAAGUUUGUUGGACUAAUUAGGCCACCUGCUAUCCAACCGCUAUCGUACCACCCAUUAUAUAGUCUCACACAUGAGUUAUCAGGUCUCAAUAUGAGAAAAAUGCAUUGGAGAUCCCUCAUUGACUAAAGAUAAAAAUGUUUUUUUAUCUUACAUAAAUACUGUGUGUUAGAGAUCUCACAUCAAUUAAAAAUAAAAUCAAUUUAUAAUAUAUAAGUGAGUGCAAAUCUCACUUUACAAAUCAGUUUUAUAAACUCUAUACAUCUCCUUGUUAUAUAUAAUAGAUAAAUUCUACAAGAAUUAAACGAGAUUCUUAACGGUGGUUUUUAUAGAAAAAGAAGAUGGAAGACAUGGAAAAGAAGAUGAAUGGAAUACAUUGUUCUAACUUUGAAGAGGAAAAAUUGUUGUUAGAUAUAAAUUCAUUCUCCUUUCCUUUCUAUAUGUUAUUCUAGUAAUUAUAAGAAUAUAAUAAUGGAAGCCUAAACUAUCUUUAAUAAUAACUAUUGAUAAUUAGGUAUUUCGGUAACAACAAUCAAAUACUCCAAAUUAUUAUUUAUUUAUUCUUUAUAGAUAACAAAAAAAAAAUCUUAUAAUUUUUGUAGCAAAGUGAGUUUUUUAUAUUUGAUUCAGGUAACUUUGGUGAAAUGGAUUUUCCUCAUGGAUUUUACUCAUAAAUUUUGCAGGUAAAUUCUCCUUCCACCUUCAUAUCUUUUCUUUUAUCUUUAUAUUUUUUUUAAUUCUAACAUCCUUCUAGGUAUGUUGGAGAGUGUUGUGCAUUUUUCUUUAUUUUCAAGUUAUGAUAGUUGUUUAUGGUGACUGGUGGUUGAGAUAAGUUUUGUGAUGUUUUUAAUGGAGGUAGCUAUGUUUUUCUUCACUUGUUUUUUUUUUCGUUGUUCAGGAAGCCACAAACCUAGAAAAAAAAACCAACAAUGUACAAAAAUGGAGUAUAAAACUAAAAAAAAACUUAUUUUUCACACUGGAAACAUUUUCUUCUCGUCAACCCUCUCAUACACGCCCUCAAAGAUGGAACUGUUUUCUUAAAUGUUGUAGCUGGAGAAGAAUGGAAGUGUUGCAGCUGAAUUACAUCCGGAGUGAUCUAAAAAGGUGAGCUUAAUUAAUUUCAUUUAGGAUUAUUUAAAUUUUUUAAAAGAGUUAAAACUCACUUUUUACAAAUUAAUCUAAAAAUCCAUUUAUUUUUACUUAUAUUGGUUGCUUAUUAUUUAAUGGAUAGAAAAAAUUGUUGCAAUGUAAAUUAAUGUUAAAAACUCUUAAUGUAUUUUUUUAAUGGGGACUAACCUGUUUAACCUACAAAUGUUUAUAAAACGAGAUUAGGCGGGUGUGGAUGACGGUUCAGUCCAUUGAUUUUCUCAUAAAAUCACUAUUAACUACUCACACAAAUCUUUAACAUAUUUUAAAAUAUAUUUAAUUUAAUUAAAGUAAUCAUAAUUAAAUCUAAUUAUUAUUUUUAAAUUAGUUCACACACUUAUCUAUUAAAAAACACUAAUCCUAUACAUAAUUUAACUUGUAAAAACCUUUUCAUAUAAACUAAGUUAUAGAAAAAAAAUUAAUUAAUUUUUAAUAUUUUUAUUUUUUAUAAAUACUUAUAAAAACUCCCCUAAACAUAAAAAGAAAAUACUAAAUUACUUAGCAAUUGAACUUCACACAUGUAAAUGACCCAAUUGCCCACGAAGAAAAUCCAAAUUUUGGAAAGUACUCGCAUAUUUCCUACAAUUGGAUAAACUCCAAAACGACAUUGUCCUUUGUUCUGAGAUGGUCAAAUUGGUUAAGUUUUUAGGUUCCUUUUUAUAAAUAGUUUAAAUCAUUGAAUGUUCUUUUUAUGAUUUUGUGGAAUGUCUAUAUCCCGGAAACUCACUUAUAUUCCAUUUGGUCAACAUAAAGAUUCAUCAAAUCCAUCACUAUAUAUGUAUACUUUGUAUCUGUAUAACAUAUAUUCCACACCAAAAUCAUCACACCAUGUGCUUCUUUUUUAAUUUUCUUUACCACUUUCUUAAAAAGAAAUUUUGUAUUUUCAUGUAAAGAAAACCAUCAAAUAAAAAUAAUUCUUAUAGAAUUCAUGAACAAAUAAAUCAGGUUUAAAGAUAACUUGGUUAUCAUUGAGUUAGAAAUCACAUUCAUUAGAAAUUAGAUUAGAAAUUACGAAAUUUCAUAGGUAAAAAUCUAAAAAGUCGAUUUUAUAAGAUUUAAUAAGAUUUAAAAUUAACUUCUUAAUAUGAUAUUAGACUUAUUUAAGUAUAUCCUAAUAUGUAAGUAAAUCCAAACUUUAUUUUAUGCAUCUGUUUUAUAAAAUUGAACUAAAUUUAAGGCAGAUUCUCCCUGCACCAGAUCAUUUUGGACUGCACCCAGUAUAUGUAUAGAAAAUACUCUUAAUGAAAUGAAAAUUGGGUUUAGGUAAACUGUGCACCCAACCCGCACCCAACCCAGCAGUGCACCCUUCAUUUUUCUGUGGUCACUGUGAGGCAGCAUCGCAAAAGCUUGGAAACUUGAACAAAAAGCAACCCAAGCACCUCCAUUCUUAUUCUUCUCGUGACUGUGACAGCAUCAAAACUCAAAAGCAUCGUUGAGGCACCGCAACGACAGCAAACGAAGCUAUCGGAGAAGAAUUGAAGCCACCGGAGAAGGAAACAAAGCCACCGGAGAAGGGUGCACUGCUGGGUUUGGUUGGGUUGGGUGCAUAUUUUAUCUAAAUCCUAAUUUUCAUUUCAUUAAUGGUAUUUUGGUCUUUUCCUUUGUAUAUAUUUUGGGUGCCGUAAAAAAUAUCUAGCUUAGGGAGAAUCUGCCUAAAUUUAAAAUACAUUUCUUAUUCAUAAUUAAUAAUUGUGACACAUUUUUUUUAAAUAUUACACGUUUUUUACUAUGACCCACCACAUGUGUCCAGCGAGAUCCCAUGUUUGCUGCUAUGUAUAUAUAUGUAUAUAUAUAACCUCUAAAUCAAAUCCAAGGAACACAACAUUUUCAUCAAAGCUUUGAAUACCCUCUUUCAUUUCUUCCAAGAAAAGGCUUAGACAAUCCCAAAACAGAGUGAUUAUAUAACAUUUUUUGCACAAAGCCAUGGCUUGUUGGUCUGCAGAAAAUGCCACAAAGGCCUAUCUCAACACAUUGAAAAUGGUUAGUAUUCUGUUCAUGGCUUAAUCCCUUAAUACAAUCUCUGGUUUUAAUCCAUUGAUCCUUGAUACAAAUCUUUAUUACAAGAAUCAUUGAGAUGAAACACCAAUUUUUAUUCUAGUUUCUGAUCUGAUUUUUGGUUAUUUUUUUCAACAGGGUCAAAAGGCCAAAGAGCCAGCUGUUGCAGAGUUCAUAUCAGCACUAGCUGCAGGCAACAAUGCACAACUAAUGGUUGUGGCAUGUGCUGGUGCAGCAGACUCCACCACACUAGCAUUAGUCACUGCUGCACAUCAAACUGGUGGCCAUGUUGUUUGCAUUGUCUCUAGCCAUGAAGAACUAAAGGCCUCCAAAAGAGUCCUUGGAGUGAAUGCCAGUGAAGUCCAAUUCAUGGUUGGAGAGGCUCAACAGGAGCUACUGCUGUUAAGGCAAGCAGAUUUUGUGCUCAUUGAUUGCAACCUUGUGAGGCAUGGAGAGAUUGUUAAAGCAAUCCAAGAUGGUGGCAUUGAGAAUGGUGCAGUGGUUGUUGGCUGCAAUGCACUCAGCUGUAGAGGGUCUUGGUGGUCUUGUGGAUCAAAAACUCAGUUGUUGCCUAUAGGAAAAGGGCUUCUGGUGACAAGAUUUGGAGCAAGUGCUGCAAGUCCAAAACAUGGAUCUGGAGUGAGUAAGAGCAAAAGUAGUUGUUGGAUUGUUAAGGUGGAUAAAUGCACUGGUGAAGAACAUGUGUACAAGAUCAGAGUUCCACAAGGAAAAGUGAUUCAAGCUUAAUCAUGUGGUUGGUUAAGUGGUUGAUUCAAGCCACCAUGCUACUUUUCCAUUAUUUUCUAGGGAAAAUGGAGUGGUUAAAUUUUGCAAUUAAAAGGAACUAGAGGAGUUGAUCUUCUUGGUCCUACUUCAAAUGUAUAUAGCAAAUUAUAGACAUAUUAUUAUUAUUACAAAAAUUGGUUUGCAAAGUUUUGUUGUCUUGCAUAAGUACUUCUGAUGAAGAUAGAACAAAACUCAACCAUAAGUACUUCUGGUGAAGAUAGAACAUGAACUUCUGGUUCAUGUCCUCUUUGUAGCAGCAAAUCAGGACCACAACAAGACAAAAGCUAUACCAAAAGUUUUAUAGCAGACAUUCUGAGUCAUAAAAAUAAAUGUAAAUCUUAUAAAACAAAAUCUCUUAUUGGUUUGAUGUAAAAUACCAAUAAAUAGUAUUUGAAAGAUAAAAAGGUUUACCAGUGAAUUUGACCCAAUUUUUUAAUUUUUUUACUUCCUCUAAAAGAAGUUGGAUCAAACAUAUUUCAUUAGAAGCUCUCACAAAUUUAAGCAACUUAAAUUUUUAGAAGCUCUCCUUUUUUAGUGUCUCUCCCAUAUUUGUUCUCUCUUUCAAAAUAUAUAAAAAAAAAAAAAAACUUUCAAGCAAAUUUUAUUUCACUUUUUAAAUUCAUAUUUUGAAUUGGAAAUCUAUAUAAUUAAGAGUGUUAUAUAUCCACUAAACAAGAUUUUAAUUACUUAAGAAAAAACAGAUCCACAUCCAUAAAAAUAAAAAGUGACAAAUAAUUAUGAAUCUUUUACCAUUUGAAGCAUAUUUUUUUAUUUAAUCGACAUUUCAUUUUUUUUCACGAAUUUUCUCACAAAAGAAUUAACGAUAUUAUUAAGAACUAUUAUAUAAUAAAUAUUCACAAAUUAUGAUUAAGAGAUAAUUUAAUUUUAUUAUAUUCAAUUUAAUCAUUCGUAUAAUUAAAGGUUUAACAUUAUCAUUAUAAAUAAGUAAACGUGCUAAGAUAAAUGUAAUAAAUUUUUAAUACUAAACUUGACUUCUUAACUUAGAUUUAUACUAAUUUAUUUAUCGGAGUAUAACUAUAACACAAAAAAAAAUCAUAAAAUAGAAACUAAUUUUAGAGACAAAAAAUAAUUAAUUGUUAUAAUGACUAAAUUAGAGACAAUUUUAAAGACUAAAAAAAUGUUUAUUUCUAAAUUAGUUUCUAUUAUGAUUAAAUAGCUUCUAUUAUGAUUAAAUAGUUUCUAAAUUGGUAUCUAAUUAGCCACAAAGAUUUUAACUACCAAUUAUUUAAAUUCUAAAUUUGGUAGUAAAAACCUUGGUAGCUAAUUAGAAAUCAUUUAACAAUAAUAAAAACGAAUUUAGAAAUCAAAAGUUUUUUUAGUUUUUAAAAUUAUUUUUAAUUUAGUCACCAUAAUAAAUAAUAUUUUUUUUUUAAAUUGGUUUUUAUUUCAUAGAACAAGUAUUUGUAUGCUCAUUUGAAAAGCUUGAAGAGAAGAUUCCAAAAUUUGUAAAGCCGAACAGCAUGAACGACAUGUAUAAAAAAAACACAACGUUGUAAGAACUUUAAAUCCACAUCAAUAAUUAAAAGCAGAAACAAGAACACCUUAAGUUGUGGGUUUUGUCGAGAUCAUACAUCAAUUUCUUGACCAAAGUUGUGUUAAUUUAUUCCCAAAGCAUUUCUAUUUGCUGAAUAAAACAAAAAGUUCAUUGACUCAAAUUGAGAACUGAACUUCUUUGCCACCCCAGCCAUUACUGAACCUUGAAAUGAAUGACAAAAAUUGUGCAUUAAUUAAUUGAGUUGCACAUUGUUUUUGGCGAAAGUUAGAGGCACAGAGCAUCAUGCAUGUGAAAGAAGCAAGACAGUCACAAGCAGCAGGUACAGAUAACAGCCUGUGCAGACAACAAUUAGAGUACCUUAAGGUCACUGUUUUCCGCCAUUAUAGCCUCUAACUAUAAUAAGAGCCACACUUUCUAGGGUUCCUACCCUCCCUAACGUGGACCUUGUGAUUUUGUCUAUACAAAUUACAACAUCUUCAAUCAUAUAACGUUAACUUUCAUCAAUAUAUGUGUGCUAUUAACAUCUAUCCAAUUUCUCAAUAUAUUAAUAAUAUUUAUAUAAAAAAAAACGUUAUCAAACUCAUCGUUUUUAUCGAAAUCUUCUUCUUCUUAAUUGUGUUUUUCAUUUUAUUUACAUUAUGGAAUUUAGUAUUACUCGUACCUGCAAUAUGUAAUAAAGUGCAUUUGAAUUGAAGUUCAGAAAAGUUAGAAGUAUUUUUAAUUUAAAAGAACAGUUUUUCCGCUUUAUUAUAUAUAUAUAUAUAUAUGAUUAAGUAUCAUUUGUUUUAAAAUAAACAAUUUACAAUUAGUUGGAAUGAAAUAAGCAAUCACUAUGAUUCCUUGACACUUAGUUAGAAUGAAAUAAAUGAUUACUAUGAUUCAUUAAGUCGAUUUCAAUUAUCAACAAUUUUUCAAACAAAAAGUUUAAAAAAUGUGAAUAAAUUUAUGUGUAAUUCAAUUUUAUAAAAUUGAUUUAAUAAUGUGAAUUUUGUACCCAACUAUAUUUUAUAAUUUGAUCAAAUCUUUAAAAGAUAUGAGAUGUCCAACACACAACCUCAUGCCAAAGACACCAAACAUUAAUAUUAAGAAUAUUGGAUGUUCACAUUAAGAACAUUGAACAUGAAAAUAGAGAGAAGAUCGAUAGUAUAUGGUACGAUAGGUCCAACUAAUAUCGCUAGAAUAGGGGCACAUUUUCUCUCCACCUCCAUACCAUCCUCCUGCACUUCAUACUUUUUUUAAUUCCAACAAUACCCUUCUGAGUAUGUUGGAGAGUGUGGUGCAUUCUUUUUCAUUUUCAAGUGGUGGUGGCUGGUGGUGAAUGUUGGUUGUUGAGGUAAAUUUUGUAGUAUUUUCACUAUAGAUGGUUGUGUAUUUGUUUGCUUUUUUUCAUUUUUUGGAAGUUACAAAACUCAAAAAAAAAACUAGUCAGGUACAACAAUGGAGUACAAAACUCAAAAUAAACUAUCUUCACACUUGGAAACAUCGAAUACAACGAAUUUUCUUGUAAACUCUCACACACGCUCAAAGAAUAGAAGUGUUGCGACAAGAAAAAAGGUAUGAAGAUGCGGAGGCACUACUAGAACAUCAUUAAAUAAAAAUCAAUUUUAGAUAAAAAAAAUAAUUAGCUACCAAGUUAGAAACUAUUUAUCAAUAAUAAAAACUAAUUUAUAAAUCAAUAAUUUUUUUAGUUUCUAAAAUAAUAUAUAAUUUAGUCAUUAUAGCAACUAAUUAUCUUUGAUCUCUAAAAUUGAUUUUUAUUCAAUGAUUUUUUGUGUAGUGAGAAACAACUGAGAUUAUUUAAAAAUGCGGAGUUAUAUUUCAUUUAGAGUUAUUUAAAUUUUUUUAAAAGGUUAAAACUAACUUUAACAAUUAAUAUGGAGAUGAAUGGGAAAGUAUGGAGGUGGAUAGAGAAUUUGCCUAAAAUAUAAACUCUCAUAUGAUAUAAAAAAAAUCAUUAAACUAAAAUAUAUGUAUUUACACAAAAAAUAUAUAUAUAUAAUAACAAACAAACAGGAGUAAUAAUAUUUUUUUACAUGUAAUGACAGAUGAUUGUUAUUCCUUAAAAUGUCAACUUAGAUGAAAUUUCAAGUUUUAUAGUGAUUCUUAACAUAAAAAAUUUUUAUAAAAAAAACAAACAAACGGGGAAAAAAAAUACUGAUUAUAUAAUAUUUUUAAUAUCUAAUUAUAUUUAAUUCUAAUAAUUUUUUUAAAAAUAAAAAUUAAAAAAAGUGUCAUGACAAGUGUCCUAACACACAACUUUAACAGACCGAAAAGCUCUUAUGACUGAGUAUUGUCCCCAACUUCUCUUACAAUUUUGAAGAGUUUGAGAAUUUCUUAAUUUACAGAGUUAAAAGGAUGAUUUGUGUUAUAGCCAAGGGACCAAGAAAACCAGCGAAGACAAAAUCUAACAUCAAGAGGUUCAGAGAUAACAGGUUGUAGAUACAAUAAUUAAGCACUGCAUAUUCUAAGCUCAAUGUUGUGCGCUAAAACAACCUUAAUUAUGGGGUCGUGUGGCUUUUUGUUUCUGCAUUCACAACCUUAACCUUUAUGUAAUGCAUGUUGCAUGCAUGGAUAGGUGUACUAUGGUAUCAAACCCAUGAGACCACAAUGUAAUAGACUAUUCACAAACAACCUAAUUAACACCCAACAACAAUUGCUGCCUUCUCGUUAUGCAUGUGAUCCUGCAAGCUCUUGUCCCAUCCAUCCAUGUGUUACAUAAAUUAAAAGGUAACGAUAUAUUGAAAAUUUUAAUUUUUUAUAAAAUCACGUUACAAUUUCUAAUAUUAUUAUUUUACUAUUUUUUAUAUCUUUUAAUUAUAAAUUUAUUUUUUAUUAUAUAUUUUUAUUUUUAGACUCAUCACAUCAAUGGUGAAACUUGUCAUGACAAAAGUUUUUUAUGCAUAUACACCGUGGAUACUUUCACAACGUUAUUUCUUGUUGUUUUUGUUGGGUUUAAUAGUGCCAAAGUUCAAGAGGGGAGUGAAUUAACAUUUUAAAACUUUCUUGCAGAAACAGUGUUUAACACAGUUUAAAAUAAAUAAAUCGAUUUAUGUGAAAAUGAACAAAUUUAUUUUGGCACUGUUUUUGUUUGAAAAGUGUUUAUACAGCAAGGUUAAUCACAAGAUUAUGCAGAUAGAUUUUCCAGAUGCACACACACUGAUAUUAGAACGAAAACCAGUGAGACACAAAACAACAAACUUCCAUUUCAAGAAGUGAUUAAGGUUCAAUUGAUAGCAUGUCAAUUAAUUGAGUAACCUUUACAAUCAACCUGUUCCAGUGACUUUUAACAAAUUAUAAGUGUUCUUCUUGAAACAAACAGUUUUCCAGAAAUUAAGAACAGUGAAUCACAGAACAGCAAAGAACAACAAGCUUCAAUUUUAAGCAAUUGUUUAAGGUUCAAUUAAUAGCUUUGACAAUUUCUUGAGCAACCUAUCACAAUCAAUCUGUUCCAUUGGCUUUUAACAAAUUUUAUAUGUUCUUAUCAAAAUCAAACAACUUUUCCAGAAAUUAAGAACAGGAUGAAACGAGCCCAGAAAGAACAGAUUUAUUAAUGUUUGAACAGAUUUAUUUCUUUGUUGUUCCAACAGUUAUGCAGAAACUUAAGUGCAGAGAUUAAGAGAGAAUGAACACAAGGCAGUUAUAUUGGUUCACUCAACUGAGCUACAUCCAGUCUUCACCUAAAACCAAUGUGAAAUUCACUAAAUCACAGUACAACCAAACACAAUUCCCAUUGUUCUUGAAACCUACAAGAACUUAGGUACUCUUGCUGAAAAAACCUAUUUCAGCUCACACACACUCUCCAAGAAAACCUAUCAAGAAGAGCGUUCAACCAAACUAUUACAAGAAGUGAAAAGUGAAACGACUACACCUGAUUGAGAAAGAUCUGCCUUAAACCAGUAGGCAAGAUUGUUAGAACAGUAGCAGCACCUCACACCAAGCUUUUGGAACCAAACCAAGAACAAGCACUUUGUGAGUUUCGAAAUCUUUGAAGAACAAAUGUUAAUCCUUUGUAAACACUUAAUUCUCUGUUGUCAAACUUGUUUUUGUAAAUGUAUGAACGAUGUUUAAACUCAGAAACAAGUUUUCAUUUUAUAGAAAACCAACUUAUAACAGAUUUUUGAAAAACAGUUAAAGCUGUUAUAAAAUGAACAGAUUGAAAAUAAAAUGAACAGAUUUAUUUUCAAAAAGCAGUUAGAGAAUUUGUUAAGUGAGGAGACUUAGUCAACCAUUCUGGUGCAGAGAUAAAACUGAAAAACGUUUAAGCAUGACAUGGCACCAGAGAAAAAAAGAAUCUAUUCAUUUACUGAUGAACAAAUUCAUUUUUCAAAACAAAAACAGAAAAGCUUAACUAUUUAAACACAGUCGUUUUGAAAGGUAGAAGACUUAGUCAAAAUACAUGAUGCACAAAAUCUAAUUUUCACAAGACUUAGCCAAGACAUCAGUUUAAAAAAUGAAUCUGUUUAUUUAGAAAAGAACAUAUUUAUUUUUAUGCAGUAAACGUGUUUUUUUUAAAACAUGUGAAAAACAGUUUAAGAAAACUUAUGUUUGUUCUUAUCACAUGGUCAGUGGUUAUGAGGUGAGUUACUCAGCAAAAAGCCCACUCUUAGACAACCUCUAAGCACUACCUAAGACAACCUCUAAGCACUACCUAAGACACAUUUAAAGCAAAGCAAAAUACACAUGAAAUGUACAUAGAAGUCUUCAUCAAACACAUGUCUUGAAGGGGCAGCAACCAUCUUCAACAGUUUUAAGUCAUUCAAUAAUAUCAAAUCAUCAUUAGUGAUAAGUGUUGUUUAUAUUUUUUUUGUUAUUUGAUUACACUCUACUCUAUAUUUAUAAAGAAAAUUCACAAUUCACUAUAUAUAGAGUCUAAUACACACAAAUGCAAAAUGAAGAAACCACAAUAAAUAAGAAAGUAAAUAACUCACAUAAAAAAUUUAACAUCAAUUGGAAUUUAGAACUUCACAAACAAAAAUUCCCUAUAAGAAAGAAUAUGAGAUUACAACAUGAAGUUUUUUCUCAAAACUCAAAAAAAAAAUUAUUCGGUACAAAUUCUUAUCAACAAAAUUGUUUAACUAACUUUUAAUAGAAUAUGUGACAAUACAAAUACAAGUUCUUAUCAACAAUAUUGUCUAACUAACUUUCAAUAGAAUAUGUGACAAUACAAAUAGUCUCAAGCACAAUGAUCUCAUUAGAGAGUGCAAAUGCCAAAAAAUACUUGAAAGUUAUACCAAAAAAGUAAAUAGUUUGAACAAAUUUUUUUGAUUCAGAUAGAUAAUUUUGAACUACUAGACUAUCUUUUACCAAUUUUAUCUUACUAUGUAUAAUUAAACUUGAACUCUUGAAAAAAAAAUCAUAUAUAUUUUUUAGUUUCAAAGCUUAAAUAUUUCAUUUAAUAUAUACCUAUCUCUUUUAACAAAAAGAGUUUUGAGCAUAAAAUUACUAAUUAUUGUGAUAAUGGUAGUAUAAUUAAUUAUUUGUUUAACUUAUUCAUAUUUUUCAAGCAGAAAAAGUACCUAAAAUUAAUUGGGUCCACAUCAAUUAAAAACAUUAAAUUAAAUCAAUUAUAAUAAUUUAUAAAAUAAUUUACAUCUCACAAAUUUGGAAAAUAAGUUCGAAAUAAAGCAAUAGUAGUAUUAAAAAAAUUUAUUAGUUUAAAACACUUCAUCUUAAAAAUUAUUUAAAUUUAGAUAAAUGCUAAUCACUUUACAUUCUAUCAUUAUAUUGGUAAGAUAAAAAUUAGAUUCAUUUCAUUAAAUAAGAUGUGGAUUUCAAGUCAUAUAGAGGAAAACAAGCGUAUUAAGAAUGGCUAACAAAAUCUUCUAAUGAAGUUUAAUCAUUACCAUAAUAGAUUGAUUGUUGGUAACAAUGGCAUGUAUGAUUAAAGAAACAAUUGUUCUUUGGUAAAUUCUUCCUACACCGGAUUAAUUUCAACCUCCACUCAAUCUACAAUUAAUAUGUGAAAAAUGUUAGUACAAAAUGAUAAAAAUGACUGAAAGGAGAUUGUGGAUAAAAAAUAUAUUUAUAGAACUGCUUUAAAUAAAUUUUCGGAUUUUAAUUUUUGGAAUACAUUUUUAAAUUUUAAAAAUUCUUUUUCAGAAUGUAUUUUUCAAUUUUGUGUUCUAGAUUUUCUUUUCUGGAAUGUAUGUUUUACAUUUCAUAUUCAUUUCCAAAACAAAAUUUUAACUUUUGAAUUAUAUGUUAGAUUUUUAAAUUUUGAAUAGAGGAUAAUUUUGGACAAUUUGAAAGAUGAUAGGGAACUGAUUCUUCCUGUACUUCCAUGACUUCUUCGGGCACCUCCAUAAACUUUUAAAAUACUAAAAUUGUCCUUCAGUAAAAAGAUAAAAAUUAAAGUUGUUUCACAUAGGUACUAGUGUGGUGGUGGUGGUGCAGAGUGAAAGAGAAGGUGCUUGGUGUGGUGGUGGUGCAUGCUCCUUGAGGUGCUGUUUGAGCUGGUGGUCGGCGGUGGUAACGUGCUAGUGUGAGCGACAAUGCUUCUCAUUCUACUAAACCCUAGAUAAUCCAGUUCUUUACGCAUAAAGCAAAAGUGUUAUGGAUUAGAUAAUCCGUAAGAAUAGUGGAUCCAGAACGUGCAAAACCACACUUCUGGAUUGUGUAAUCCAGUACUAAAUGAACUAUGGAUUACGCAAUACAAAAGUUAAUUUUGAACUUGAUAUAUGCCUUACGUAUUACAGAAUCCGGAACUCAUGUUGAAAUUUGACUUACGGAUUACACAAUCCGAAAGUAAUUUUGAAACUUCAAAUAUGACUUACGGAUUAUGCAAUCCAUAAGUCAUUUUAGAACUUCAAAUUACGGAUUACAUAAUCUAGAAUACAUUUUGUUGUUAAAAUGUACCAGAAUACAUAAUCUGGUGCCUAUUUCUGUGAAGGAGCACAAACACUUUCUAAUAUACACAAAACCAGUAAAAUUAAACUUACUAACCUAUGAAUGAAAAUGACACUGGUGAAUGAUGGAGAAGGAAAGGUUAGAAAGGAUGAGAACUCUGAGAGAAGGAGUGAUGGAGAGAAGAAGAAUUGGAAGGAGGUGGGAGGGGUGGCUGCGGCGGGGAGAGUGAAAAGGUGGUGAGGGAAAGAAUCACAAUUGGAAUUAGGUUAAAAUAAUAUUUUAAAUUUUUAAAUCUUUUACUGAAGGGUAUAAUAGUAAAUGUGCUUUUAGUAUGGAGGUGGCAGAAGAAGUCAUGGAGGUGCAGGAAGAAGCUGUCCUAAUAGGGUGUAGGUUGCCUUGUUCUACAUAAAAAUUGGGCCAAUUAUCAGACAAUUGUCUAAUCAUUUAGUAGGCCUGUUGGCUAGUUGGAUAACAUGAUGGCAGUUUCUUCCUGCACUCCUACAUUUUUCUUCCUGCAUUCCCACAAUGUUGUGAAAAGACAAAAUUGUCCUUAUAUAAAAACUGUACAUUUAUUUUUUUGCAUUCCAGAUUAUGAAAUCUGGUAAAUUUUUGGAUUGGCGCUUUCGGUAAAAUUUUCGGUAUCCCAGAUUGGUGCUUAUGGGUAGUACAUGAAUGGCAAUGCUAAUAAAAAAUAAAAGAAUGUAGAACAUCCAUAAUUAAAAAAAUCAUUCUGUAUCCGUCAAUCUGUAAUUCAAAAUAUGCAUCCUGGAUUCAAAAAUCCAUAAUUGAAAAAAUCAUUUUGGAUCUACAAAUCCAUAAUAAAAAUUAGGUUUCUGGAUUCAGCAAUCCGAAAAUCAACAAUUUAUGCAAACCUUGCUUCUGGAACACCCCCUCAUUCAGAAAACAAUAUGAUUCACUUCCAAAUUGAUGAAUCCGUAACACACUCUCGUAUCCCAAUUUUAAAUAAAAGGUGAAGGUUAGUUUCAGAAUUUAAAAAAUUGUGGGAGUGCAGGAAGAAAAAUGUAGGAGUGCAGAAGAAACUGCCUAACAUGAUCCGGAUCAUAGACCCCAAUGAAAAAGUUGUAAAACCAUUAAAGAGAUUUGCUUUUGCACCCCCAUACUCUCUUCAUACACUCCCAGAAUUUAAAAAUUGAUAAGUGUGCCCCUAUCAAAACACUUCUUAAUCAAUUUAAAACGAUAUUCCUAGUCACGUAAGCUCGAAUAUGAUUUUUAAUGACACGAAAUAUAGUUUUUAAUUAUAAAAUUUAGAAUAUGAUUUUGAAUUAUGUAAUAUGAAAUAUAAUUGUAAAUUAUGUAAUUCAUAGCUAUACUUUAGAUUAUAUUAUUUAAAACCAUAUUCUAAAUUAUGUAAAUAAAACUGUAUUAUACAAAAUUACAGAAUUUAAAAUUUGAAAUAUAAUUUUAGAUUAUAUAACUUGGAAUAUAUUUUAGAUUGUGUAAUUUAUAAAUACUUUAGAUUGUAUAAUUUAAAAUUUAAAAUUUAAAUUUUUAAAUUAUAGAGCCAGUACACUAUUAAAACAAUAAUUACAAACUUCUGGAAACAACAAAUGCAGAAUAUAUUUAAGAAUAGAUUGUUCCAAAACCUAUUUGGAACACGUAAUUUGGAAACUUCAAAAUAUUCUAAAAGAGGUAAGGUUCUUUUAUUUAAAUAAUAAAUCUGAAUAUUUUAGUAAAUGCAUUAUAGUCAUGGAGUGAGAGAAGAAACUAUAGAGGUGGGGUAGAAAAUGUCACCAUCCUUUACAGGGUGAACUUUCCCAACACCUCAUACUUUUUUAAUUUCAAAAACACCCUUAUGAAUAUAAUGGAGAGUAUGAUGUUUUUUUCUUCAUUUUCAAGUGAUGGUUGUUUGUGGUGGUUGAUGGCGAACAUUGGUAAUUGAGAUAAGUUUUUUAGUGUUUUUACUAGUAAUGAUUGUAUUUUUGUUUGGUUAUUUUUGUUCGCUUAUUUUUUUUCAUUUUUUUUGAUGUAUAUCGGAUUGCAUAAUCCGAAAAAUCAUUAAUUAAAUUGUAUUUCAGAUUGUACAAUUUAGAAGGUAUUCCCAAAUCCAAAAAUACCUUAUGGAUUGUAAAAUAUGGAAUACAUUUUAAAAUUACAUUUUGGGUUAUACAAACUUUUCGAAAAUACCUUUGAGAUUGAACAAUCCAGAAAUCACAUCUUUUUUCAAAAGGCUUAUAGAUUUUAAAAUGUAUUCGGGAUUGUACAUUCGUAAGUCACAAAAUUCAAAAGAAGAAAAACACAACAAGGUGCAAAAAUAGAAUACAAAACUCAAAAGAAUUAGCUGGGAAUGUCGAAUACAACGAAUCUUCUCGCCACAAUCUCACACAUGUUCAAAUGAUGAAAUUGCUCUCUCAAACGUUGGGACUGGAGAAAAAUGAAAGUGUUACAGCUCGAAAGAAAGUAUGCGACUGAAAGAAAAAUAUGGGGAUGUGAGAGUGCAACUAAGUUUAUUUAAAAAGAUGAUGUUAAAAUCGACUUUUCACAAUUAAUAUGGAAGUGUAGAGGAAAGAUACGGUGGAGGAAAAAUUUGUCCUUUACAAGCAUGCUAGCCCAACAACCCAACACUAUCAUGAAACAAGCUUCCCCUAUAGUUCAUGCAAACCAAAGGCAAUUGCUUCCUGCACCUAACAAAUUUAAACUUGCAUCCAAUCACUGACAUGAAAUGACCAAAAUACUCUUUAUAAUUUCCCAGAAAUUCAUUUUUUGGAAUAUAUUUCUGGAUUUUGUUUUCCAAAAAGAAUUUUCUAAAAUUUAUUUUUUUUAUUCUAGAAUUACUUUUUUAUAAUGAGAUUUUGAUUUUCCAAUUCUAUUCUGGAACUUUAUUUUCAGAACACAAAUUCAGAUUUCAUUUUUUGGAAUGUAUUUUUUAAUUCCAGAUUUUCAACUCCAUAAUGAGUAGUUUUGGAAUUCCAAAAAUUGCCCAAACUGAAAGGGUCUUCUAUUCUACCUCCAUGUACACUCAAAUUGCUGCAACCACAUUCCAAUCCUACAAUGCCAAAACUUUGUUUUCAAAGGAUGGCCCUUAAAAAUUAUAUAAUUUUAACCCUUAUAUUAAUUGACAUAUGUUAAUAAUUUGGUGUUAAUUUUGUUUCAAUGGAGACUCUGUCUUGCUUCAUUAGAAUAAUUCCCCUGGGAAUAUUAAGUUGUUAUUAUAUUGAUAUAAAAAUUCUGCAUUUACACCAACAGUGUUAAGAAUCAUAUCAAUAGACAAACUGAUUGCACAUAAAUUUUACCUAGUCAUAGUGAAUAACAAUUACAUUACUUUAGCCUAGUGCUGUGUUAUUCUAUUUCUUUGCUAUUCAGGUCAAUGAUAGCUUAGAAGUUUUAUCCAAAAGAUGUCAGAUAAUCAUAGUUCAUUGAGAUGAGACAAGCCUACACCAGUUAAAAAGAAAAAAAAUUUGUUCAUCUACCAAUGUGCAUAGGGAAUUAGGAGUGAGUGACAAGACUUUCAUUCCAGUAAAUCAUCAAUUCAACAAUUCACCAAGACAUGCUUUUGCCUGCAUGGUGUCUCCAAAAAUCAAUUGUUACAGUUACACAUGUACCAAAAAGAAACAUGUAAUUAUAAGCCUUCACAACAUGUUUUGUGAGUUGGAUCCAACACCUAUCAGUGGCCCUCAAUGUUUGCUGGUAUGGUAGGCUCUUAAUUAACAUAAGCAGUGAAUUCAAAAUGGAAUCCAGAUUCUCUGCUCAAUCUUUUGUGUUGUCCUUCUAAUCUGUCUUCAAAAUGCUAUGCAAGACCUUUCUAGACUUCAAUAAUUCAACACAUUUGCUAUUUUUUUCAGAACAGGUAGACUUUAACUUAACACCAAUUGAGUAUUUUUAUAAACAUCAGUAAUAUAGCACAAGGGUAUUCUAGCCUCAAAUCCUAUUAAUGGUUUGAGUUUUUCUUUCAAGAAAAUCACUUUUUCUAACAGAAAAACCCGUUUUUAUAUUUCUUUUGACAUGUUUGUUAAAACUUUUGCAAAAACCAACCAAAAACAAGCUGAAAACAGCUCAUUUUAAUAAGCUGAUGCAAAAUCGAUUUCCAGAAACACUUUUCUUUGUAAAAAUUACUUAUUUUUUAUCAUUUUUCAAACACUUUACUUUUAAGUUUAAGAACUUUCAACCUAUAGUACGCUAGAGAAAAGAAAUGGCUAAGCCCUUGCACUCAAAAGCAACACUAAAAGAAGCCACAAAGUAAUAAUCUCGAAUCAGCAUCCAUAAUCUUAAAAAGGAAUGGAGGGCUUUACAAAGUGCUAACAGUGGCAAUAAAGUAUUGUAGCACUAGGGAACUUGAUGCAUUGUAUUCAUGACGUUCAUUUCUAUUAUUGCUUUUACUUUUUGUCCAUGGUUGGUUGGAAAAAGGUGAUUAAAACAGAAGGGCAUUAACCACAGAACCCAAAAGACAAGGAAAAACCAGAAUAACAGACUAUUAGAGAAAACAAAUGGCUGAAAUGAAUAAAAAUAGAGAUAAAGAUCCCUUACCUAGCUACAACCAAAGUUCAACGCAUUCACAUUCAUUCACAUAAAAGCUAGUCCUAAGUUAAGGACACAGAAACAUGGCAUGCCUUAAAGGGGUCACCAUCACCAUGACCAUGAGCCAGUGGCCAAAUACUAGGAAAACUGAUGUUGUGUUGAUGGUUAAAGUAAUUCAGGUAAGAUUCAAAUCAGAGACAGCUACUACAAUUCCCCAGUUCUUGAACAAUGGCUUCCAUGCUUGGCCUCUCAAAUUGAGACUCAUGGGAGCAAAGUAACGCCAUUCUUGCUAGUUUAGCUGCCUCAUAUUCAAAGAACUUGCCACGCAAGUUCGGGUCAAUAAAUUCUUGAAACGUGAAGGACUCUGCUGCAAGGCGCAUUGCACUUGUGAUCUUCUGUUUCCCUGUGAUAAUCUGGAAAAGAAGCACUCCAAAUGCGUAAACAUCACUUUUCUCUGUGAACCGGCCGGUUGUGGUGUAUUCUGGAGCCAGGUAUCCCUUUGCUGCACUACCCUUUAGUGCAGAGAAGACAAUGUCAUUGGUGAGAAGCUUGUACAGGCCCGAAUCUGAAAGCAUUGGGUUGUACCGCUGAUCGAUUAGCACUUUCUCAGCUGAGAUGUUUUGGUGAACAAGGGCUGGUUUGUUUGCUUUGUGUGCAUGUAAAUAUGCUAUACCUGGUUAAGAAAACAAGGUUUCUGUUCAGUAUACAUGGAGAUUGGAAACCAUGAGAAUAUGUCACUUCUGAUUGUGUUCAGUAAUUAAAAGAUCACUUCAUCAAAAUGAAUGCAAAUCAAUCACAAUAAUGUUAGAGAAAAUUUAGUCUACAAUUAGGAUACAGGUUUGUAACUAACUAAGCACGCAUUUAUAAAAAGCAUGUAAUAUGUUAUGCAAUAUAAUAUGAUGUUUUGGCAUCUCUUGAAGCAUCUAUAAUAGUAACAAGAAAAGAGAUGCUCUCAGUUAUUCACCAAACACUGCAUGUUCUUAGCAAUAGCAUGCUGUUUGUUGGUGUAUACUUUAUAUCUUAGAAUAGAAAAAAGAUGCUGAUUGUUGAAGUAUCAAACUGUGGGAGAGUAAAUUAUUUUAAUAAAAGGUGUGAUAGAAGAGUAACCUUUAGCAAUCCCUUUCACAAUAGAAAUUCUAGUUGACCAUUCAAGAACUUCUCCAUCACCUUCCUUCACAUCAAGGUAGCGUGUCAGGUUUCCAUUAGGAACAAAAUCAUAAACCAAGAAGCAUUCCCCUCGUCCCCUUGAGCAACAAAAUCCUCUCAACCUCACUAAAUGUUCAUUUCUCAGAGAGGUCAAAAUGUUCAAUCCCUUCAAAAACUCAGCUUCAUCUGAUUUGCAACUAGUUUUACUGAUGCUCUUGACAGCAACAGCAGACCCAUCUCUUAAAACCCCUUUAUAUGUUGCACUAAAGUUGCUCUUCCCCAGCAGAUUCAACUCUGAGAAAUACUGAGUAGCUGACUCCACUUCUUCCAAGUUGAACCUGAAACUCUGGAACAAAUCUUGCUUAUCUCCGUUGAAAUUCCUGCUAUCAGCCAAAGGGUCCCACCCAUUAGAAUACUCAAGGCUAACCAAAGGAGAUCCAUUUUUCCUGUAUAUACUCUUUGCUUGCUCUGUACUCAGUCGGCCUUCAGAGAUAUCAAAAGCACUUCCAAGCUUUUGUUUCUGCCGACGAUACAUAGUGAAGGUCAAAAUACCAAUUGCUGAUAUUGCAAUUGUUGCUAGAACUAUGCCAACUGUAAUAGAUGUGGCUUGUUUGGAUUUUGAUGGAUUUUGGCAAUGAGAUGUAUUGCAAGGCGACUUGACAUUAGCAGUUUCUGGGAUAUCUCUAGUGAUACUACUGCCAACUCCUGCUCCAUAAGGUUCAGGUCGAGUGAGAUUGACAUUACCUGAAGCAGUGCAAGCCUUCAAGGAUGAAAACCCAACUCCACAUAACCCCACAUUGUGUUCAUACACAAAUCCACCCUCUAGUCUCUUUAAAGCUUCAUCAAACCAAGGAAAGCAGAAUGAACUUACUUUACAAAAAAUAUCAAUAAAGAAAUGGACAGAAGCAAUAAAAUAGCAUUAUUAUACCAGUGGGUACAUUCCCAGAGAGAGUAUUGUUGUGAACAUCCAGAACUUGCAGUGAAGGAAGAUUAGCUAGCUUAGUGGGAAUGGAACCAAAGAGACUAUUAGAACUCAAAUCUAGCCUCGUCAACAUUCCCAAAUCACCUAGAAUAGCAGGGAUAGCUCCAGCCAACUGGUUUGACUGAAGAGCAAGAACACUGAGCUUUUUCAAAUCACCAAGCUGUGUAGGUAUACUUCCUGUUAACUGAUUAUAACAAAGCUGCAAAACUGCAGAACAUGUAAAAAAAACAAAUAAGCACACUCCUGAAAUUAAACCACCAAUCAAACAUUAUUUCCACGAAAAAAGCCAAAGCAGGCAGUAAGAAUUCAGUUCUAUGGAACAAAUACUGAUUUAUAAUAGAUUUUUUAUGAACAGUGAUAGAUGCUAGAAUUUUGAAUGCAUUGUAGCAUUACAUAAAUCCUUCAUUUAUCCAGAAAAAAAGGGUUAAGAGAUUUCCAGAAAAAUCAUUAAAUGGAUCUCAGAAACUGGGACAAGAGGUUAACAAUGCAACCCUUUAAUUUUCUAGUUCACACCUACCUCUAGCAAUUAAACCAGUUUACACCAGGUUGUUCAAAAUAGUCUUAAUAGUUACAAAAAGCGCCUUGUAGUCCAUAACCAUAUAGUGCAAAAGCAUUCAAAGCAACCAUUCUUUUUCUUUCACAUGAAUUGACUAUUUUGGAAUAUCACAGUGCAAGAGAACCAACCAUUAGAUGGAGAAAAAAGGAUAAAAAUAUAAAUCACAGAAAAAGAAACUCAAUGGCACAGCAAAUAAACGAAAUAAAGCUCAAAUCUUUCAGUAAAACCCGCAACCACACAACAUUUAAAAGACAUAAAAAGAAAACCCUUUAACAAAGGACCACAAGAAACCAAAUCAAGGUGGGAAAAUACUGAAAGUUUCAAUUUUUACACCAAAAAUGGUGGCAUUAUACCUUGAAGAUUCUCCAUCCUGCCAAUCUCAGGUGGGAUUUCACCAGACAAAUGAUUCACAUUCAGGUACAAGUCACUGAGCUCAGUCAAGUUUGCAACUUCCCUUGGAAUCUCCCCAUACAAAGAAUUGUAAUGCAAGUAGAGUCCUGUCAAGUGCUUAAGUCCAGCAAUGGCUGGUGAAAGCCUCCCAGAGAGACCUUUCCCCUGCAGAGAAACAUUUGCCACCUGACCCAUCUCAUUGCAAGCCACUCCCUCAAAGUAACCACCACAGGCGUUGCCAUCCAAGGUCCAUGAGGACAGAAACUGCCCCUCUGGAUCCAAACUGGAUUUCAGGUCCAUCAGAGCUUUAAGCUCGUCAUUGCCACAUACACAUGUUGGGUUGAAGAGCAAAACCAUGAGGGAGAAGAGGAGUGGAAGGAGAUGCACUGAACAAGCCAUGUUCAGAUGAAAAUGGUUACUGAUUCAACCAAACUCAGUUGUUAUCGUUAUUGUUCUUAGCUCUGGUUUGUUGUUCUGAAACCUAUUUUACUAGAUUCUGUAACAGCAGUGUUUGUGUCUGGUUUUGUGUGUUUUUAGAGGCCAAAGAGAGAAGUGGUGGUGGAAGUGACAAAAGGUGCAGGGAAGUGGACAGGUCAGAAACAAAAAAGGGAACACAAAAUAAUAAAUAGCAAUAACAUCUCAUAAUUUGUUUCUUCUUCUUAAAAUUAAUUCUAAACCAAGAUAGAUUACAUUUAAAUAACUGUGUUAUCACAGAAACUGUGUAAUAGUAUUCAUUAUAAUAUUUUAUCUCAAUUUUCAAAUACCAAAGUUAAUUUUAAUGUAAAAGUGGCUUUAAAUUGUUCAUGUUUUGUGGUGUGUUUGGGAGUGACAUUGUUCUCUGAUAUUGCUGCUGAAUACACUUCUUUGGAAGUGAAAAGAGAGAAUUUUUUUCUUUUGGGGUGGAGAGAAAGUAAGAUAUUGUCACAGUGUGUGCAUUGGCAUCAUCAUUUUUAUUAUGAUUACUAAAAUCAACAAAGAUUGUUUCACCUACCUAAAUAAAAGAGAGUGAUGUAAACUUAAUUAAUUUCUUAAAUUAGCACUCCUAAUAUGCUUCAUGUUAUGAUUUUAUCUCACUUAAUUUAACCUUUGUUUAAAUUGAAGAGUAGAAAUAAGACUGAAAAAAAUGGAAAUUUUGUUUGAAUUAAAAAAUAAAUAAAAAUUUAUAGAUUUUACUCAUUUUUCUUUAAUAUAAGAAAUGAAAACUAGACAUUGAAAAUAAAAAUAAUAUUUGUUGUUAAAAUUUUAACUGAGUUUAUUUCCUUUUGAAAAUAACAGGAAAAAAACUCAAUAUCCAUUCUUUUAAAAAAAAUUGGUUAAAAGUAUUAUUUUAACUUUCUUAUAUAAAAUGUUUAUGAUUAAUUAAUAGAGUUACCUUAACAUUUUCUCACAUAAAAAAUUUAACCAAUUUAACAAAUUGGUAUACACAAAAAUCCAACACUUAAAUUAAGAAAAAGUAAAAAAAAUUGUGGAAAUAUUUUUUUUUCACUUUCUAUUAUUUUUUAAAAAUUUAUACAAUUUAAUUUUCAGAUUUUUUUUAUUCUUUCUUCAUUCUCAACAAUGAUCACAACAUAUUUUUUUCCAUUUUUUCAUCUCCAAACAAUUCCUAAAUUUUACAAGUAUCUAUGAUUUAUCUCUCACUUCAUUUAAUUUUGUUCCUGACACUCUAACUUUAUAAUCUCAUUAUGUUGAGAAGUGACAUACACAGCUUGCAUUGUAUCCAUGAUUAUUUUUUUUCAGGUCCAUUUAUGAGUCGUGAAGAUAUUUAAUUGAUAUUUUUAUUAUUAAUUAUCAAUUAUAUUAUUUCAUUACAACAAUUAAUUUAGUAUUUAAUUGAUGUUUUGUUAAUAAUUAUGACUUUUCAAAAUUGGUCAAACAAGAAUUACUGAGUGAGUUGUUUGCUUCUUACUUGACUUCAAAUAUUACUUUUUUGUUUAAGAAAAAAUCUAAUAAAUAUUUUUUAGCCAUCUUUUAUUAUAAAUAUGUUUCAUCAAGUUUUUCUAAAAUAAAUGUUUAGAACAAAAUGUUUCGAUUAUUUUUUAGUUUAAAAAUCUUAUGGAUAAGCUUGUCUAAAUAUACUAUAGAUAAAAAAAAAUACUUAAGUUUAGGGUGUCUUAAAUAUAUUUUAAAAUAAUUUAAUUAUUGAACAUUUUGAAAAUUUACAUUAUCCAUUUUAAUAUUUUUGUUUCGGUGCAACGUGGCAAUAAUAGAUGAAGAAAAUCAACGGAUGCAAUUAAUUUGUGCGGGUCCCACUCUGAUAAUCGGGUUACGUCUGUCACGUGGGUCGGGUAUACUGUGAGAAACACGCGCGUAAGAUAGCGCGUGGGUAAACCUUCUUGGCGUGGGCACAGAUUCCCUUGUUUAAUCAAGAAUUUUCGAAUUCAAACUUGGCCACAAUCCUCUGUUUCCAGAUCCAUCGUAAGCUCAAAGUCACCUUCCAUGUUAGUCGUUCAAAGUUCUAGUCAACAACAACAGAACUUUAAAACGCAAAUAAUUAUUCUUAAAAACCACAUUUAAUAAUGUAUUAACAAUGUAGAUGAAAAAUUAUGAUUGAAAUUAAAUAAUAUAAUGAAAAUAACUAAUUAACCACAUUUUUAACAUAGAUUAAACGUUGAUAAUAGGAAUAAAUACUUUUAUCAGAUUGAUUUUGGCAUUUUUUUUAUGUAUCGGCAUGGGCGAGACCGACACGUGGACUCCUUGACCGAGACUCACUUGGUUGCCCGAGACCUGGUUUAUCUAACCGAGACUAGGAAAAUUUGGUCAAGUCCUAAGUGUUUUGGCCGAGUCUUGAGAGUCUUGGCCGAAGCGAUCGAGACCUAAGAGACUUAGCCGAAGCCAGUUAAGCUUAGUCGAGACGAGUAGAAUCACCACGGCCGACCGAUCCAUACUACCGUUAACGCUCAAACCAAGGUCAGUGAAGUUAAUCCGUUAUUAAGAAUUAGGUAAUACAACCAUAAGCGAGAUCCACUCCGCUAAUGGGUAAGCCCAUUAGAAUAAUAUAAAUAGCACACAUCCUAAGAAGAAAGAUACGUCAUUUAUUACUGUUCACCUACUAGAGUACUGAUCACCCGCUUUACUGACUUGAGCGUCGAAGUGUCUUCGCAGGUACCCCACCAUCUGAUGUUCAUCCAAGAUCGAGUGACGAAGAAGAAGUAGGAGGACGAGAAGAACCUCAGUUCAUCAUCCAACAACCUGACUAACCGAAGGAAGGAGAAGAAGAGUUCAAUAGUUUUAUAGAUUGAUUAGGAAAAUUUUAAUUAGCUAUUUUAUAAUUAGUCUCUAAAUUCUAAAAAUAUUAUAUAUAAUUAGUGUGUGAUUUUAGAAAAAAGUUGAUAGCUGGAAAAUGAAAAGAGGUUUAAUAUUUUAAAGGCAUGAAAACCUGAAAAGUGCGUUUUGUGAAAGCACUUUUUCUCUGCUUUUUUGGUCUCUUCAUUUGUGCUGUUUCAGAGGUUGCUGACACCCCUUCCCACUCUUUUGUUUCCACACUUUCUUCUCUCUCAUUCACUUUCACAUCACAAACAAAAAAUCUUCAUCACAUUUUUUUAUCAACUUGUAAUUUUCUAUUACCACCUCUCACCAUGUUCUUCAAAAUAUUGGACUAUUAGAAUGGAAGAUUCCUUUAUUUCAAUCUUUAAAUUGUUUCCAUUUUGUCCCAAUGUUAAUAUAAGUUCAAAUAUCCAUCAACCUUUUGUUUUCAUCCAUUGCCCAAUAGGCAUGGCCUCAAAUAAUUGACCAUACUAUAGAUACUUCUAAGCAACUAACAAAUAAAAUAAAAUGUAUUUUUCCUAAAAAAUUAAAAAUAUAAAAAAUUAUUAAAUAAAAAUUAACUUUAAAAAUAAAAAUAAUGUGUUAUAUUGACUAAAUUAGAAAUUAUUUUAUAAACUAAAAUAUUAUUAGUAUCUAAAUUAAUUUAUAUUAUUAACACUACAAGAAAAUCAUGAAAUAGAAACCAAUUUUAGAGACAAAAAUAAUUAGUUGCUAUAGUAACUAAAUUAGAAACCAUUUUUAAAACUAAAAAAACUUUUGGUUUCUACAUUAGUUUCUAUUAUUGUCAAAUGUUUUCUAAAUUGGUACUUAAUUAGUUACCAAGGUUUUUGCUACCAAAUUUAGAAUUUAAAUAAUUGGUAGUUAAAACUUUGAUAGCUAAUUAGAUACCAAUUUAGAAACUAUUUUACAAUAAUAGAAACUAAUUUAGAAAUCGAAUUUUUUUUAGUUUCUAAAAUGAUUUCUAAAUUAAUCACUAUAACAACUAAUUAUUUUUAUCUCUAAAAUUGAUUUUUAUUUCAUGAUUUUUUUAUAGUGUGAAAAAUAUUUUCUAAAUAAUUAACUAUCAAGGUUUCAACUACCAACUUUAAAAAUAUAAAUAUUUGGUAGCUAAAAUUUGGUAGCUAAUUAGAUAUUAAUUUAUAAAUUGUUUAUUCAAUAAUAAACAUAUAAACCAAUUUUAAUCUCUAAUAUAGUAUCUAAUUUAGUCAAUAUAAUAAUUAAUUAUUUAAAAUUAUUUUUUAUUUAAUAAUUUUCUAGUAGUUUAUGUUUAUAUUAUUUCAUUGUAAAAACACAUUUUUAUUUGGUUAAUGUGAUCUUAAUCAUGUAGUAGAAGAAGAGGAACAAUAAUCCAACUAACAUUUGGUUAAGAGAAAGAAUAAUAUGGAAAGAUUGUAGGAAAAGAAAGAUAAAGUGAUUAAAUGUGAUUAGCAUUAGUUUAUUGACAAAUGAUGUUGGUGUACCUCUCUACUUUGUCCUUGUGUUGAAUAGAUUCCCUCACAAAGAUUAGGUUUGAAGGAUUAACCUUUUUGGAGAUUGGAGCACAAUGUGAAAUAACCAUGUGUUUUGUUUUUGUGUCUUGGUUAACUAAACAUAAAACUAAAUUAAAAGGUUCAUAAUUAUUAAUUAAUUAGUCACCCAAAAAAAUAGGUUUUGGCACAAUAGAUAAAUAUUGCAUGAUGCUUCUUUUGAGGCCUUGGAUUUGCUAUAGCAUGGAAUCCUAGACUUGCCCUAUCUAAAUAUAUAUUAUUAAUAAUUCAAAUUCAAUUAUAAAUAAAAAAGAAUUCUUUUAUUAAAAUAAAUGUCUUUAAUAAGUUGCACUGAUAUUGAUAACAUUGGCUUAUUAUGUCAAUUAUACGUCUAUGUUAAUGUAAUACUCUAUUAUAUUAUCUUGAGUAUGGUUGCCAAAAUGUAAUAUAACUACUAUUUUUUUUUUAUCUCUAGGCAUUAAUUUUUUAAAAUGUAAUAAAACUUUUUUUCUUAUGUAAAAAUGCAUUUUGAAUAUUAAAUCAUAAAUUUAGAAAGCAAGUAAAAAAAAAGAAAUUAAAUCAAAUUGCUGAAAAACUUGAAAAUUGAUACUUCGUGUUUUUUAGAGUAAACCAUACUCCUCUGAUAUUCUUUAAGAAAAAAUAAAUUUUAUAUUUAAUAAAAAUAUUAGAUAAAAUUGUAAUACAUAUUACACUUAAAAUACUAAAAAAAACAACUAAUUUAAAAAAAAAAACAACUAAUUUAAAAAAAUAAUAAUUAUAAUAUUUAUUAAGUUAAAUAUUAUUUUAAAAUUAAAAAAUUAUUGAUAUCUAAAAUAGUUUAUAUUAUUAAUAUAAAUUUAUAAAUUUAUUUUUAAAUUUGUAUUUAAGAUUAUUUACUAAAAUUUUAGCUACUAAAAUUUAUUAAUCACUAAUUUAUAAUUAAAGAUUAAUUUUAAAAUAUAAAAUAAUUAGUAGCUAAAAUCUUAGUAGUUUAUAUUAAAUAAAAUUUAAAAACUAUUUUAUAAAUUUUUAUUAAUAAUAAAAAAUAUUUUAAAUAUUAAUAUAUUUUUAAUUUAUAAAAUAGUAUUUAUCUUAAUCAGUUAUUAUUAUUAUUAUUUUUUAAAUUAAUUGAUAUUUAAUGUUUUUUUAAGUAAAAGAAGACAGUGUGUUUUUAAAAUAGAAAUAAUAAUAUUAAAUACACACAGAUAUUAAACAUAAAAAAGAAAGAAAGUGUAAUUUAAUUAUUUUCAAACAACUUAAACACGAAUUUUAAUUUGAAACCACUUGAAUAGUCAAAUUUAAUAAGAACAAAUACUCAACCUAUGUCCAUUUUUUUUCAUUAAUUUUAUGUAUCUUUCAUCAUAUCUUCUUCUUAUCUUUCACUUCCUUUCUAUUACAAACAUCAUUUUCCUUUUUCUUCCUCAAUUGAUCAAAAAAAUAAGAUAGAUGUUUAUCAUUAUUAAUUCAAGUAUUGUUUUCUCAUGGAAAUUAAAUUUCAAUUAGUGACUUUCACACUAUAAUAAUAAAAAAUUUAACCGAGAUAUAUUUAACGGUUUCGACAAUUUUAAUUUCUCCGCAGUUUGAUUUUUUUUUAUAAGAUUUAACAUGGUUAACGGAUUAUCGACAAUUUUAACUAUCCCCUAAAAUAAUAAUUACUUUUUGAAAAAUGUACAUUCAAUUAUACCAUUCUUAGAAUAUUAUUGGUCACUAAGGUUUUAAUAUGACAUUCAAAGAGUUUCAUCCAUAUUAUUAGUAACCCUUAUCCUUUUUCGAUCUCAUUAACUCUUGCGCAUAAUACUUCUCUAUCAUUCUUUCUCUUCUCUUUUCAAUUCUCAUUUACUUUUACUUUUUAGGACUAUACUCCAAAUAAUUUAUACUUUUUUAAUUAGUCUCUUUAGAAAAAUUGCUUUACAAGGUUAAGACUAUUUAUGCAACAUUAUUUUUUGUCAUUUAUAUUAUUUGUAGUAAAUAAAGUUUUAGAAACAUAAAACUACUUUUAGAAAAUAACUUUAAUAUAUUAUUUUAUUAAUUUAAAAGAUAAAAAAAUAAAGAAAUAAAAUAAACUAGUAUUUUUCAUAACCAAAUUAACAUAUGUUACUACCAUAACACUAAGUAUUUCUUUUCUUUAUUUUUGUCUUCAAUUUCAAUUUUUGUCUUAGAUUUAUCUGAAAUGAUACUCCAACACUUAAAUCAUUAUUCAGAUAAAAGUAAAAAAAUAUUAUAAAUAAUAAUCAAUACAUCUUAUCUUAUAACAUGUAUUUAUUUAAAUUACAUACGAUAAACUUUUAUACAUAAAAAUAAUUAAGAUAUCCCAUAUAAACCUAAACAACUCUUUAAUCAUAAUUUUAUGAUUAUUUUACAUCUUAUCAUUAUUAAUUACAUAAUUAUAUUAUAAUCUUAAAUACUAAUUUAGAGAGUUUGUAUGAGAUACCGGAAUAACAACACAAACUUUUACCAUAUUGGAGUAUUAAUAACUUUUAGAUAGUAUUUAACAUGAUUUUUGGCAUAACACAAUUAGAUUCUAUAAUUUUUUUAAAAUUAACCUAGGAGACAGCAUAACAAUUAAUGGUGGUGAGAACAAUUAUCAUAAUUAACAAAACUUGGAUAUGAUUAUACUUUGAAUUCAUGUGACUAAAAAUUAUUAGCCGUCAUUCUCUCAUUGAUGUUCAUUGAUGUUGGGUAGUAAUGGAGCAACUACCAACAUAGAAGGGAAGGAAUAAACAUGGAAAUUAAUUAUCAUGCUUUCACACAUUCUUCACAUCUUCUAUUUAUUUAUUUUUGUCCAUCAAUGUGCAUUAUUGAAAGGUAAUUUUGCAUCACUAUAACAUAUAUAGUGACCUCUCAAUUCUCUUGUAUUGAACAUGUUUUAUUUGGGUUAAAUUUUUCAAGAUUUUUUGUAAUUUUAUUUUCUACAUGUUCUGGUAUGCCAAUGUAGUCUCACAUUACUUAGGACUUGAGGUCAAUGGCAGUUUAAAUACACUUUCCUCCCUUCACCUUCGGAAACGUCUUUUAAGGACAAAAUUGUGACGGAACACCAACUUCUAAAACGGACAAUACCUCAGAUGCGGUGAUUGACCCUAGCGAUGUUAUUUCUCAGACUUGAGAUCAUAACACUAAUUUUAAAAAAAAACUAUUGUAGAUCAAAUUAUCAACUUUUCAUGUACUUUUAUUUCUUUUAAUUUCAGUGGACUAAACCCUAUCAGACUUGAGAUCAUAACACUAAUUUUAAAAAAAAACUAUUGUAGAUCAAAUUAUCAACUUUUCAUGUACUUUUAUUUCUUUUAAUUUCAGUGGACUAAACCCUAUAUCUAAUAACAUAUUCAAUUAAGGCACCAUAAAAAGUAUUUUAUUUAAUUAAAUAUAAAAACAAAUGUACAAAAAAAACCCACUCUGGGGUUAAACCAUGAUUUUUUUAAAUAUGGAAACUACAAUAGUUAAAAGAUGAAAAAGAAAAAGGGGGAAAGUGAUAGAUAAAAAUUGAAAGGUACAAAAAUUAUAAUUUUUUAUUUUAUUUUUUAAAUUGCAUGAUGAUGUAGAGUUGUCUCAAUUGGAGAAACUUUGUUGGAAGUUUUCUUUUGUCUAGUAAGAGAAUUGAAGUGGGUUUGCAUGUGUGGUUUGUUUUGUGCAUGGCACUUAGAAAAAUGGAGUCUUUAAGAAAUGGUAUUGGUCAACAUCAACAUCAAGAGCAUCUCUUUUUGAUAAGAUAUGCAGAAAGCUUAGGCUGUCUUAUACAUUACAUUACAAGAAAAAAAAAGUGAAAAAGAAAAAUACAAAACCAAAUAAAUAAAUAAAAAAAAACCAAGAUUCCUAGCAUAAAGCUGGAAAUGAUGACAAUGGACCCAAGUAUCCAACUUAAGUAAAAAAUAUUAAUUAGGGUUCCCUUUUAUCCCUUUCCUUAGAAGGUUAACUAAUUAAUAAAUACCAUGCUAAAAAAAGUUCUUAUUAUAUUAAUUUAUUAUGUAAGCCCAUGCUAGGUUAAACCAUUAAAAAAACUUUAAAUUUUUUAAAUGAAAAAUGAAAAGCAGCUUUAAAAGGCAAUGUUCUAUUGUCUCUCACUAACUCCUAUGCAUUAUUAACUACAUGAAAAAUAGGAAUAAAAAAAGUGAGAAUUGAUUAUUUUAGGAGAUACCACUCUCAACUUAGCUAAGCAUUGUUCAAUGACGAACAUGGUUUGUGUCUUUAGAUGAACUUGUUUUAAGGAAAUGAUGGUUUAUUGUGUUAGAAUAUCAAAAGAAUUGGUUUAGAGAUUGUGAUAAAAUACCAAAAAUAUAUAUAUAUAUAUAUAUAUAUAUAUAUAUAAAAAAGUUAAAAUUAAUUACAAUCUCAAUCAUAUAAUUUUUAAUUAAGAAUUAAAAGUAUAAUAAUCAUGGUUUUUAAAAAAUAAUUAAGAAUUAAAAGUAACACAGAAAUAAGUCAGCUUCUGCAAAUAAUCAAUCUUAUGUGGGAUAGUUUAAAUGUUACCUCCUUUUUUUUAGCUAUAAACUUGUUUUGGAAUUUUUUUUUUCCAAAAUAUAAAAAAUGAAAAGGUGUAAAGAGAACAAGAACGAAAAAAAGAGUGAAAUAUUAUAAUCAGUUCCAAAUAGCAACUUAUUUGUGGCAGUUUCUUCUUGCACCCCUACAUUUUUCUUCCUGCACCCCCACAAGGUUGCACAAAGACAAAACUGUCCCUAUAAAAAACUGUAUAUUUAUUUUUUUUAGUAUCCCAGAUUAUGAAAUUCGGUAAAUUUUUGUAUUGGCGCUUCCGGUAAAAUUUCAGAUUGGCGCAUCCGAUAAUCUUUCAGAUUGGUGCUUCCGGUAGUACAUGAAUGACAGUGUUAAUUCAAAGUAAAAAAAUGUAAAACAUCCAUAAUUGAAAAAACCAUUCUGGAUCUGCCAAUCCAUAAUUCAAAAUAUGCAUUCUGGAUUCAGAAAUCAAUAAGUGAAAAAAAUCAUUCUGGAUCCACCAAUCCAUAAUAGAAAUUAGGCUUCCGGAUUCAGUAAUCCGAAAAUCAACAAUUUAUGCAAACUUUGCUUCUGGAACACCCCCUCAUCCGGAAAGCAACAUGAUUCACUUAAUCCGUAGCACACUCCCAAAUCCCAAAUUCAAAUAACAGGUGAAGGUUAGUUUUGAAAUUUACAAAAUUGUGGGGUGUAGAAAGAAAAAUGUAGGGGUGCAGGAAGAAACUUCCCUUAUGUGUUAGAGGCAAGCCUUGUCUAUAGAAGGCCCAAGUUGAAAACACAGAAGGGUGUUUCUUGCUAUAUUGCUAUUGGCACCCCUUUAUUACUAUUUAAAAUCUCCAUCUCUUUGAUUUUAUUUGUUUGAUAAAAAUAUUUACAGAAAGAAGUUUUUACUGUGUUGUUUUUUUUUAAGAAAAUUUAAUAUAACAUAAAUAAGUUUUCUUCUGUAUUAUUUUUUCAAAAAAAAUAACACAAUGGCCAGUGUUAACAUAAUGAAAAUAAGUUUCCGUUGUGUUAUGUUUUUUUUAAAAAAAAAAUUAACUCAAUGGUUCUGUUGUGCUAAACCAAUGCUUUUUCUGAAAGAGAAUUGAAAAAAUUAACACAAAAUUUUGUUGCUAUAAUGGUAUGUUUAACAAAAGGAAUAGAUAUCGAAAACUUGCUUCUAUGGGAUUGAUUUUUUCAAAAGAAAUUUAACAUGUUGAAAAAAAAUUUCUUGUUAUGUUUUUUUAAAUACCAUUCCACUAAGAGUUACACUAUUACUAAUGAAUAUAAGAUAAAUUAAUAUAAUGUACUAUUUAUAUUAUCUUUUUAUAAAUCUUUCAAAAAAAAAAAUAUCUCUUCACAAUAAUCAUAUCAUACUCAAAGAAAAUGAAAAUAAAUAAAACAUAAACAUAAAAUCAUUUUCUAUCUCGUCAUUUUAUCUAUGCUCAGAUUAUUUUUUCGCAAUAUCAUUUUUUUCCUAUUUAACACAUGAUCAUCAUAGUUGAUAAACAAUAUACAAACGCACAAAACAAAGUAAGCUAAUAUUUUUCUUUAAAUCUCACAUACAUGCAUAUAUUGAAACCAUAUAAAUAUAUUUAUACAUAUAUAAUUUAUUCACAUCUCAUCCAUAUACUUUCAUGGAUACAUAAUCAAUUCAUUCAUUAAAUAUAUAUCAUAAUCAAAUAUUUAACUCUCAGUCCAUUGAUUACCUUUCAUGUCAUAAGUUUCUGAAAUCAACAUUACAAACACUUGAAUCUACUAUUAGAAGACAACUUGUUGAAUUAGACUCAUAUAUAUGCACAAGUGAUAUUAACUUCACUAAGUGAUAUCAUUCAUCCUAUUAUUAUAAUAUUCAAGCAUAAUAUGUUGUUAAAGUACAACAAUAUAGUGUAAUAUACAUAUAUUUUAACAUUUAGAAACAUGUUUUUCAAACUUUAGAAAACAAUAUAUCGCUUGACUUUUACUUUGUUUGCCCAACAAAUUAAGCAUUAUAUUAUUAUUCACUUCUCACUCAACCAAAAGUGUCAACUUGCCCAACAAAUUUUGGUUGCCCAACGAAAACUUUGCUUUCUCAACAAUCAAAGUAUUCACUCAAACUAUACAAUUUUGUAUCUCAAUCACUUUCAACUCUUUAAUAUCUCAAGCAUACCAUACAUAUUUAGCUAAUUUUUUUCUACAAGAAACAUUUAAUCAUUUUAUAUAACAUUCAUUUCCAAAUUCAAAUAAUUAAAAUAUAUUAAAACAACACAAAAUACACGUGUAAAAAUCAAAAUAUUAUAACCACGUCACUUUCACAUGUAGAUCAUUUACCCCCAAGUUUCCCUACAUGUCAAGACUUGUUUAUUGAGUCUUAAACUUCUAACCUUUUUAUCCUUAUAGGAAAGAUAAAACUUAUAAAAAAAAAACUCUAUUCAACACUUUUAAAUACACCUACACUUCUAGAUUGACAGAAAUCUACCGUUUGUUCCAUAAACAACACUUGCACAACACAAAAACCCUAAACAUGCAAAUUUUUCCAAAAAUCAACUCAAUAAACGGGCAAAAAGAAAUUUACUCAAAAAUAAUUUAUGAUCGGAGAUAAAUGUGUUACUCUUCAUCAAGAUUUCUAUGGUGAACUCUGAUCUAAGAAAAAAUAAACAAAUCUUUCAAAAUUCCAAAAAAAAAAAAGAAAGAAGAAAAAUGUUUUAAAUAGAUAAUGAUUUUUGUGAAAUAAAGUUUGAAUAAUAAUUUAUUUUUUUUUAUAAAUUUUUUUAGCUGAAAUAAUAAAGUAUUCUUAUUUCAUCUUCAUUAAACCACUCCUCCUCUUAAACCCAUUAACUAGUCAUCACAUUUUUAUUUCAAUAAAGUAAUACAAAGAAAAAAUGUUUCAUUUUUUUUCAAAAAGAUAAGUUACUUAUUCAAUAAAAACAUGUUUACGUCGUUAGUGUUUUUAACUAAAUGCCAAAAGUUUGACUUUUCACUUUGAUUGGGAGUUUGAAUAGUAACUUGGGGUUGCCAAUGGCAGGGGUUGUUUCUUAGGUGCAGUGCCUUGCUCUGGAGUGGGCUUUCGAUCUGGGCUGCAGGGCCUUAUUUUUGGUCUGCAAACACUUCCAAAAGAAAAAAAAACUCAAUAACAAAUUAACAAUUUGAACCGAAAGAAAAGUCAACAAAAAAUAAUUACUCUAAAUUGAGUUUGUCUUAUUUUAAGUAGGCAAUUGCUUUCUGCACCCGAUCAAUUGUGACUGGCACCCGACAUAUUUUUUAAAAUCCUACUAUGUCUUUGUCUUCUUCACUUUUGAAAACAUUGAAUGGUGAGGAAGAGGAAGUUCAUGGAUGUUUGAAGCUUUGCUUUGAGCUGCAAAAGAGGAGGUUGUGCUUCGUUCAUUGUUGCUAAGUUGAGUGUAAGCUUCGUUUGCCAAGUUAAUGAGGUAAGUAAUCCAUUUUCGUUCGUUUCUGGUUUUUGUUCGAGGUCAGCUGGUCCCGAAUAUCAGAAUCCGGAAUUCUGUUUUUUUGCUUAUGGAUAUUAAUAUCUGGAAGUCAAAAUUUUCAAUACGGAUAUUAAUAUCCGGAACUGUGGAUCGUUGCUUCUAGACGCUGAUAUCCGUAGUUCAUCAUUGCCUUACGGAUGUACAUAUCUGGAACUAGUUUAUGCAAUCCGGAUAUAUAUAUCCGGAAGCUAACUGUUGAUAUUUUUUUGGUUAUGGAUUUAUUUAUCCGGAAGCUAAGUGUUCAUUUUUUUCAACAGCCGAAUGGAUACAACAGAGUCAUACAUGGGAGUUUUAGGGGAGAUUGAUAGGUGGGAUGGAUUAGAUGAUGUUGAUCUGGAGUAGUCAAUAAGUUAUAACGCAUUAGAUAAUGAACAAAGGGCACAUGAAUGUAAUGAGGCCAAAUGAGGUAUGGUCAAUGUUGGGUUGUGAAUGUUUUUUUUAUGAAUUAUUUUUAAAUUUGACAUAUGUUAUUGUAGGUAUUUCGUGAUCGAGAUGAGCUGUUAGAGUGGGCGAGAAGUGUUGGCUAUAAUUAUGGGUUUGUUAUUGUUAUAUUAAGGUCAGAUACAUGGACGAGCCAACGAGGAAGGAUGACAUAUGUAUUGUUAGGUUAUGAGAGAGGAGGUAAAUACAAACGGUAUAAAAAAGAAGUAGAUGUCAGUCGAACUGGAAGUAGGAAGUGUGAGUGUCCUUUCAGAUUGCGAGGCAAACCAGUCAAAGGUGGUCAAGGGUGGAUGGUUGAAUUAAUUUGUGGUUCUCACAAUCAUGACUUGGCAGAGACAAUGGUGGGUCAUCCAUAUGCUGGAAGGUUAAGUAUAGAGGAAAAGGUUAUGGUUGAGGAUAUGACUAAAACUUCUGUGAAGCCAAGAAAUAUUUUACUAACCAUGAAAGAGAGAAAUGAGAAGAAUGUGACAACAAUUAAGCAGGUUUAUAAUGCAAUCACUGUUCACCGAAGAUCACAACGAGGUCACAGAACAGAAAUGCAACAACUGAUGUUGUUACUAUAGCGAGACAGGUACGUGCAUUGGUGUAGGUGUGACGAGGUCUCUAAUAUUGUGCAAGAUAUAUUUUGGACACACCCAGAUUCAGUAAAAUUGGUGAACUCAUUUAAUAUUGUCAUAUUAAUAGAUAGUACGUACAAGACGAACAAGUAUAGGAUGCCGUUACUUGAGGUUGUUGGGAUUACGUCUACAUGUUUGAUUUUCUCCGUUGCAUUUUGUUUACUAGCAGCAGAAAAGGAAAAUAAUUUUUUUUGGGCCCUUGACAGACUUAAAGGGUUGUUUUUAAGAGUUGAUUCAUGCCCUAGGGUGGUGGUAUGUGAUAGAGAUGUUGCCUUAAUGAAUGCAAUUAGAAUGGUGUUUCCUGAAGCUUAUAAUUUGCUCUGUCAGUUUCACAUUGAUAAAAAUGUGAAAGCAAAAUGUAAAAUGUUGGUGCAUCCAAGAGAGGCAUGGGAUCAAGCAAUGGAAGUGUGGGGAUUUGUUGUGGAUUGUGAUACAAAAAUUUAUUUUUCAUUACUUACCAAACCAUUCCAUAACUGUUUGGCUACAUGAUGUUCAUAAUUAACAAGUAAGGACUUAUCCAAUGGUCCUCCUGGAUAGCCUUCAUCAUCAACUUCAACUUCUUCUUGUUCAAUAUAAUCUUCAAACUGUUCAUUUGGAAUUGAAGUACUAGGCCCACCCCGUUUUCUUCUAACCGAUGCAGUUGGACACACACGAUCCAAAUUAGAACUUCCUCCACCUCUAGUCUGCACCAUCUUACAUUUCAUAAAAGUAACAUUCAAUCCAAUAUAUAUAAAAAAAUUAUAACACAUAUAGUCUAAAACAGUUGUGAAAAAUUUCACACUAAUACGGAUAUUAAUAUCCGUAGAACAACAACAACAUUCCGGAUAAAAAUAUCCACAAGUCAAAUGUAUCUUAUGGAUAAAAAUAUCCGGAACCCAUUAUUGAAUUACGAACAAAAAUAUCCGGAAUUUAUUAUUGAACUACGGACAAAAAUAUCCGCAAGCCACUAUUCAAGUGCGGACAAAAAUAUCUGGAAGCCAAUAUUCAAGUGCAGAUAAAAUAAUCCAGAAGCAACUGGUGAAGUGCGGAUAUAAAUAUCCAGAAGCCAAUAUUGAUCUGCGGAUAAAAUUAUCCAGAAGUCACUAUUCUAUGGAUAAAAAACAGCGAUGAAGGGUACCUUGACUUCUUCGACGAUGAAGCUCACUCACGGUGAAGCAAACGAACACUACGAAGGUGGCUGACGGUGUUGAACGGUGGCUGACGGUGUCUCCCUGCAACUUCACGGUAACGACCCUAUUUGUUGGGUGCUUACAUUGGGUGCAGAUCACAAUUCAUGUGUUUCUUAAUUUCAUUAAGGGUAAUAUGAUCUUUUCAUAAAUCCGAUUAGGUGCCAGUCAAAAAGCAUCGGGUGCAGGAAGAAUCUGCCUUUUAAGUAUAUCAUAAUUUUGGCUCACUGAACCAAUAAAUAAACUCAUGGGUUUGAACUUUCCAUGUCUUGCAUGCACUAAAGUAUGCUUGUUAAAUUUUUUUUUAGAAAAAAAAAAUUUUAUACAACCGUAUUUAAAGGAUAAUCUUUUUUUCGAUGGUUCAUAACUGUGAAUAAGGUCAUUUGGUAUUAUUUAUUUUGCUAUUUUUAUUUAAUUUCUUUUAAUAUUUAUAGACGGUCUAGAUUAUCUUACAAAAUUUAUAUCCUCUAUUUGCGACUUAUAUACUCACUUAAAAUUUAAAAUUUAUUGUACAACUCAAAUUUGAAAAGUGUAAAACAGUGAAAGAAAAUGGAGCAAAUAAAUCAACAAAAUUGGAUUGGGAUGAAAGAAUUUUUGUAUGUUAAAUGACUUCGGAGAAGACAACAAGAUUGGAUUGAGACUUGAACAAUUUAUAUAUUUAUGUUAACUAUUUUUUUUUAUGUUUUGUUUAUUUUUGUUUAUUAUGUUUAGUUUUUGAUGUUUAUUUCUUUUAUAUUCACACUUUUAUAUUGAUAUAUUAAUAUACAUUCUAUUUUUACUUUGUAAUUUAUACUAUAUAUGCUAAUUAAAUUUAGAAACAUCACUUUCUCACCUUGUAUAUAUAAAAGUUCAGUUAAACUAGUUAUCUUUCUUUAUAUAAAUUAAAAAUUAAUAUAUUUUUAGCAAAUAUCUCAAAUAUGUAAUUUAAAAAUAAUUAGUUUUUAAAUUUAAUAAAUAAGUAACAGUGGAGAGUUGGGUUAAAAAACUAGUAAAUUAGCAAUUUGAACCGAAAGAAAAGGCAACAAAAAAUAGUUACUCUAAAUUUUGGCUCUCUAAACCAAUAAAUAAGCUCAUGGGUUUGAACUUUGCAUGUCUUGCAUGCACUAAGUAUACUUGUUAAACUUUUUUUUAGAAAAAAAAUGUUUUUUAAUAAAAUAAUCACUUAUCAUGUUUGGAUAAACUUAUUUAAAAAAAAAACAGUUUUCUGUUUUUUUCAGAAAAAGUUAUUUCUCAUAAAAAAAUGUUUUUUUAAUAAAUAAUCACUUAAAAUGUUUGGAUAAAUUUAUUUAAAAAAGAUCAGAAACAGUUCUGUUUAUUUUUGAAAUAGUUAUUUCUCAUUAAAAAUAUAUACGGUAGAAGAGAACCUUUUAGUUAAAAACUAUAUUUUUUUACCCUAAACAAACAAAUAUCAAUAUUUACUAAGAAUCACUUAAAAAAAGUUACUUUUUUAACAAUAUUUUUUUUAACAAAAAUCAACCUGAUUCUGCUUCAAGUAUCCACCAUGAUUUUGCUUCCUAAUAUCACCGAUUUAUGGGUUGAAGGAUGAGACUGAAUUAAUAAUUACACAUGAAAAAUCAUUUCUCAUGUCAUGAUUAGCUUACAUCAGAUUCUUGAGAGUAUACUAGCUGAAACAUGUCUCUGCAACUAUUUAUUGGCAAGAAACUGUAGUAUUUAUUGUGAAUUUAACUUAUCGUUAAGUUAAUGAUUUUUACCAUAUAAUUUCCUUGUAUAAUUUAUUUUUUUUGCUUUUGUUGUGAUUAUUAUAUUUUUGUCAAAUGAUGUCUGUAUCAGAACUAACUUAAGAUAUACAUGACUGAUCUACAACCUUUGAAUACCAACAUUGACUGAUAUGUUUCUAUGAUUUAGUCCAAAAUAUUAGAAAAAUUAUACAGUGUUCCUUCAAAAGUCCCAGUGAACAAUGGAUUAUCUUGGCAUUCAAGCAGAGAACCUCAUUGGCUAUGCCUCAUUUGAAAUAACUCAAGCACUAUAAAUUAUAAGUUUGAAAUUAAGAAUUUGUUUCUAGUUAGUGUUUUGUGGAAUGAUUUUAUUUAAUUAGACAAAGAAAAAUUGGAAGAAAAUCAUUUUUGUAAAGUUCAGAUUGAGGGCAGGCUCUACAAAUGAUGAGUAAGUUGAGUUCCAAGGAACAAAGCAAGAUGCCUUAAAAUAUCUCAGUGAUAUGUAUUGUACAUUAAGAUUGGGGGAAAACAUGAAGAUGAGUGAUUUAGAGAGUUGGAGUUCUCUCAGCUGUUCCAGCAAUGACUGUGAGCAAGUUGUUGCCAAAUGGGUCACUGAGAUGCUUUGCAAGGUUCUCAACAGGACCUUCUCCAGUGACAUAGGCUUGGAUGAAGAAACCAAGCAUGGAAAACAUAGCAAGUCUACCAUUCUUGAUUUCCUUCACCUUUAGCAGUGCAGCUUGAUCUGGAUCGUUUGCAAGCCCCAAUGGAUCAAAUGGACCACCUGGAUGAAGUUUGUCUUCGAAAUUCUGCUCAAAAUAGGUCACAAUUUGGUGAAUCAAAUGAUUAAGCACUGUCUUUGGGAGACUGUUCAUGCUCCACAAACUUGAUUUUGAAAGUGUUGAUUGUGAUUGUGGAAAAAAGUUAUGUAGUUUGUUUCCUAUGAUCAAGGUUGUUAAAAGACAUUCAUGUAACUGUGAAAAUAUGUAGCUUGGUGUUGGGAUGAGAAUUUUAUACUAAACUUUACUUCAAACUUGCUUUAGAGAUGAAGUUUCUAAACAUAACUCUGCUUCAAACUCAAUUUCACAUAAAAUCAAUAUCAUUGAAAAUUAAGUUUGCAAACAUAUAUCCAAGCCCACACUUCAAAAAGUUUUGUUACAAUUUUAUGAACAUAGUGCUUAUGUGCAUUGCUAAUUCAAAUAGUUCGCAAAAAUAACAGUAAUAAGAUAGUUCAGUUGACUAAAUAGUAACCUUCUUGUUGUAAUAAUCCUUAUGUUACAAACAAAGAUUAAGAAAAAAUGCAAUGACAAAUACUGCAGUAAAUAUUCAGAUUGAGAAAUCUACAUACCAGGCCAUUAGUAAUUCUGUAGUACUCUGCACCUCCCACAAGAACUACCUCAGCAACGACAGCCAGAAUAAGAUUGAUGGGAAUGGGUUUCCCAAAGUAGUUCAACGUACCCCCAUCAAGAAGCAGAGCUCCAGUCUGCACCAAUUCCAUAAAGAAUAUUGAUUUUGGCUUAGUGUAAGCAAUAUAUGCAAUCACAAAAAGAUUGGUAAUAGCUAAAUUGAAAGGUAGAGAAUAACUCUAGUGAAAAAAGAGAGUAAAUUAUUAGCACAAUUGUCAGGAUUUAAAGGCAUGGUUAAAAAUGAGCACUAAAAUUGAAUGAGAUGGGUAAAACACAAGGGAAAAGAACAUUUUUUUUCAAGUCUAUGUUAAAUUUACACCAGAAUUGUCAUUUACACAAAAUGGAAUUAAACUUUUGAACUCGAGUUUCAAAAUUUGGUUUGAACAGGAGUCUACUAGAGUUAUUUUGCACAAAGAAGAGAAACUGAUAGAGUCAUGCAAUAGUACUUGUAAGGUCUAUUAAAUUCCAUUUGUUUUGUCAUAAAAAACAAUGUAUUAUUGAACUUGAAAUAGUGACAGUUGCUAUAGAGCUUGCAAACCUUGAACCAAACAGCCUCAGGACCACAGUUUGCUCCGUAUUUGUUGAAGGCCUCAGGAAUGAUGAAUCCAGCAGCACCAAGCAUUGCCCAUCUGGCGUGAAUCAACUCAAAUGCCUGAUAUCUGCAUCAACCUCCCCAACAUCACAACACAAGUAAUGUAACAACACAUAAACAGACAUCUAAAUUGUGAGUGUUAUGCAUACUUGGCAAAGUCCUCUGGCUUCUUGCCGAGACCAAAGGGGUCAUAACCAUAACUGCAUGGACACACAUUACCAAAUUAAAACCAAAAAAAUUCACAAAACGGCUUGCAUGUCAACGUGAAUUAAGUAGACUAGAAGGGAGGAGAAGGCACAUACUCUCCGGGGACUUCUCCAUUCAAGUACUCCGGGACCUCAGAUCGGUCCAAGAGACCCUCUGGCAAGAAGAUCCUUCUGUCAGGACCUGGCAACGAAUGGAACAAAAAAAGUUUAUCAAACUAAGAAGCUAUUUGCUAUGGAUGUGAAACCAAACGCACUAUUAGUUAUCCUUCUUCAGUUACACCGUCCAUUUAACACAGGUUGAAGCAACACAAGUUAGGCAACUUGAGGACACAAGCAACAUAACUGAAAGAUGAAACACACAUAACUAGAGGACUUACCAUACCACUUGGCAAGCUCAUCAUUGGCAGGAGAGACAGGAGCAGCUUUUUUUGGUGCUGCCUUCUUUUUGGAGAAAAGAGCCACAGUCUUGAAGGAGGCAGGGCUAGAGGGAGAUGGAGCAGGCCUUGUGGCACCAUUGAGGUUGAUGGGGUUUCCAAGCAUUUCUGACAUGCCAAGGGAUGCAGCAGCAGUGGAAGCUGCAAGGGAAGCCAUGCUUUGGAAGCCUCACAAACUCAGAUGAAUGUCUCACAAGCAGGUGGUGAAGGAUGAAGGGGUUAGAGGAUGGAGAUGCAUAUACUAUAUGCAUGGACUGGUGGAUGUAAACGUGCCACGUCAGAUUCAUCAACAUGGACUUUGAUUGGUUUACAGGUGAGAUUUGCAAUCCAAUGCAAGGAUUUGAUUGGUUGAUCCCUGAUGUGUGAAGGAUGAUGGUAUCUCCUGAGCUGGAAGAUUGAUUGGUUCUGGAUAACAUGUUUUAUCCUCCAACCUCUUCGACCUUUGCAUAGGCAAGGCUUUUAGGUUUUUUGUAAUUAUCUUCAGACUCAGCAGAAAUAAGGGCUACCACACAAUUGAAGCAACACUCACAUGAGUAAACAGUAAGAGUGAAAGAAUUUGUUUUCUUUUGGAACCAAUCUAUGGGCGGACUUGUAUUUUGAAAGAAGAAUUUCAGCCAGUCUCGUGUGUGGACCACCAAAUUUCACAACAGAAGAUUUAGAAAUACCCAAGGCUUGCAACAUUGUGAGUGAUUCUAUACCACACAACGGGGUGUGGUUGUUCUUCUAUGCAAGAGUUCACUUAUUGAUUUGCAAUUUAUUAAAAUAUUUGCAACUAUUUCAGAGUUUGUCAAAACACGAGCUAGCCCUAAAAAAUCAAUAAAUGAGAUUUGAGACAAUGUUAAACCCUUGUCUGACUUUGAUAUACAAAGGUUCAUCCAAUAGUAUGAGAUUCUAUUAUCAACUUAGAUAAAGACAAUAGGUUACGAAGUCACUAUUUAAACUAGUAAAUCAUUAGUUCCAUUGCAUGAACUAAAAUAUAUUAAAAAUUCAUAACCUGUAAAUUUCAUACUUAGAAAAUUAUUAAAUGUAUCAUACUAUACACAACACACCAAAUCACCAAUUCACUCAAAAACCUUCUGUGUUACUAGUUCACUGCUUCAACCAGCCAGGUCACCAAUGCACUAAAAAAUAACCGGUCUAGUCACACGUUCCACAGCAUUUCCCCCAAAAACCAGUUCGAACCAGCUAUACAAACCGGUUUUGAUGGCCGACACUGGUUAAUCUGAGUGCUGGAAAUUAACCCAAACCAAUGAGAAUCAGCUUACAAGGCCACACUGCUCUUUUUACUUAGCAAUAUUCUGGCAUUCAAUUUCAUACCCCAGUUAAACAUUGGCAGAAUUCAAUAAUAACCCCACUAAGUAUUAAUAUGAAAAUUUAGUAUCUCGUGUAAUGCUACGAGUUUGAAUAUGCAGAGUUUGCCAUGAAUUAGCAUAUAGAAUGGAAUCUAAUAGGAGAGAAUUUUUUCUUUAUAUUUUAUACAAUUAACUUAAAUGGCCUCUUCCAUUAUCUUCUCCACUUGUCAAUUUCUUUUGAUGUUGCUUUGAUAAGCUUUUUAGUAUUGAUGACGAGGUCGUCCACGAGUGCAGUAAUCUCAUUCCUGAAAAUUACACAAAAUAUCCAAAUGGCGUUAAAAAUGAGAUGAGUUUUGAAGAGCAGCCAGUAGCCACGGAAAAGUAUCAGAUGUAUGAAAAUCUUUCAAGCAAUAAGAUCUUUACAGUUAAUGGUAUAUCUGAAGAAUAGUGAAUGGAGCCCGUUAUAACCACACACUGUUACCAUGUCACAUCUUUCAUAAAAGUGGUGGAGGGCUAUCAUAUAUAUCAUAAAAUUUCUUUUUGAAGAAGCAUGAUGUCAAAUCAUAUGAAGCGAGCCUUAAGAAUUAAUACUACUUGAACAGCAAGGCUGCAAGAUUUUCAUACUGCUAAAAUUCUUUGUUAAAAGUAGCAGCAAAAUCUUAGAAGUCUUAUUUCAGGUUCUGGUGUUUUCUAUUGGAGCAAUUAAUAGACCUGAAUGUGCUAAGUUGAUAAUAUUGUUUAGUAUUCUAAGCACCUAUCUAUCAUAAAUUUUUUAUAUCACGUUUUAUUUUGCAAUCAGAUCAGAUCAUCAAGUCCAUGGAUUUUCUCAACGCCAAAUCUAAACACCGAUCUUCUUAUAAAAUUAGUAGUCCCGAAUUUAAUAAAUAUGUAAAUCUAAUCAUAAUCAUUGAGCAGCUAAUUGACCGAAUAAAAUUAUACACAAAUUUAGGGAAAUGUAUUUGUAUUAUGUAUUAUACGGCAAAGUCUUUUCACAUUUUUUUUCUGACCUUAUUUAUUCCUUCUUACAUUUUCUAUUCAAAUUUGUAAAAUUUUAUGUUUGAAAAAAAUAUCAAAUACAGGAAUUUUAUCUCUUUUGGCAAUAAAAGUAAAAGUAUUAGCAAAGAAAAUAGAAAAGAUUUUCAACAAUUAUCAGUAAAUUAAUAGGAUGAAAUAACUUAAAAGGGUUCAGACAAAAUGAUCAUAUCUACACCAAGAAAACAAAAAAAUGCGGAUAGUUAGAUGAUUUACUUACUCAGAAAUUAUGCUUCUAGAUCCACGAAAAGGAUUUCCAACAUUAGAGUACCUAUUGUUCUCAUCUUGUGCAAUUCCUUUCCCCACACCAUAGCCAAACCCUAAACCAACACCGCAUCCAGCACCAAAUCCAAAGCCAACUUGGAAGCCAGGAAUUCCAGGGCCAAAACCCACUCCUGGAGUCAAACAAAUAUUGUGUAAGAUUAUUUGACGCAUAAAACAGUGCAGGAAGUAUGUUCAAACUUAAAGGUUAAAACAUGAACAAAUCAGCAAGCAGCAUAAACUACAUCUCCUCACUACAAUAUGGCAAGGGAUAAUCCUAAUCAUUAGUAGCCGCAUCCGAAGAGGCAUCUAAAAGCCUAAAGCCAUGCAGAAAAGAAUCAACAGCAAUGUUGAAACAAGAAGAUGAAAAGUAGCAUACUACCUCUCACUAUUAUACUAUUUUAGAUUUUUAGGAAUAUUUUCAGUUUGUCGUCAAUUCCACAGAGGAAUAAAAACCAUUGGUCAAAAGUUAACAAAAAUUUGUCAGAAUGCAUAAAGCAACUAAGGAUAUCAACAAAGUCUUUUAUUAAAUAAAACCAAUUAAAGAGAUUCAUGGUCAUGGUUAUAAGUGUAUGGUUUAUACCAUAACAAUCAAACCAACUAUCGAGCACCAAAAUUUACCUAAAUACUGCACAACUCUCAACGGGAAAUUUAACUCUUUGACAGGUACUACAAUCAAAAGUGGAUAUUGUAUUGUUAUAAACUGUAAUUUACCAAUGACUUGCACUCCCUUAAAGGGCAUUUCUUCCUGUACCCCAUAAAAAUCGAUUCCCACCCUUUUUCCUUCUGGACUAAUGGGUAUUCCAUAAUGUAGUUUUUACAUUCCAAAAUUCUCAUUUCGAAUGAAAGUGAGUAGAUUUGUAUGGGGUAUAGAAAACAGUAACCCGCCUUAAAUAGUUCACUUCCAGUCAUCUUUUGGCCCAACAGGGGAGCAAUAGUUCAAAAUACAGUAAAACAAUCACAAUGUGUAACUAAUCAAUUGGAGGAGAGCCCCCUUUCAUUCAUCCCAUCAAUGAUUUCCAAAAAGUGGUCAACCCAUGCAUGCACUUAAUGCCAACAUCUCCAACAAAAGGUAUAAUUUCUUUGUUAGUUCUCCCCCUUUAUCUCACUUCAUCGCACAUAUUUCUGUCUGCGGAAAUUCCUUCAUCUUCAGUGGAUUCAAGUCAUUACUUAGUCAAUAACCAAUAAAUACUGCACCUUUAAACACUACAGGCUUUGAGUUUCAAUUAUUCAACUGCAAACUAGAAUUCAAAUGACAAAUAAAGGUCUAUAAAGGUACAAAAUGUUUUCUAUAUUCAUUUUUUUUGUUCCCCACUGGUAUUUUUCUUUGGAUGCAAUCUUGUUCAAUGCAUCGUCAGACACUAAAUGUGAACACUACUCCAAUAGAUAUUCAAACCUAGGCUCACCAAAUUGUGAAGAACUGGCCCUUCCACCACACUCACCGCCUUAGGAUUUCUGUUUUUAUUUUUAGUUACAAACUUGUUUUUUUUUUAGUACAGACCACAUCUAUCCUUCCUUAGGAGGAAAAUAAAACUGAAGCUAACUACUAAGACAAGAAUGAAUGGCAAAGUUCUCCCUAUGAGUAUUCAACAACAAAAGGAACGAGCUGAGGGCUUAACUCGACACUUUAUUUUUCUUUUAUAGAAAACCAUUUGCAACUUAAACUUAAAACAUAAAAUACAAAAAGUGAAAAUAAAAAACGAUUUCUGAAUCCAAACACUCCUUUCUUCGUCGAGUGAUUAAGAAUGUGUUUAGACAAACUUUUACACAAGUACUUCGCAAAAGGCUUUCUCUAAAAUUAACUUAUCCACGUACCAGAAAUAAGAAUUUAAAAAAUUAUAAGAAAUAAUUUAUAUAAAUUAACUUACUUUUUUUUUUCUUAUUUUCACUGGUAGAAGGACUUAAGGAUAAACUUGAUGCCCUAACUUAAUUUUGCAAAUAAAUUUUCAUGAUUCACAUAAACUAGAAAAACUACGAGUCUAGUUACACAAUGAUUUUUUCCAUCGAAAUAUCGAAGCAUCGCGUAACAAGUAUGUGAAAUUGAAGCAAGUAAAGGGUAGAGUUGAGGAGUGAACCUCCGAGAAGGCCAGCGCCGAAACCGAGGCCGCAGCCGGCGCCGAAACCGAAGGCGGGACCCACCUUGCCGAGCUGGUCGGACUUGACCACCGGAAGGUUCCACAGAAAACCCUUGUCGUCAUCGCCGUUCAUCUUCAGCCGUUGCUCUGUUUUCAGUUUCUGUCGCAAUCUGUGCGAUAGAAAAAAGGAAGAGAAACGUCAUUUUUUAUUUAUUUUGAAUUUCAAGGUGUGAAAAAUAUUAUAUUUUUCAUUUUUUUUCCAAAAAAAGGGAAGAAUUUUGAUGACAUGUUAUUGAAAAAAAAUAUGAAGAAUACAAAUAGUGAAAAGAGGAAGCAAAAUUCACACCCAAAAAGAUUGUGAUAUGUGAAAAACAAAUUAAAAUAAUUAUUAUUAGCCAAAAUAUAUAUAUAUAUAUAUAUAUAAAUAAUUUUAAAUGAGUCAAAAUUGAAAAAAAAAUAAUAUGUAAAAAAAAAUAAUGAAUUGAUUAAAUAAUCUCUUUAUUUUUUUCGGUUUAAAUCUCUUUUUUUAUUUAAGUUUUUUUCUCUUCUUCUACUGAUAAAUGUCAUUUUAUUUGAUAUGUAAGAUUAGUGUAGAAAUGUGGGAGAGUAUGUCAUCUCUUUCUUAUUUUGUUGCCUUAAAAUAAGGAAUUAAGAGAAAAGUGAGGAGUCAGUUUGCAAAUUGUACACUAAUAUUAAUUUAAAAAAUUAAAAAAUAUUUUUUUAAAAUUCAUAUAAAAUGACAAAAUACUCUAUUAUACUAAUAAUAUGAGAUACCUAGAAUUGAAAAAUAUUUAUGUUAAAAAAAUGAUUAUAAUGGAGAAUUUUUUUUAUAUAUAGGUCUUUUAUAUAUAGUAAUAGAUAUUAUAGUUUUACAAAUAUAUAAUUUGCUAAGAAUUAUAUUAAAAUCUUAAAAUAAUAUAAUUUAAAAUAUAAAUUUUAUAAAAAUAAUAUACAUGGUGCUUAUUUUAAAAUAAAGAAGUUAUGUAAUUAUAUUUUAUUAAAAAGAGAAAUGAUUAAAUUAUUUAUUUUAUUAAAUAAGAAAAAAUAUUUUUGUUCAUUAAAACGUAAAAUUAAUAAAAAAUGUAUCCUUGUAUAGAUAAAAUUAAUAAAUUUAUCAUAUUUUAAUUUGAAACUAUCGACAUCGUAGGAGAAUAAUUGUUAGUUUUACAUAUAUUACUUUUCAUGCUGAGAUGUCAACCAAUAAUAAGAUGAAGGCUUAAUUAUAUUUUAAGUUUUAAAUUUCUAUUAUUGUAAAAAAAAAAAUAUGUUAACAACUUUUCCCCCCAAAUCUCCAUUUUAAUUACUUUUAGAAUUCCCUUCUUUAUGUAAAAUAUACAUUAAUUAUUUAAACUUUUAUAAUAACUCAUUUCCAAUAUUUAAAAAAUUGUUCUAUUCCAAUUUUCUAUCGAAUAUAAACAAACUACUAUGUUUCCUUUUCAAUUAAUUCUAUAUGUUAUUCCUUCUAGUUUAUAAAAUAUUUUUUGCUAAUUGUAUUUUUAAAGUACAUGUUAAAUCCACAAAAAAUGUUUAUAGAAAGUUAAAAAUAUCAUAAAUAGAAGUUGUGAAAAGUAAGACAGGUCCACACAUUAUCAACUAAACUGUUUAUAACUUGACAUAUUAAAGAAAGAAAUAUAUGAUCGACUCAACAUAUUUUAGAAAAGUCAAUGAAUUAAUUAAUUAACGAGGAAACAUAAAUUUAUGGUUACUUAUAAUUUGAACUAAUAAUAGUAAAAUGUGUGAGACUAUAAAUAAUUUCUCAAAACUACUAUUCUCAUUAUGUAUAUUUCAUUUUUUAUGUAUUUAAGAUGGCAUAAAUUACAAUAUUUUAUUUUUUAUGUUUUCUCAAACUAUGUUUUUAAAUUGAAUCUAUAUAAUAUUUAUUUUAUUUUAUUUUUAUUUAUUUAUAUAUAUAUAUAUAUAUAUAUUUAACUUUUAAGUGUUUUUGUUUUGAAUUAAUUAAUUAAAAAAUUUAGUCAAUAUUUUUUAAUUUUUUACUAAACGAAAUUGAGUAUUAACACAAUAAAUAUAGAUUCUUCAUUCAAUCUUCUUAACAAUAAUUUUCAUUCAAACUCAUAAAUAUUUAAAUUCAAUCUCAAAAUUAUCACUCAUGAUUAUCAUAUUGCUUGAAAUUAACAAAAUUAAUAAAUGUUUUUCAAAAUUGUAAAUUUUCAAUUAUUUUAAUAUUACAAUUCAGUAGGUUUAUAGUUUCAUUCCGAAUGAAAAUGAAAAAAAAAACCCUACUAUCAAAUUGCAUUUUAACAAUAAUUUUGGUUUGAUAUUAUUAAAUAUUAAAAACUAUAUCCUAUUUCUGACAUCUCUAUAUGUUAUUAAGAACAAUUAAUACAUACACAGAUACGGAUACGGACACGACACGGACACAGAUAUAUGUAUAAUCUCUAAAAUGUAGGAUACGGUGACACAUAUCUAUAUAUUAUAUAAUUUUGAAUUAUAUAAAUUGAAAAUAAAUAUUUAUGUGCAAAGUAUGUUUCAGAUUCUUUUGGAAAUAGGAAGAUAUUUUUCAUGACUGGUUCAAAAGAAUUUGUUCAUUAUUUUUAUAAUCAUAAUAAAAAUUUAUACAAUAAAUUUGAGUUUUUAGAAAAUUAUUGUAUUUAUACCUUUUAAAAUUGUGUUAGAACCUGGUAGAAUUUUCAAAAAUCCAACAAAUAUUUUUUGAAUUGAAUACUUCACCGACAAGUGUCCUACAAGUGUCGUACGAGUAUCGACACAGAUACAUGUGUCCGACACGGAUACGUCCAUUUAAGAGAAGUGUCCGAGCUUCUCAUGUUAAAAAAAUACAAAAUUAAAAUUAUAAAUUAUUAUUUUUUUCUUAAUUUGGAGGAAGAUUUCUUAAUCACACUAAAAUCAAAGUUUACUCUUUUCUAAGAAACCAAACACUGUCUUUCAUCUCCUGUAAAACAUACCCAAACCCAAACAAGAGUGUUGUAUCAGUGAUUGAGAAAAAACCUUAGAAGAGAGAAAAAAUGAGUAACUUCACCGAGAAAUUGGGCAUUAAGAUUGAAAAGAACCCUCCAGAAGACAAGCUCACUCAACUUGGUGUUAGGCAAUGGCCAAAGUACGCUUCUUUUCUCUGCCCUCUUCUUCUUGUUCUCACUUUUACCCUAAAUUUCACAUAUUUAUUGCUUGAUCUUCUUCAGCAUUGGAUGCCAAAAAAUUGUGCUUGGUUUUAUUUAUGAUGCUUUCUAUGGAAUGUAACUAAUGUUUUUGACAUGGGAAAAUUUUAUAUUUCAUUGUUAAGGUCUGGAAAUGUAUAUUUUGGAAUAACUUUUUCAAGGCCUUUUGUUGAUGAGCCUUUUUCUUAACAUGUCUUGAUGUAUUUGAAACAGUGUUGCAGAUGGUAUAAUCUGAACGAAAGUUUGGAUGGUUUAUUAUUCAAAUAAACCUGAUUUAGGCCUUGUUUGGAUAAACCUUUCAAUAAACACUAAUAAGAUGAGGAAAUACAAAAGAAAGAUUGAAUUAAAGUUUUUUCAAAAGGGAAAAAAUCACUUUUACAGAAGUUAAAUGAGAUUUAUUUUUUUGUAAAUUUGGCUUAUACAUAAGUUAAUUUGAACUUUUAGAAGAAAUUUAAUUCAUGUAUCUUUCUCCUAUAAGUAUUUUUUGAAAACGUUUCCUCAUCAAUUUGACAAAGCUAACUGAGUGUUCUUGAAUUCUAUGAUGAUUAGCUCUAGAGCAGUGAUGAAAUUGUAUGUUGCAGUUUUGAGUCCUUUUCUGAUUGCUGUCUAAAUUCACAGUGACUUUUCUAUAUUUUUAGGCAAAGGAUAAAUUAUUAAUAUUUGCUAGUUAGUGAGUUUUGUAUUACCCUAUUAGGUGUUUCAUAGGGUCAUUGUUAAUGUUAGUAAUGAUGUAUUGAUAGUUGUUGGCGAGCUCUAGUUUGAAAUAAGUAUCAAACGUAUUCAUCUUUCUGCUAAGCAUUUUCUCUCACGAUAUUAAAAGGAAUGAGGGACCUGUGGACCACUAUCUGCUAAACAAUGUCAAAUACUAUGUUCAGAGAUAAUCAUAGCCAUGUUAAUCAUGUGCUUUGUAUUUGUGGUUCGGUGGUUCAAAAUCCUAGGUGAAGGGUCUACAUAAAAAAAAUCUACUGCAGAAAUGAGGUUCAUAAAUGAUGCUCACCCUGUACCUUGAAUUAAUUCAUUAACUUUGUCAUUAUCAUGGAUGACAUUGUAAAUUUGAGACCAUGAAUCGAGAUUGGUGAAUAAACCUGUGAAGAAUGUACAUGGUUUUGUUUAAUUUAUAAAUUCUCUCUGUUUGCUUUAUCCACUGCACACUUUGCUUGCAGGCAUGCACUCAAAUGUUAUCACUUAUUAACAUUUGUCUAUUUCAUCUGUAAUUGGAUUUAGGGUCAUUUGUUUUAAAAUUGGGAAGAAUUGAUAUUUAGAACAUUUAUCUAGCAUUAUUCAGUGUAUUGGUUAGUUUCAACCAUAAACUUACAUUGAAACAUGUAUUUUUUUCAUUGGAAAGUUCAUGAAUUGAUUUUCCCAUGCAAAAUCAAACAGACCUCAAACUUUCAAGAUAAAGCAGUUACAUUUUCUUCAAUUACAUGUUUGUUCUUUCUUUUAUGAAGUUCUUUCUCUCUAUGUGACUUACAUGAUGUGUAACAGAUGGAGUUGCCCUCCGAGCAAAUUCCCAUGGACAUAUGAGUCUAAGGAGACUUGCUAUCUCUUGGAAGGAAAAGUGAAGGUUACCCCAACUGGGGAAAAUGAGUCAGUGGAAAUUGCUGCUGGUGAUUUUGUUGUGUUUCCAAAAGGGAUGAGUUGCACUUGGGAUGUGUCAGUUGCAGUUGACAAGCACUAUAACUUUGAAUGAAUCUACAAGUAGAUAUUCCCAGUGAAUGAAACAAGAGGCUGUUAACAUUCAUGAACAAAUGGCUGUAAUGUUGAAUGAAAUAAGAACUAUGAAGUAUAUUCCAGUUUUUUUGGUAAUGGUGUUAUCCUAGUUUUUCUUUCCUUAUCUCUGGAUACUUGUUUUAUUUUUCCCAUUUGCCCUUAAAUAUCUGAUAUACACUUAAUCUCACUACCACAUUGAUCAAUUUACUUCAUUUGUAUAUCUUCCAUAUGAACACUCUAAAACUGACUGCAGUGAAAAAAAUGCUAUUUUGUGGGCACUAUUUAAGUAUCCAUCGAAAAAUGCUUACAAUUACUACUUCCUAUAAUUUCUUCCCAAUGAUUAGUGACUAUAUUGUGUAGUAAAUGAAAGGGUGGGCAAUGAUGUAAUGAAGGGCAAAGAUAGGAAAAUUAAGAAGACAGAAUAGUGACAAGUAUCUCUUUAUGUAUUAUUCUAGUUUAAUGGCUAUCAACAAUGGAUUGAAGCAUUGCUUUCUCAACAAUAGCAAGUUUUACAGAGAAUAUAAAAGAGAAAAGUAGGAAGAGAGAGACAUCACAAUUUUUUCCAUACCAUGAAGUCCAUUGCUAUAUGUUCUUGUUAAGGAUAUGACAUCUAAAGAACUAUUGAGAGACUUCGUCUUCCUUCUUUUUAUCGGGCGGUUGACCUACACUUCAGCUUACUCCUUUUGGUCUCAGUCGCUUGAUCACUCAAUCUCCUGGGAAAUGCCGAAUGGGGGUACCUGUAAAAGGCACUCCGACGCUCAAGUCAGUAAAGGGUGGUCGGCACUCAAUUGUCAGAGUAACUGUUUUUUUAGAAUGUACGCCAUUUAUAUUAUUUUAAUGAACUUACCUUGUUGGGUCGAAUUAAUGAGGUGAAUCAUCCUUAGAGGUAUAUUACCUAAUUCAUAAUGAUGACUUAACUUUACUGACCUUGAUUAAGCGUUACUGGAUUGGGGUAUCGAUCGUUCUGCACAAAGGUGCAUCAUUCGGUCGGUCCGGCUGUAGGAACCGAGCCUUGUAUUGACCAAUACACUAUAUCCUCCCAUAUACCUAUACCUUCUAGAUUGGAAGGGUUAACAAUAGUGCCUCUUCCAUCAAAUAGUCUUGCAAGUAAAGCAUUAGAAGAUUUUGCUUGCUGACAGACAAGGCAUUCUUUGACAAAAUGAACAAUGUCCUUGUUAAUACCCUUCCAGUAAAAUCGAGAAGCAAUUUGAGCAGUUAUUCUAUUAAUUCCACCAUGUCCACCUAGUGGAGAUGAGUGAAAUUCCUGUAGAAUCUGCUUAACCAAAACAUGUUGAAAUUUUGCAAAUCCUUUAGUCAGCUCAUAGAAUUCUCUUGAGUAAGCAGAUUUCUUUUGAAGAGGUGUAAGGUUCUUAGAAAAAUUAUACACUAGUUAAGAGUCGGCAAAAUAUAUGAAUUAUAAAAGUGUUAAAAAUAGUUUAAAAAAUUAAAUUGAAUUAUAUAAUAAUUUAAGUGAACUAAAUUUCAUUAGAGUUAACUAAAUUAAAUUAAACUAUUAUAAAUUUGUUGAAAUCUAUAAAUUGUUUGAAUUAUUAUAGAUGGAAAACUCAAUUUAAAGUAAAUUUUUUAAUAUUACCUAUAUAAGGAGGAUUCUUCUCAUACUUUUUUUUUUCACACAAUUUUUUUUUUCAAUUUUAUCUUUAAAAAAAUAAAAAUUAUCAAUUAAAUAAUUUAAUAAUUUUUUAUUAAUUUAAUAAUUUCAUUUUCCCUUAAAAUUAUCAGUUCCAAUUAACCUAUUCCAAGUGUCACUUCCUUCUUUCCCUUCAUACAAAAAUUAUUUAUAUACUGAAUCUAAAUUCAUUUUUUUUUCAGAUUUUGUUAUAAUUUGUUCAUCUUCUUUACGUACACAUUAUUUUGUACAUCAAUUAAAAUAUUACAUUAUAAAUUUAUAAUAAUAUUUAAAAAAUCAGAUACACCAUACUUAUGAUGAAAUUAAAAAAUCGGAUACACUAGUAAUUUAUAAUUUGAAUUUAGUUCAAGCAAUCAUUAAAUUUUAAAAAAAUAAUGCUAAAUUUAUUUUAAACAAUUCAUUUUUUUUUAUAUAACUUAAUAAAGUUCAAAUAUUUUUUAAGAUUCCUAACACUAGUUUUACACUAUCAUCCCAUUAGAAAUCAUCAUGUAUGGUAUGAGUUCGUUAUUUUUUCCAUAAAUUAUUUUGAAAGGUAUAUUAAAGUGAUUUGUGGUUAGAUGGAUAAGUAAAAAAUAAUGGAGUUUAAAAUAUUUUUAAAUAAUGCUUUAAAUUAAUAAAUUUAUAAAGGUGAAAGAAACUUACAAACUGAGCAAAAUAUCAUUUGGCGUGGCAGAUAUGCUCUGUUUCGCGCAUACAGAAGAAGCGGCGAGAAACUGAGGUAUGGCUAUUUAUCUUUCUUCAUACCCAUCAUUGGAACUAAGAAACGGUAGUGUUUUGAUCGCACCGGUUGAGGUCAAAUCUUGGAGCAUUCUGUCGUGGAUUAAAUUCGAAAACUGUUGAAGUAAAAGAGACAAACUUUGCUUGUAUAAGCCUGUAAGAUGUUUGUGAAAAUGCCACUGUGAGGAAAAUAGUGGGGUUGGGUUGAGUUUACAGCUCUAGAAGUGAGAACCAAAGGUUGUAUGUUGUUCAUUUUAUUAGAUUUUUAACAUUGGACAAACCACCUACGUGGGAACUAUGUUAAGGUUCUGUCUCUGGUAACAUUUAACAGUUGCCCGAUUAAUUUAUGAAUGUUCCCAGAAGUUUAGGAUUUUAAAAGAGUCUCUACUGAAUUUUAAGGUACUUUGACAAUCUGAGCUUGGUGUAGCAUGGUACGGGUAUGUUGGGAGAAAACUACUUCAUAGAUAAUUUUGGGAGAGAAAAUUAAAAAAGAAAAAUGAAACUGACUUUGUUGUAAGCUUAUAUAAAAGUUAAAAAUGGGGUUUUGGUGAAACUAUUUUUUUUUACAUGUGUAAAUUAGUUUUUAGUUUACAGGAAAAUGUUCAUUUUAUUUUAUUUUUACUUUUAUGUUUUUCUGUGCUUAUAAAGUAAAUUUUCCAAAUAUACCAUACAUUAUUAUUAUUAUUACUACACGAGCAGGACCCUAGUUAUCAAUCCAAAGUUUGAAAUUUCGUUUGAUACCUAUCAUAUUGCUGUUCUUUCUAACCAGGAAAUAAUAGCUUUGAGAAUGGGAUAAGAGUUUGAUGCCCAACGAAUGUAAAAAAAAAAGGAAAUGAUAAUGGGGAAUUGCUCUGAAUCAUUCAACAUUUGCAUGAAACAUGCUUUAAUACAGCAAUUGUGUUCACUGCUAUACUAAUGGAAGGGAUUUUGAAAGAAAUUGAUUGUACAGAGAAGGAAAGGAAUAGCCUAGAAAGAAAAAAGGGGGGUAAAAUGUUUUUGGCUUAAAGGAAAGAAAAUUGGUCCUAUAACAAACCCCUGACCUUCCUUUCUUAAGUUAAAUUUUCCUCAGUGAUUUUAUUCCUAGUGGAACCAAAUUUUUGAUUCUAGGGUUUUGUUAGUUAAAAAUAAUUCUGUGCAUAAUUUUUAAUGACAACUUGUUUGAUAAGGGUAUGCACGAAAAGGGAAGAGUUCUAUAUCAACCGAACUGAUUUAUUAGUAUUAUUGUCUGACUAGUUGAAUUCCUGUUAUAUGUCAUCAUUGUCAUGUAAGUAUGAGUUCUUAAUAGAAUUAAGUAGGAUGAGAGGGAGAAUCAUGUAGGUUGUGCUUGCCAAAAGUAUAAUCUCUGUUUUAGAUAUAUUUAUAAGAGAUUGAUUUGUGUCCACUACUAUUCUUCAUGUUUUUUCAAACAAUUGGAAAGUAUAUAGUCCAGAAGAGGAAUCAAGCACACCAUUAGUAGGGUACUAGUUGUGUAUAUGAGAAGCAAAUUUAAGUUAAUCUCAAGAUGCACACAACACAACCAUUGAACAAUAGAAUUAAUCCAGAGCUAUGCAUAUUUUUAUGGUCUAUGUGAAAUACUUGUGCAAAUGAAAUUGUUCAAUGUUUAAAAAGAAGCAAAGAAUUAGCACUAAUCAGUUUCUGUGCUCAGGCAAAAUUUCAAAGUCCCAGCUCUCAUCUUCUGUUACCAUGAGUUGCUCCGCUAAAUCUAUAUUCUUUUUCCCUGUCUUCCUCCUGUGUUGAUUCAUUGCUGCCAAUACAGCUUUUUUUGAUUCCGAAGCCCCUCUUGUUCUUGUUUGCAGCGAGCUACAGGAAUAGAGAACAAACAUACAUGGGGUUGCCGCUACUUUCAUCUGCAUUAUGGGAACCUUCUCAUAACUGUGAGUUACCCUUUUCUCUUAAUUUAAUUUUAUGAUAUAGUACUUUUAACAAUAUUCUUGAACACCAUCCAAAAGGGGAAGCAACAACAACUCUCUAUCUUGUUUUAAUGUGAUUUUUUUAUUUGCAGGUUUUUCCUCCAGUGUGGACUUUAUCUGGCCCCAUCUAUCUUCUAAGUCAUAUUGUCUUGGGUUGAAGGUUGGAUUUGCUUUUUCCCAUUUAUUUUUACUUAAUAAUGUACACAUUUAGGAAAUCAUAUUGGUUCAUUCCUCUAAUGGAAUUAUGUGUACAAGCCUCGGGGAAGCAACUGCUAAAGGAAAUAUAAGCGUCACGUCACAUUAAAUUAAUUGUUGAUAUUGGCUUGCUAAUGAUAUUAUUGUUAGAUUUUAGAUUUUCCUAAUGUGUGUGACUAAGAAAUGAUUUCAAUCUCAAUGUCUUUUGGAGUUCUAUAAUCUCAUGACUACAUCUUUAUUUUAUUUGGUUGGCUUUUAUUGUGGUGGGGGUGGUUUUUUUUAUCUCUGAGGUUAUUCUAUUGAGAUGUUUAUAAAGCAUUAGCUGCAGAUCAGUGAUGGUACCAUCUUCAAGAUAUUGUUCUUGGUUGCUAUUACUGUUAGAAUUUCCCGGAAUAACUUCUAUGCUGUUUCAAGGGAUGUCCCAGUAUUUCACUUUUUGUUUUAACCUUUUCUAGUUAUUCAAUGCGAUUUGUUGUUUCUCAAUUGAACUUGCAUCUAGUGGUUAAAGGCAGAGUUGUAAUACUCUCUUAUCUAACUACAAAACCUGUUAGUCUCCUUACAGUGUUGAAUAUAGCUGAGAAUAAAAGGUUAGGUCCUGUGCACUUUAAUUAUACUCAGUCCUCCCUUCAUAUUGGUAAUGUACUAGUUCCAACUUCCAAGUGUGAAUUGCAAUGAAGUUCUUCUGGAUAAACCUUUGACAAAAUAUGAUUAAUUUCUAAUGUAGUGGUUGUAGUCACUUAUGUGAUAUAUAUAACGGAUGCGUGUUUGUAACUCUAGUCGGAAAGAUUCUCAAAUUUUAUGUAGUCUAAUUUUCUUGAAAUCCAUUUUGUGCUCUUAAUAGUUUAUUGCGGCCUUACUCCUAUUGAUUAGCCAUAGAAAAUUCCGAGGGACUUUGCUGUUAUCCUUUGUCUGACAUUGAAGAAAGUGUUUUCCAAGUCUUCUAAACAUCCUUGUUGGAAUUUACAGUUUAGUUUUGUUUAUGUUGCAGUUUAAGUGCCAGCAAUUUUGCAAAGGUAGAUCAACAAUCCCGAGAGUUUUAGUUUGUACCAGUCGAAGGCCCAAGAGCAAAGAAACUGUGUGGAGACGAAAAGAAUUACCACAAAAUGAGGAUUUACCUCUAAUUUUACCUAAGAAUAAGAAAAAACCUUACCCUAUUCCCUUUAAGGAAAUCAAACAGGCUGCAAGGGAGGACAAGAAAAUUGCACGGAUGGGAAUAGAGAAACCUCUUGAGCCUCCGAAGAAUGGAUUAAUUGUUCCAGACCUAGUUCCUGUUGCCUAUGAAGUAUUUGAAGCUUGGAAGCUUUUGAUUAAAUGUCUUGCCCAGGUCUUGCAUCACAUUCCUGUACAUGGCUGUAGGUAGAUUAUAUUAUAUUUUUUGCUGAAUGUCCUAGUUUCUUUGCAUUUGUUUUGUUGAUACAAGAGUUAUAUUCUUACCAAUUGAAUUCAUGCAGCGAAUGCUCAGAAGUUCAUGUAGCUCAAACUGGUCACCACAUUUGGGAUUGCUCUAGUCCUUAUGGUAGGCAGCGUCGGAGUGCUCAUGCCUGGGUAAAGGGUUCUGUCAAUGAUAUACUUGUCCCAAUUGAGUCCUAUCAUCUUUUUGACCCCUUUGGUAAGCGGAUUAAGCAUGAUACACGAUUUGAAUAUGACCGGAUUCCAGCCGUUGUUGAGCUAUGCAUACAAGCUGGUGUUGAUAUCCCAGAAUAUCCAUCACGCCGAAGGACCAAUCCCAUACGGAUGUUAGGGAAGAGAGUAAUUGACAUAGGUGGAAAUUUAGAGGAACCUAAACCAUGGCGCUUUGCGGACCCCUCUUCACUCAAUGACUUUGAUACUUACAGAUCUUUUGAACGAUUUCCUCGAACAUCAUUGUCAGAUCUACCUAAAAUUGCCCAAGACACAAUGAAUGCAUAUGAAAUUGUAAAAAAGGGUGUCAGGAAGUUGAUGAAGAAGUACACUGUGAAAGCGUGUGGUUAUUGCACUGAGGUUCAUGUGGGGCCAUGGGGCCACAAUGCUAAGCUUUGUGGUGAAUUUAAGCACCAGUGGAGGGAUGGGAAGCAUGGUUGGCAGGAUGCUACUGUGGAUGAAGUUUUCCCUCCAAAUUACGUGUGGCAUGUGAGAGACCCUAAUGGGCCUCCCUUGGCAUCUGCACUUAGGAGAUAUUACGGGAAGGCUCCGGCUGUGGUUGAAGUGUGCAUGCAAGCUGGUGCACAGAUACCAGACGAGUACAAGCCCAUGAUGAGGCUUGACAUUAUAAUUCCAGACCCUGAGGAGGCAAGAAUGAUUGCAUGAUGUAAUCUGAACGUGCUUACUGUGUUUGUCUGUUAUUAUACGUGCAUAUUGCGUAAUCCUAGCAUGCAAAACGCAUUCAAUGAUCUACCAGAAGGGGAGGCCUUGAAAUCAAUCUUCAACAGUACAUGCCUGAUUUAUUUACUAGGUGCUAGAUUCCCAUAUAUCCAAUGUUAGUGUACAUGAUAUAUAAAGCCAAUAGUAGAGCAAGUAGGUUUUAUCAGAUAACUUUGGUUAGUUAGUUUGUAAAAUGUCUUAAACUAGUGAAAAGUUAUGUUGGAAGAUCAAUGCAUGUGUUAAUUUAUUUUGUCACAAUUACAAUAUAAUCAGAUGAUCUUUUUAUACAUGGCUAGUUGUUACAUUUUAUACCCAGUCAUAAACAUAAAAAAGUUCCCUUGUUCACUACCCUUCAAUCAGUAAUAGGGCAAGUCACAUAAAAUCUAACUGUAGUGAUCUUCAUUGUAGAGAAAAGUGAUUCUGUAGACAUGAAAUAAAAAUUUCUCCCCUUCAACAUGCAACUUAAUGAUGUAAUAUGCUUUAAGUUGGUGUUUCCUCUUAGAAUAUCUACAUCACUAUGUUAUCAGAUUGGGUCAGCAUUCAGGUGGAUAAUCUAGCUAUUGUAUUGAUUUGUCAAUCAUUUCAAUCUUCACUUCGUCCUGUUUUGUGUUAGUUAAAUACCAAAGGAAUUAAAAUCAUUACAAUAGCUAGGAACAAACUCUCCACUGCCUAUUGUCACAUCAGCAAGUGGCCAAAAGCAAAGCCAAAAGGAAAACUUACACCAACUGCUAAGAAUCGUGACUGUAAAAUAAGCUAGGAAUAGAGCAGUAAACCAUAAAGUUAUUGCACUGGUUACAGCAUUGUGAUUGCAGUUCUUGUAGCAAAAAUUCAGUCCACAAUCCUACGUUUUUUUAGCAAUUGGCGGUUUUGCGAUUGAAAAACAGUUUGGAUCAUCUCUAGCUCUCUCUUCUUUCAAACCAAAACAUGUAACCUUCAAAUGGUUCCAUUCAUUUUCUAAAGGCACUUCAUACAGAUUAUCAGUGAAAAUUAAAUUUUGUAGAUAAAAAAGAAAUGUAUGUUCUGCUCCCAACUUCAAGAACUUGAGCCUAUCAAAGAAACACACAUAAACUUUGUCAUUGAUGAGCAACAUGGGUUUAACAUGAUCACUGUUGUCUCGGUCCUUAGGUGCAACAAGAAGACAAAGAACUUUGCCAGGGAAUUUGUUGCGAAUCCAGAAAGAACUUGAAGGUAUAUAACUUGUGUGAUCGAACCACUCUGGGAUCCUAGAUCCUGGCAAAACAUAAAGGAAUUUAUAAGUUUACCAACAUUAGGUACACUAUAUGUUAUUAAAUAAAAAUACAUUAAAAACAAGACAAAACCUGGUUUGGGAACAUGCUUAUACUCGAGGAUGUCAGCAAUAAACAGUUUGUUGCAUUUGAGAUGUUUCAACUUUGGUGGAAUUCCUCUGAUUUCCCGAAGAUGCUAGCAAUAACUCACACUAAGCUUUUUAAAAAUUGACAUUCUUUGAUGAAUUCAGGAAGGUGUGUGAAAUUAUUGUUCGAUAGGUCUAAAUCUCCCACAUUGAGCCAUCUUUUUCUUCACCCUCUUCCCACUUUAUCCACUGCCACCCUUUCCAUCCCCAACUCUCAAUAAGAGUCAGUUCUGGCAUCAUGACAAUGCUGCUUUGUAACUGAACAAUUCCACAGAAUAGCAGGGACGACUUUUGAAGCAACCCAAGUUCCCUUAUGUUUUCCAUCUUUCCUACAAUUUCUGGAAAACUCUCAAGACUAGAAAAAUGUGAAAGUUCCAAUAUCCUAAGUUAAUCCACCAAACCAAUCCAAUUAUGAGCUCUAACUAAAUUUACGCCAUUUUGAAACGAAAGUUCCUCCAAAUUUUGGAGAUCAGAUAUGGAAUCAGGUAUUUGUGUUAAACAUUCACAGCAGUCAAAAUUCAAAGCUCGUAGAUUCAUGAACUUCUGCAAAGAAAAGGAAAAAUAGAAAUAAUGAAUGUGUCAAUUAUACCUCUCUUUUGAAGAGUCUGAAGUUCAUCCUAGACAGUUAAAGAUAAUUUUUUCAAUGUAUCUUUAAAAUAUCACAAACACUAAUAAUCCAUUGUCUCUGGACGAAGAUGUCUUUAUCUUCUUCUCUAUAUAAAAGGAACUUGUGAGGAAAAGAAAAACAAACAAAUGAAAAGAACAACACUGAGAAUAAAUGAGAGAAUUGAUAUUUUCAACAGUGGGAUACUAGAAAUCCUAGUGAAAGACUAAAGAGACAUGGGGGACUCAUGACAAUCUAAGAUUAGUGAAUUUUUUUUUUGUUAAGUAGAGUCAUGCUACCUUGACACAAUUUUUGUAUAAGUCAAUAUUUUUUUUGUUAUAUACGUGUUUUGAAUAAAAAUAUUAAUAUAUAUAAUAUUAGUUAAUGUAAAUAGUAGAUAAAUUUGAUGUUUCAUAGUUGUAAAAAAGGAAAAACAAAGAUAAUUUUAAUAAAAUUAUAAAGAUAAUAAAAUUUGUUUAAAAAAAUUUUGUUAUGAAGAAUAUGAUUAUAGUUAACAUAAAAUUUAGGUUGUUAGCUUUAUGGAGUUAUAUAUAAAUAAUUUUUGUUUAUUAAUUUAUGUGGCAUUUGAAUAAGCUGAAGGUAUAAAUACACAGGUAAAAAAAACCUAAGAAAAUUAACAAUGAAAGUUGGGAUUGAAUUUUAUUAUGAAGUUUGUUUAUAUGUACAAUUGCUUCUAUUGUGACCUUUGCUUCAACAAUAUGGACAUUUUUUUUGGUUUAUUCAGAAUUGGAUCAUGCAUUUUGUUAUGAAUACAUUGAGUACUUGGUCAUCCUGAUUUAUGUCGACGCAUCGGGUUAUGUACCAAAUUUGGUCAUGUGUAAGUAGAUCAAUAAUCAUCAUUUUGAACUAGAUGAAAUUGGACCCCGUAAGCCUUGAAAAUAUUGUGGAGACUGUACACUGGGACAACAAAUGUCAUUAGUUGUAAAUGACAAAAUUAACAAACAACAAUUAUGUGUGGGCAAGAUAGUCGUAGAGCUUGAAACUCCCCACAAUCACAUCACCAUUAAGUUAAUUUAAGUAUGUAUGACAUAGGUCGACGUCGAAGAUGGGAAGUGACUAUCUCUUGAACGUCAAACUCUGAAUUUUUUCAAUUAUAUUUUUGCACAUGAUACAUAAGAGAUUGUGCCUCGUUCUUAAUAAGGCAACUAUAUCUUUUGGAUAUUAAUGCGCUGCUUGCAAUAUGCAUUACCAAGCCUUUGUUCUUUCGAAUAUGGUCUUAAUUAGAGCACAAAUAGGUAAGAAUCGUGCCCCUUUGAAAAUAAAGUUCAUGUUUUCAACAAGAUUUAUUGUCAUGUGGUCAAACCUCUUGCCCCGUCAUAGGUUUGAGUCCAUUUUUUCAAUGAUAUUUGAUCCAUCCAAGAGGCUGCUGACCGAAAUUUUGCUUUCAUCAUCGAUAACUUUGUUUGUAGAGUUGGCUGCUUCAUCUCAUAACCUAUCACAUUGUCAAAAAGGGGAUUAGUGGAAAAGUUAGUGAAUUGUGUGAUGGAAGUUAAGGAAUGUUUACCAUGUUUAUUAGUUGUCGCUUUAACUUUGCAUUUUUUAACCUGUUUUUGGAAUUAGAUGUUAUAUGGUGUAUGCAAUAUACUAAGGCCAAAUCAUCUCCUUCCCAAGCAACUUAUGGAGAUUCUAAGUUGAUAGUGUUGUUGUUCCUACGUCAGUAAUCAUGCAUAGAUUUGACCGAGGCAUCACAUAUGCUUGUAAAAAUGGGAAGAACCAUAUAUGUGCAUCCUUUAUUUCACCUUCAACAAUGGUGAAAGCUAAUGGAAAAAUGUUUUGAUUCCCAUCUUGAUUGAUGCAGUCAGCAAAGUUCUGUGAUAUUUUUCGGUUAAGAAUGUGCCAUCAACUUGAACUAUUGGCUUGCAAUAAUUGAACCUAUCAAUGCAUGACUUGAACGACCAUAAGACACAUUCUAAGAUGUAAGUAGAUUGGUCUUCAACACCAUCAACAACAUACGAACGAGUAAUAUAUUGAACAAUAGUUCCUGAGAUAUUGUCUCGUACAACUUGCAACCAUCUCGGAAGAUGAUUAUAUGAUUUGUCCUAGUCAUCAAACUCCAUUGCAAGAGCAUUUUAUUUAGCCAUCCAAGCCUUUUCUAUAAGUCACUGAAUAACCAAGAUGAUUAUUUAUUUCCACAAUUAAACUUUUUAUCAGAGUUGAUGGACUCGCCUUCAGCGAAUUCACCACAAAGGAAGCUAUUUGACUUGAGUCCAAAUUUAUGUGAUCAAAUGAAAGAUAAGUUCUCAAACAGGUGUGGGGAGCUUCAAUUUUUUUUUUAUUUUCUAUUGAUGUUGGAUUUUUCUAAAAGAGGCUCAAAUAAGCCAUUGGCGGUCGUUGUUGUAAUGAAUGCAACAUUCAAAAUAUUUAUCUGGCUAUGAUUCCACCAUGACAAAAUCAUAACCUUGAUCAAUGUAGUAUUGCUUGAUUGCAUUCAAAGUUGACUCCUUUGAUUUGAAACACAUGUGUUCCAAAAGGUCUAGCUAUUUAGUUUGGGAUCACAACUAACUGAUUGAACAUUGUGGUUGGAUGAUGUUGGAAAGUUGUCUUAUUGUGGUAUGUACUCAUCUUAUUCAUCAUCUUCGUUGAAUUCAUUAACCAUGUCUUUGAUGAUAUGUUUUUCCUCGUAUACAUACAACAUGAAUAUAUAAAAAAAAACAAUAUCACAAUAGGAGGUCCAAGUGCAAUAUAUAGACUUAGAAGACAAAUAAGAAGAUUACCUUGUGACACGUCUUUCCAUAAAUAAAUUACUUUUUAUGGAGCAAAUGUAUGUUUAAUGUUGUGGAUAUAUUACUAGAAAAUCAUUAAAUAGAAACUAAUUUUAGAAACUAAAAAUAAUUAGUUGUUAUAUUGCCUAAAUUAGAUACUAUUUUAGAUACUAACAAAAUUAUUGAUUUCUAAAUUAGUUUUUAUUAUUAAUAAAUAGUUUUAACUACCAAUAAAUAAAUUUAGACAUUUUUAUGAUAAGUUUAAAAUUUAAUUAUAUAUAUAUAUAUUUUUUUUUCUACGUGAUGAAGACAAAAUAAUAAUAAUGGAAAGAUAACAAUCUCGUGAUCUCAAGGAAAAAUUAUAUACCAAGAAUUCAAUUAUAAAAUAUAAAUAUUUAAUAGAAUAAUUUUUUUAAUAGAAAUUUAAUUAAAGAUACUCAAAUAUAUGAGAUAAUUAAACUAAAACUACAAUAAGUAUAAUUUUAAAAUAAUUAUUAUAAAGGUUAAAAAAAAGUAAUUUAAUAAGAAGUAAGUGGACCAUGAUAUAAAAGAUUUUCAUAAUUAUUAUUUACCGUUUAAAAAGAUUUUUAUAUCCUUGCAAAUUAAUAUUAUUUAUUUAAUAAAUCGUAUAUAUUUUUAAUUAAUAAAUAAAGUAUUUUAUAAAUUAAAAAAUCAUUUAUAAUUGAAAUUAAUUUAAAUAUUAAUAAUUUUUAAAAAUUUAAAAAAUAUUUAAUUUAGUUAAUAUAAUAAUUAAUUAUUAUUAUUUUCAAAAUUAAUUUUAUUUAAUAAUUUUGAUAGAGUGGAAAUGGAAUCUAGUCGACCAUGACAUAAUUUAUAAUAAUGUCUAAAAUGUUCUUUAUUGAAAAAAGUUCCCAAAUUGUGAUUGAAAUAUUCUGCCAUGAGAAAAUGUGGAAAUCUUUUGUAUUAGAAUCCCCUAAACGUAAAGUGGAAAAUUUUUCCCUUCCACUUUCCUCAGAACACAACUUUUUGUUGAAACACAGAAACUACAAUUUGGUAAAGCAAUGAAGCCUUCUGUGCUGCGUUUGUCACUUUUUGUUCUUGUUCCUCUGCUUCUCUCCCUCUUCUUUCUAGCACUCAUGCCUAAGGAAACCGCCAUGACAACCUAUGAGGUGUUUGGAGUGAAGAUAGAGAAGAACCCACAUCAGUCCAAACUCACUGAACUUGGAGUCUCAACUUGGAACAAGUAACUGUCUCUUUCUUUUCAAUUUUUUUGACUUCUGUUUUUUCAAGUAUGAUCUUGUUACUCACUUUUUCUCUGCUGCCCAUGAUGUGUUUCCUUCAAAGUUUCAACCUUUUCUGCACUGCAAAUUUUGGGUCUUUAUCAUGUCUGUGUUUCACACUCCUAUCUCAGAAGUUACUGUAGGGGUUAGGUAGUGGGAAUGUACAAUUCACUAUGGAGGUAAAGGUAAAAUCAGUAAUUUUCAUCAUUGAUCAGAAAAUAAUGGCAAAUGAUGUGUUAGAAUAUCAAUUGUUGAUCUUCUCCUAAAGGUAAAGUAAGUAAUUUCUUUCAUCGAUAAGAAAAUCAUCAGUUGGUGCUGGUAUGUAUACUAAUAUAAUUAUAUAACUAUCAUGGAUGUUUUGGAAUGUCAAUAAUUAAUUUUCACAUUGAUAUUCUACUUAUUGCCAUCUGUAGGAUUAUACCACCUUCUCACUGAGAAAAUUAACCAAUGAUAUUCAUACAGAUACAUGAUUUGUUAUGCAUAUAUACAUAUGUAGAGUAGGGUAUGUUGAAUCGUAUAGGUGUUGAGGCAUUCCGAUUUCUAGUAUUUGUUUUUAUUUUCUAUUUUUUCUGAUGUAAAAAAGUACACUUCUAGUACUUUAAAAUGCCUGGAUGACUGUUUCAUCCUAAGGGAUCUAAAAGUAAUACAUACGCAGAUGGUAGCAAAAAGAAGACCUAAACUAUUUUAAGGAUCUUAAUCAGAAUGUUUUCCUAAUAUUUCAAAUUUCAUCUGUUAUUUAUCAAUCAUAAACAAAUCUAUGGACAGUUGGAUUCAUAUUCAUUUCUAUCCUUGAAAAUUGUAUGCUUUUAUAGUUGAUGCUGAAUGAUGCAGGUGUAAUUUUGUAGUGCUUUGGUUCCAUGCUAUCUUUUAUAUUUCAUACUAGCUUUGACACAUGGGUCUAAACAUUGAACAGGUGGGAAGGUGGUCCAACCAAAAUUCCAUGGUCCUUUAAAGAAGAAGAGACCAUGUAUGUGCUGGAGGGAAAAGUGAGGGUUACUGUUGAAGAAUCUGUUGGGUCUUUUGAAAUUGGGGCUGGUGAUUUAGUUGUCUUCCCAAAAGGAAUGAAUAUUACUUGGGAAGUGAUUGAAGCUGUGAAGAAGCACUACAGCUUGAAAAAAUAAUCUGUGCCAAUAACCCCUUCUACUGUUGUUGACUAAUGAUAUGCCAUGUAUGAACUUGAUCAAGUAUGACUACUCACUAAAGCUAUAGUUACUAGUAGCUACAAGGAUGUACCAAAAGUCUUCACUUCCAUUACAUUGUACCUUUGACAGUGAUCCUAUUGAAAGUAAUCUCUCAUCAUUAUGAUUAAGAUGAAUAUGGAGGGAGCACAUUCUCAUCUCCUGACUCGUAUUUUGCAUUAUCUUCAUAGUUGGUUGAAUCCAUUGUUGCAGAUUCAUUGUUCAUGAGGACAAGAUAUUCUGCUAAAAGAUUCUUCUGAAUGAUUUGUAGCUAUACAAUAUGUUAUUAGCCAUUUCUGUUGGAAUUCCUCUAAGUAAAUGAAUUUAGUGCAAAAGAAUGCACCUGUGACGUACAUGAAAGAGAGAGAGUGAUAACCUUCAACAACCUCGUGGAAGUUUUUUUCCAAGAUUGCAGGAUAACAACACUAAAAUAUGAGGGUAUGAACAAUAAUUAAUAGACUCCUCGUGUCAUUUGUUCAGAAUUGAUUACGGAAAUCCUAAAAGCAAAGUAUACACCAAAAUAUCAAGGAGACUUUAUUACACAUCUAUUAAUAGUCGUUGAAAAUGUAAAAAUCUCAACCUAGUUCCGAAAAAUUAAAACGUCCAGUGCUUAAAGAAUAGCGUGGCUGGAUAUUUUUAAUCUUUAAAAAAUAGAAAAAAUUUGUGGCGUUAAGGAUUGAAGAAUGAAACUAUUAAGAUAUACUUCAACUUACUUUGUGCAAUGUAAUAAAUCUUACAACAGAGAAAACACUUAUUACACAUUUACCUUCAUGUAAUGGUCCAUCCUAGAAAUGAUUGUCACAUGAUUAGUUUGUAAGAUUGCGUUUUAUGUCACUUCCUAGGGGCUUUUAUUGUUGUCUCAUUUCAGAGGUGGCCCAGUUCAUUUAUCAUUAUUAACCCUUGGUCGGUUUCAAUUCCAUAAACAUAAAUUUAGAUGUGAACCAACACCUUGACAAUCUGAAGAAUCCUUGGCACAAUAGCUAAGAUUACUGUCAUUUCACAUGUGACAAGGUCACAAGUUGAAGUUGUGAAAUAAGCCAAAAGACUAACUACAAUUAAAUCCACAGUAGGUAAUGGGCACUGGUAGUACAACGGAUAAAAAAAAAGUCCUCAUUGAGAUUAAGAAAUAAUUAAAAAUUUUGUAUAAUGUGCUGCCUAAAUUAGCAAUGCUACACUACACCUUUCUUUUCUCUUCUAUUAUUUGUUUCCUAUCCAGCAAACUUGGACAAGUAGCUAUGCUGUUAUACAAGGGAUAAUUACAGCAGCUUUUUUUUAAUGAGUUUUGUACAAAUAACAAUGACAAUGACAAAUUAUACACUGAUUAUGGUAAGUGAAUGAUAUUACAGGCUCAUGGCCCUUGAUGAAAGCUCCAAAUCCCCCUCAUGUAAAUCUGAUUCCCCCACCUCAACAUUAACCUGUAAAAGAUUAAGCAAGUUUAGUUGAAACUCGAUACAACAUCCUCAUAGCUCAUAAUGCAUCAAAUGAAGGAAACAUCUCAUGUUAUUAAAUUAGCAGGGAAUACUAGAAGGUAACUGGAACAAUUCAUCGUUUUUAUGAUCAAUCCUCCAACAUACCGCUGAAUCUUUCAUCUUAUCUAGGUACUGCUCCAAAGCACCAUCUCCCCGAAGAAUUUUACCCCCACAUCCAAGGGAAGUUCGUGAUCCUACUGACUCCUCAUCAACAACAACUGCAUCAAUUCGAUCACUACCCGUCUUAAUAUCAGGAAUCUGUUGCACAUGAGCAAGGUGUGUAUUAGUGAAAAUCUGUAGAGAAUUAUGAUAGUUUGUGAUUGAUAUUUAAGAAUAAACCAACCGUUCAAUACCUCAAACAUCGCCUCAGUUAAAAUGCUUUCCAGUAGGGCUCUUAAACCUCUAGCACCAGUAUUUUUGGACAUUGCUUUCUUUGCUAUCAGUCUUAGAGCUUUCUCUGUGAAGUGUAACUUGACCUGGAGAGUAGGGGUAAAGUUUGUGAUAAAUAGAUUUCCUUGUGUCCACUUUACAAGCUACUUGCACUCUUAAUUGAAAAAAAAAAAGAAUUAACAAAUGGACACACAGAGGACAAUUUGAAUAUUUUGAGCAAAAGGCAAAAAACAAGUUGACAAAUUUGACCCAGCAAAGAAGAAAGAUCAAAUGGCCCAAAAACAAUGGCAGGCUCCAGGCAUCAUCAACAAAUGGAAAAAAUAAGUAUUAAUUAUACACAAAUUUGAAACGAGAUAUAUGAAAGGGAGUUAGUCAUUAGAAAUUUAGCAUAGUCUGUCAUGGACAAUUAUUAAAUCAAUCCCUUUAACCAAUUCAAAGUUUGAACAGUUUGCAUCUUUUGUUCGGAAUGUAUGUAUCUGGUGGCCACAAGAGUUCAGGUUUUCACACCAAAUAGUAGUCACAUGCAUCCACAGAAUCAGGCACUCACACCAUCACAGACACACAAGUACACACCAUGAGAGGCACACACAGAGAGAGCUGCUUACAUUAUUCAUGCUAAAUAAUUUCUUGUACUGCUUGCCAAGAGCAUUUUUUGGUUCAGUGAGGACCUGCAAACCCAAUAGUCAUAUGACCAUAUUUUCAAAAUUAACAUAUGAAGUAACAUAUACUAGAAAGAAAGGGAUUCCCAUCUUUCAAAAUCUUUUCUACUUUCCCAAAAGCAUUUAAAUUGUUUUACUCUAACUGAAAAGAGAGGAACAAAGUGUCAACAUCAAAUAAACGAGACCUUUUUUAUAUGGGUGUUUCAAUAAUUAUAGGAAGUCACGCAAUUGAAUAAAUAUGAAUCACCCAAGUUACAAUAGCUUCAGGGAAGUCACACGAUCAAAGAAAGAACUAUUGCUACGUAUCAAGUCCUUGGGGAACCCACCCUCAAAAGCUAGCUAUUAAAGAGGAAGAACCAAACACUUUAAUACUCUACCGAGCAUCCCAUACUACUGGAUAUGGGACUUGGGCACCCCAUAAUACCCAAGUCUUAUCACUUUUAUAACUACCUUGAGUAUCUUCUUCCAAUUUUGUUAGAAUUAUAAAUUAAAACCAAUUCAGACAAUUUUUAAGAUUUAAAUAUUAGAUAUACACCCACACACACACACAUAGAGGAGUGAUAUGAACACUGAU